RNAcentral lists this long non-coding RNA (96491 nucleotides) under Citrus maxima (pomelo). RNAcentral's name for it is "long non-coding RNA (CMAX_LNC000239)". The record is from RNAcentral. Lineage: Eukaryota; Viridiplantae; Streptophyta; Magnoliopsida; Sapindales; Rutaceae.
CUCUUUUAAAAUUCAGCUAUGAUAGUUUGCAGAAUGAUACGGUUAGAUCUUGUUUCUUGUAUUGUUGUUUAUAUCCUGAAGAUUAUGGCAUUCUUAAACGGGACUUGAUUGACUGUUGGAUUGGUGAGGGAUUUUUGGGGGAAUCUGACAGGUUUGGUGCAGAAAACCGAGGAUAUGACAUUUUGGACACUCUUGUUCGUGCAUGUUUAUUAGAAGAGUUAGAAGAUGAUAAAGUAAAAAUGCAUGACGUUAUUCGUGAUAUGGCUAUAUGGAUAACCUGUGAAAUUGAGAAGGAGAAGAGAAAAUUUUUGGUUUGUGCAGGUGCUGGAUUAAAAGAGGCACCGGAUGUUAAAGGAUGGGAAAAUGUGAGAAGAUUGUCAUUGAUGCAAAACCAAAUUGAAACUCUGUCAGAGAUUCCUACAUGCCCUCAUCUCCUCACUUUAUUUCUUGACUUUAAUGAGAAGUUGGAGAUGAUCGCGGAUGGCUUCUUCCAAUUUAUGCCUUCUCUCAAAGUGUUGAGGAUAUCACACUGUGGGCAAUUAGAAGGUUUUCAAUUACCUAUUGGGAUGUCAGAGUUGGGUUCGUCACUAGAACUUCUUGAUAUUUCAUAUACCAGCAUAAGAGAGUUACCAGAAGAGUUAAAGUUGUUGGUAAAUCUGAAAUGUUUGAAUUUGAGUUGGGCACAUAGGUUAUAUAAAAUUCCACGGCAACUAAUAUCAAAUUCUUCAAGGUUACGUGUGUUGAGAAUGUUCGCUACUGGCUAUGUGUGUCUUCAUGAAGCAUCAGAAGACAGCGUUUUAUUUGGUGGGGGUGAAGUUUUAGUACAGGAAUUGCUCGGUUUGAAAUAUUUAGAGGUAUUGGAGUUGACCUUGGGAAGUUAUCAUGCUCUCCAAAUUCUUUUGAGCUCAAAUAAGUUGAAAAGUUGUAUUCGAUCUCUUUUCCUACAGUUGUUCAGAGAUACAACGUCGAUUAUUGAUGCUACGGCUUUCGCAGAUCUAAACCACCUCAAUGAAUUAUGGAUUUAUAGAGGUAGUGAGUUGGAAGAAUUGAAGAUUGAUUAUACGGAGAUAGUACAAAAAAGGAGGGAACCUUUUGUUUUCCGCAGCCUUCACCAUGUUACCAUAUAUAGUUGCACUAAAUUGAAAGAUUCGACAUUCCUCGUUUUUGCUCCAAACCUCAAGUCUCUUCAGCUACUCGAUUGCUAUGCUAUGGAAGAAAUAAUCAGCGUCGGAAAAAUUGCUGAGACUCCUGAGAUGAUGGGACAUAUAAGCCCUUUUGAAAAUCUCCAAAGUCUUUAUUUAAAUGAUUUGCCAAUUUUGAAGAGCAUCUACUGGAAGCCAUUGCCUUUCGCUCAUCUAAAAGAAAUGACGGUGCAUCGGUGCGAUCAGCUUGAAAAGCUUCCACUCGAUUCCAACAGUGCAAAGGAGCGUAAAUUUGUAAUUCGUGGAGAAGAAGACUGGUGGAACCGACUUCAAUGGGAGGAUGAAGCCACUCAAAUUGCUUUUCGUUCCUGUUUCCAACCUCGUUCCUGAGCGGUGGUCGCAAAAUUUGAUUUCUGGUGAGUGCGUUUGUCUUUUAAAAGAAGAAUUUAAAAGAAAUUUAUUCUUGUCGAUUGUUUUCUUCUCUGUUUUUAUUUGAUUUCUGGUGAGUGCGUUUGUCUUUUAAAAGAUGAAUUUAAAAGAAAUUUAUUCUUGUCGAUUGUUUUCUUCUCUGUUUUUAUUUGAUUUCUGGUGAGUGCGUUUGUCUUUUAAAAGAAGAAUUUAAAAGAAAUUUAUUCUUGUCGUUUGUUUUCUUCUCUGUUUUUAUUUGAUUUCUGUUUUUAAUGGAAUUAAUGCUUCAUAAAUUUGCCGGCACUGCCAUUACUUUUUUUUUUAAUACAAAUUGAUACUUUAUUUAUAUCUUCUUAGCGAUUUAAUUUCCUGUCAAUAGACGAACGAGAAGAACAUAUGACUUAAACCAAUGCUCGCAUAAACUUGCUGUAAAAAGAUAUAAUCUCACUGAAAUGCACACGUCUAGAAUGAAUAGAAUUAAAACAGGGAAAAUCAAUCAAUUCCACCUUUUGCAAUUUCUUCUGUUCUAACAAAAACCAAUUUCUUUGUUCAAGUAUUUUCGUUUGGGUAUUAAUAAUUCUCCACCGAAAGAGUGAACUCUUGCUCAAGGGAUCUCUAAUCAAUUGCCGGAAGGGCGCCGAGACCUGAUCGGACCUAGGCCCAAGUUUGGUCUUAAAGCCUGGGCUUGAGCCUGGCAAUUAAAUUAAAACAUUAAUUGAUUUCUUGGUUGAUUUGUCGUGUAAUUGAUUUAUGGGGGAUGACACAUCAACAUACUUGAAAAUACACUAAUCUCAGCAUCAUCGGUUAAUAACUUUUAGAUUUAUGCGUAAUCAAUAGUUAAGAUUAGUUGUCAUUAAUACUAAAUAUUUUUUACUUUUUUUGUCUCUUCUAGAAAAAUGCAUCCACAAUUAAAUUUAAUACUUUACAUAAUAAACAAAGCAUAAAUGUUAAAUUUAAGAAACUGCAUUGUAUUUCAGCUGAAGUUGACUUUAAUAUUUAGGGUAGAAAAAAAUUAAAUCCUUAAUGUGUUUAAUUUGUAUCACUUGUGUCAUUAAAAUUUUCUAGUCACCCUAACCAAUUACAUCUCAACCCACUUUGUUUUUGGAUGAUUUUAUUUUUAGACUAUUAUUUUCAUCAUUUUUUUUCCUUUUAACACCAACAUUAGUGUAUGUUACGUAACAUAAUUCAUAUUUGGAUCAUUUGAAAUUUGCUUGUGUUUUAUCUAAAAAUAGAGCUUCAAUCAAAUUGUACCUCAUAAAUUCACAAUAUCUAUGAGGGCUAAUGAGACCAAACUCUGGCAUAUUGUCAAAUGUGCUUAUCCUUUUGCUUGACAUGUCAUUUUAAAAUUGUCAUUCAAUGCCAAAAAAUCACAUCAACUGAUGGCCGACUACUUUAAUUUGAAAGCAUGCAUGCGAUCGCCAAUAAUUAUAACUUAAUUGUUAUUUUGAAAUUUUUUUCUUUAUAAUUUUUAAGUUUAAUACUACUACAUGUGCAGCACAUAAGUUGGAAAAUAUAACAUAAAAUUUGAAAAAUGUGUAGCUUUCGUUCCUUUUUUUUCUUAAAAAUGGGAAAAAAGAAUGUAGUUUUGUUUAAAUUACUGUUGUGAUUACAAUUAUUAUUUUAUUGAUUAAUUGGCAGAGAAUCGUAAUGGUUUUGCAUGGUUGUUAAAACAUUGGAAAAUCCACUACAUCAUCCGUUAAUAACUUUCAGAUUUAUGAUUAAUCAAUAGUUGAGAUUUGUUAUCAUUAAUGCUAAAUAUUUUUUUAAUAUUUUCUCUCUCUCUUAGAGGAUCAUCCAAAGUAAAAAUUUAAUAUUAUAAAUAGUAAACAAAGUAUCAACGUUAAAUCGAAGAAACUGCAUUGCAUUUCAACUGAAGCUAACUUUAAUAUUUAAUGGAGAAAAGUAAUUAAGUCCUUAAUGUGCUUUAUUUACCCAUAUAUAUGGCUAAUUUUUCAAGAUAAAGGGGAAGGAUGAUGCUCAAAAAUAUAAAUUAUAGAAUUAAUUGAACUCUCAAGUAAGUUUAAAGUUCAUUAUUUUUAAUUACUUGUUUAUAAUUUAUUUUUAUUUCGUAUUAAUCUAUGGAUCUAAAUCCCCUUUGGAUUCAUAUACAUAUAUAGACAUAAUGUGUAUGUUAAUCUAUAGGUCUGAAUUCACUUUAGGUCUAUAUAGGUAUUUUGACAAAUGUACUCCAAUCAUGCAUAUUGGCAAGUUCUAACUACUCUAUUGAUAUAUCAAUAUUAUUUCUAACUGCACUAUAGGUCCAAAAAUAAGUUAGAAAUACAAAUUAACAUAAAAUAAAAAUAAUUGGUAGAAAAUACAAAUUAUAAACAUAUAAUUGAAAACGAUAAACUUUAAAUUUACUUAAGAGAGUAAUUAAUUUCAUAGUUAAAAUCUUUAAAUUUUACCCCUCAUCUUAACUUAAGAAAAUUAAUCACUUAUUUUAUUUAAUAAAGAAGAGAUUUUUUUCCCCUAUAUUUCCCAAUUAUUUCUCUCCCUCUCGCUCCCGUAAGUUAUACAACUUGAAGUGAAAUAUGAGUGGUCUGAUUCUAGCUUAAAUAAUUUAUUGUGACAUGCUAUCUAAGGACAAUACAUUACCUAGCUCUACAUAUUUUAUUUAACCUCCGGCCCACCCUGUGCAAACUUGCCUUUCCCCUGCAAGACAAGAUUAAUCAAUGUAUCAAGUCUCAAAUUCAAUUUCGAAUAUGACCAUCGUACGCUCUUGUUCUUCCCUCUUUACGAGUGCAUUCCCCCCAACCUCAAGCUCCCUCUCUCGUCUUCAAUGUCACUGCUUAUAUCCUUAUGUUGUUCUAGUUUGAAAUAGUGGCUUCCACUAUUUCAGGGCCCCCAAAAAUCCAGAAACAUACUAUUCAUCACGAUGACAAAAUUUUUGGCAGGCAGGUGCUUCCUGACUUUCACACGGUAAUUCUCAAAUUCUGAUUUCACCAUAUUUUAAUUACUGAUUAGCAUAUAUUCAAGUGCUCUCCAUUAUAACGGAAGCCGCCGCCUCACUCGUGAUUCCAAACUUUUAUCUUUUUUUCCUUUUUUAAAUUAAUGCAAGUAGCCGCUGUCCUUUUUAUUAAUUAAUUAGUUCGGCCGCCCACAUUUCUUUUCCUAAUGUCUUCUACUGUCGAUUUUCUUUUAUUUUCUCUUUUUUCUUAAAAUAUACUUAUAAUAAUAAAAUAUAAAAAUAAAAAUUAACAUAUCAAAAUAUAAUUUAAUAGAAAAUUAAGAUAAAAAAUAAAAAAAUUAUGAGCAUAUCAAUCAAUAAAUGAAAAAUAAUAAUUUUUAUUUUUAUUAAAUAUAUAUUUUUUAAAAUUAAUCAAUUAUCUGAAUAAAUCAAAUCAUUUAAAAAUAAAUAAAUAAAUUAUUCUUAAAUAAAAAAAAGAAACUUUUUAUAACACUCACUAUGCUGGUUGUAGGGUAGACGCUUUGGGGACUGAAGCUGGUAACUUCUACAAGUAGUCUUAAGUUGACUGGCAACAACUAUAUUGGCAUUUAGACAUAAUGUACUGCAACCAUAUUGGUAUGUUCAAAUGUUCUUACUAUUGUAUUGGUGUAUCAAUAUUAUCUCUAACUGCCUUAUAGAUUAAAAAAAAUCUAAAUUUACAAUUUAACAUAAAUAAAAUAAUUGGUAAAAAAACAAUUAUGGUUUAUUUACUUAUCAGUAAUCAGAAUAGACUGAAAUCGAAAUGAGCUGUAUUACCGUUAAUGUGUUUAUGUUGUCCUUGAAUCGGAAUGAAUUAUUUUAAGUUACUAAAAUAUCAUUGGUUUGUUAUUCUAAUUAUUAUUAUUUAAUAUUUAUUAUAAUAUUUGUCAUAUCAUUAAAAAGAAAUAAUAAUGAUGAUAAUAUUAUCAUUAUUGUUUGUUACAUUAUUAUUAUUCAAAAAAAUUAUUGUUAAUAACAAUAAUUACUUUAUUUCAAUAAUAAUAAUGAUGAAAUUAAUAAUAACAAACAUGACAACAACAAUAAUUAUUUAUUAUGCCAAAAAUAACAAUAAUAAUAAGAAUAAUAAUCAUCAUCAUUUUUUUCCCAAAGAAGCAUUAUCAUCAUCAUUUAAAAAAAAAAUCAUCAUCAUCAUUUUUGUAGUUACUGUUUCAAUUUAGGAAGAAGCUGUUUCGUUGUGCUAACGAUGGGAGAUGUUGUGGCUGCGAUUCGGGGAGCUACUAGUUUAUUGCACUAAUGACGACAGGUGCGGCUGCUUGAUGCGAGGUCCAUGGCCAGUUGUCAGCAGUUCGACUUUGGUAUGGGCGUUGCUGGUUCGAUUUUAGGUGUUGUCUAAUUUCAUUUUCAGGAUUUUAAUUUUAAUUUUUUUUUAUAUUUUCAUUAAUUAAUCAGUGCAAAGUUUGAUUUUAGAAUUUGGAAUGAAGGUAAUUUUGUUAAUCAUGGAAAUGAGAUUCUGAUUGUCGAGAAUGAACUUACAAAAUUGCUGCAAAUUAAGUGAAAACAAAACGCUUUUUCUCUUUGUGUGAUUAAAACAUGAAAUGUACCAUAAAUAAAUAGGUAAAAAAUAAAUCAACACAAUUCAAAAUAGUAAACCAAUUACAAGAGGCACAAAUUUUUAUGUGAAAUACCGAAAAUGAAAAAAAACUAUAGCAUCCUAGUCUAAUAUAAUCUUCUACUAUAUUAAUGGGAUUACAGCACAAAUUCUUCCCUAUCUAACACUAGAGAUUAACAAUAUCAAAAAUCUCAAUAAUCUUAACUUACAAUACAACCUAAUAUAUGUCUCUCUAAUAAGUAGAUAUCUAAAAUAACAGUCUCUAAUAAGUAGGUAUCUCAAAUAAUAGUUAAUAAGAGGAUAAAACAAAAAUUAAGAUUAGUAGAAUGUGUAUAAGGCGAUGCUAUCAACUUAUCUUCUAAAUUUGAGAAAAAUAGUUAAAUUCACUUUUUCGAUUGUACGACCAAAGAUGGAAACCCUUGCCCCAAAACCAAAGGAAUCACCAUUGUGUUUUUUUUCUCUCUUUCUCUUUCUCGUUCUUCUCUUCUACUUUUCUUAAUGUUAGCCGCCACUUGCUUUUAUUCUUUAUAGCAUUUAAAAAGCUACUUUUAAUGGUAAAUUCAUCUAAGUCCAAAACUUAGUGAUAAUUGCACACCAAACAAUCCUUUUUGGACUAUGGACUUUUGGGCCUCCAAAUGAGAUGAAUACAACAAAUCUCCCCCUUCAGAUUAUGUGGGGGGCACUACAAGCCCGCUCUCUGCAUAUAGCUUUUCAGCUUCUCCUUGAAUAAUGACUUUGUCAUCAUACAUAACCCAUUCUUCGUUGUGUAAAUCUUCUCAAGCUAUAACUGUUCUUUCUCAAGCACGUCUCAUAUCUAAUGAUAUCUCACAUCAAUUUACUUAGAUUUCGAAUGGUAUAUCAAAUUCUUUGAACGGCACUCUGACUGUCGCAGUACAUAACAUAGUUGUCUCAUUUUAUAUCCAGCUCUUGUAGGAAAUUCUUCGUCCACAAUAUUUUUUUGCAACCUUCAAUAAUUGUAAUAUCAUUUGCUUUAGUGGUAGAAAAGGCAACUUAUUACUAAAGUUUAGAUUGCGAUGAGCUCCCCCUGCAAAAGUGAGCAAACAUCCUAGUACGAAUUUUUCGGAAUCAACAUCUCCUGCCAUAUCUAUACACUUGUAACACAGGUUUGUCACCACCAAAAUAUAAACAUGCUCUGGAAAUGCCUUUAAGAUAUCUGAGAAAUUUUCACUGUUGUCCAGUGCUCUUUACCGGGAUUGAAGAGAAACCACUGACUACACUAGCUGUAUAAGCAAUAUCUGGUCUUGUACAAAUUAUGGCGUACAAUAAACUGCCAACUGCUGAAGCAUAAGGAACUCCUCUCAUGGAGAAAUGGGUUUUGCUCUUGAGAAUUUUGGGAACAUAAAGAAUAAAGAUGUAAUUUCUUGGACUGCCAUUGUUUCGAGGUAUAUAAACAGAAGACAAGUCGAUAUAGCUUGACAAUGUUUUGAUCAGAUGCCAGAACGAGAUUAUGUCUUAUGGACUGCCAUGAUUGAUGGGUACCUUCGAGUGAAUAGGUUCAAAGAGGCUUUGACGCUUUUUCAGGAGAUGCAAACUUCAAAUAUAAUGGGAGACAAGUUUACCAUUGUUAGCAUUCUUACAGCUCGUGCCAAUCUGGGGGCACUAGAUCUGGGAGAAUGGAUAAAGACUUAUAUUGACAAAAACAAAGUCAAGAAUGAUAUAUUUGCGGGGAAUGCUUUGAUAGACAUGUACUGUAAAAGAGGAGAUGUUGAGAAAGCUCAAAAGGUAUUCAGGAAGAUGCUUUGAAAGGACAAAUUCUCAUGGACGACCAUGACUGUUGGCCUUGCCAUCAGUGGCAAUGGUGAUAAAGCUCUUGAUAUGUUUUCCCAAAUGCUUAGGGCUUCGAUCAAACCGGAUGAGGUAGCUUAUGUUGGUGUUCUGUCUGCCUGUUCUCACAAUGGUAACGAAACUUUUGUGAUAAAUAGUUGCAACUUAAGGUGAGAAUUGGAGGAAAGGAAAUAGACUGAAGUUGUUCAAUCAUCAGUGGUUGCUAUUUGGUUUUAAGUUGUUCAAUUAUCGGUCGUCUCUAUUUGGUUUUCUCCAAUAUCUCAUCUUCAGUUUUGACUCAGAUUCUAUCUUACCACUAUUGUUCUGUUCAUUCUAUUUGUUUCCUACAAAAUAUUUCUCCUGCCUAAAAUUUUUUGAAUCAGUAAGUUUUUAUCUUAUGCAAGAAUUGUGCUGAGAGUAAUUCCAUUUCUCAGUCUCGUUAUGUUUCAAUGAAGACGUAAAACUUGUGUUCUAGUGCACCAAUGUUUAUGCUUCUUACAAUUUGACUUUAAUUUACUUUGUAAAAUUUUUGUCAAAAAGUACUAAAAAGUAGUGCACCAAACACCAACUUUAUUAUAGAGAGGACUUUAGUUAAAUUUUAAGAAAACACUCAAAAGAAAGAGUUAUAAUUUAUUAUAGAAAUAUUUCACAUAAAUAAAAGCCAUCCCAUGCUGCAAAGAUCUUGCUAUAAUCACCAAAAACUAUCGGGAGCUUUUAGGGUUUCCAUAAAAAUGUCAUUUCGUUCCAAAAGUCAAUGGUGGGUAGAAAGUGGUGCAAAUGAGACUCAUUCUUAAUGGUAUAAGUUUUUGCUUAAUUAUGUCUUCCCCAAGAUGAUGAUUUAAUUUCCAUUCUCAAUUAAUUUUCAAGUUUCAACACUUUUCUAUGUAGCAUGACAUUGGAAAGAUCUUGUACAGUUGUACUACUAAAAGCUAGCAUCACACGUUAGUUAUUGUUAAGUUCUGUUUCAACGUGAAAUAAAGGAAGUAGUCCUUCAUUAAAACCAUUAUAGCCAAAUUUCACCUAAUUGGACACUUACAGACUUUCAUUUCAAGUUGGAUUUUGGUCCAACGUUUCAAAGUUUGGCCCAAUUAUUUUUGUCCGGUCAAGUCCUACGCAGCUAAGCCUCUCAAUGAAUGAGGGUGAGAUUGCUAAAAAUUACGACAGGUGAUAUUUUAUUAUUAUUAUUAUUAUUAUUUUUGGGGGAUAAAUCCUCACCAAAGUGAGGAGAUUUUAUCCAAAUCAAAAUAAAAAUAUAACAAGAACUGAAAGUCGGGCAGCCUAAAAGCUAGAUGAACUAAAAGUCAGGCGCCUAAAAACAACCUUAUGCAAAAGAGAAGCAAUAUGAGACCGAUCAAGUAAAAGAAUCCACCGCAACACCUAAAUUGGCCAAAUUAUCUGUUGGUAUUACAAGUUUCUUGUUAUAAAAGUGUAGAAUGAAGUAGGUGACGUAGUUUUAAGUUACAGCUGCAUGCCCAAUCGCAAUAUCAAAUAAUGCUUAAAUAUCAAAUAAUGCUUAAAGUAGUUGCCUAGGCCCGCCACAACUUAUAUUAACUCUUAAAUUUAUAAAUAAUUAAAUUUUUAAAAGUUUGGAUUUAUAUUAAAAAAUCUUCAUAUAAAUAAAUAAUAUAUGCACUUUUACAACAGUCUUUAAAUUUAAAUUUUUCAAAAAAAAUCUUCUGUAUAUCUUUUCUAUUAAAAAAAUUUCCAUAUAAAUAAAUAAUAUACCUAAUUUAAUUGGACCGAGCACAACGCACAUGCAUAGAACACAUUCCGAAAAGCCAUGCUAUUCAGAAAUUGACGAAUGAAAAGUGAGGAGGCAGCAGUCAAUGCUAUUUCGGCUUGGCCCAAAAUUGAUUUAUCAGUUUGACGUGUGCCAGGAAUGAAGAACUGGAAUAUCACCGUCAAGCAGCACCCUGUGGAGCAAUACCAUAGAAUGCACAAUCUGGCUUUGCCAGGUGACACUGGAGGCUUUUUGAAAAGUGCUUCAAAAAGCCUUUUCUGAUCGAGUCUGAGCACUCAAAUUUUGGUCCUCAGAUGGAGCUACAGCUUUCUCUCCAAUAACCAACAAUUUUCUAAACUCAGCUCCUAGUGUGAUGAGAGUUGUUGAUAUUUGUAAAUGGAGAUCCCCGUAUUUGCAAAUGGAGACAUUUACCAAAUCACCAACAUGCUUCAUCCAGUCUACGAAAUUCUGCAGCUGAUUCAAAUCCGGAACCUGAACCAGAGUCGGAGGUAAAUCUUGAGCCAUAUCUAAAGCAGUCUGAAGUUCAAGUACUUGAGCCCUUGACAAUGGUUUUGAAAUUGGAACAUCUUGGAUUACUGCAGACUUGUACCCCUUGGUUUCAAAGGUAAGGAAAGGCAUUGCUUGAGUACAAUUUGGAGGCAGCUUCUUCACCAAUUUUAUUUGGAGGCAAUUGGCAGCGGAUCCAGCUGCACCAAUUUCAGAGCAAAUACUGACACUACUUCAAACAGCACGCUGAAGAAGAGAUAUGUCUAUGGCAAAGACAAUGCAGUCCUCAUUUUGACUUGAGAUGCGGUAAUCAUCAAAGAGAGUUUCCUUGUGAAACUGGGCAACACAUUGAAUCCCUUCACCACUGAGAAGGUUGUGGAGGAAGCAAGCUUUCUCUCUAGUAAGGAAGAGGUGGCAUACCUUCCCCAUUUUGUCUAGGACAGGUAGGAAUCUUUUUUCUAAGAGAUUUACUCCAUUCUCUGUGAGAAAUGCUUUGAACUUCAUCCCUCUGUCUCUAUCCUCACUUAUCAGUAAAAUAGUUGAAAGCACUACAAGGAGAGAAAAGAAGAGUAUUAAGAUAUAUAUAGACAAGAAAAACAUUAGAUGUCGAUCUUACAAGCUAAUACUUCAAACAGUAUCCUAGAAAGCUAAAAACUGCAAAAUGGCUUGAAAUUUGAAAAGAACACAUGCUUUUCCUCCUUAACUUGAGAAAAUGUUUAAUAUAGUGCACCUUACAGAAACAUUUAAGCAAUUAGAACUUUGCACAAAAACAUUCAAGAAGACUAAACAAAUCAGAUGCAGUGUAUUUCUCCAAGCACAAAUGGCAUUGCAUUUUCUCCUCAACUGUAAUAUUUAUUGAUGAAAAUCAGUACAGGUCCCUCAUUUGUUAUGGAAAGCUUUCUUGUAGUCUGACCGGUUAAUUCACGGGUCUAUAAUCAUCUUGCAAAGUUACAGGCAUUUCUUUCGAUUUAAAGUCUUUGCAUCACCACCUCAUCACACACCAAGCCAAUAUUCCGUCUACCUCUACAACAAAAAGUUUUAAGUAAACGAUCCUAAUGCAUGCAGCCAAAUAAAAUGCAGUAAGAAUAUUCAACUUAAAACUCUGAAAGCCAUCUUGGUGAAUUGCCUCCUUAGGGGAAGUUCCAUGCUUUACUAUACUUGACAGGACUGAGCAAAAGCUUCCAUACGACAGAUUUUGACAAUAAUGAUGCCAACAGAUCCUCAUUAAAUCCAUUAAAACUCCAAAGGUUCAUUGUUCAUGGAUGUUUACAGAGUUUUGGUCAUCAAAUAGCUCAGACCACAAUCCCAAACAAAAAAGGAGUGAAAAUUAGAUCACCAGCAGCUAAUUGUAAAUUCUAACUUAACUCUUCAUCUCCUUUGUAAACAGGAGACAAAAUGGAGACACGCAAAAUGAAUAAGGAGAACAUUUGAACUCAAAUGAAAUGAGGGCACGAAAUCAAACAAAUGGCAUGCGCAAACAAACCAAGCCUCAAUCAAAAACUAAAUAACCAUUAAGAAAAAAAAACUGGUCAGAGAAUGAACUCCAAAUUCGGGAGUGAAGCAAGAAGCUUUCAUUAUUUCAGAAGCUCCUGUACAAAUUAAUAAGUUAUGCUCUUUGGAAACAAACCUAAAUUCCAAGAGAAACAGAACUCAAAAAAUUUGCAAUUAUACGCAAAGGAAGCGAAGCACAGCAUUCUAUCACACGUACAAAUUGUAUAACAAGAGAUCGACACAUCGAAUCAGAAGAAUUCAAUUCAAAUUUGUCUCAAAAAUCAAAAUUAGAAGAUUUCACAUUUCGAGAGGAACAAGCGACAGGUCAGAUGCACAAUUUUCAACCACAACAUGCCACAAUUAACGGUUUAUUUCCAUGGAUUUAGAGAGCUGACUGACCUUUUGGCUUUUGGAAUUGAGAAGAACGCGCGCCAAAAUGGAAGAGGGAAAGCGAAAGUGCGGGUUUCAAUAGGGUAUUGGAUUAGCAAAUUUUAUUAGUUUGCGAGGGUAAAAUAGGAAAGAGAUAUCACUAUUAACUUUUUUUUUUAUAAGAAAAAAGAAUAAUAAAGAAUAUUUUAUUGUCAUUUGCAGCAUUUAAUUUUUUUUAAAUGCUAUUAGAAAAAAACGACAAUAAAGAAAUGCUCUUUUUUUAUUUUUUUCUCGAAGGUAAAAUCAAUUAUUUAGCGUCUUAUAUGUAAUCUAACUCCAUUUCUUACUUUAAGUCAUAUCCAACUGACCAAUAAAGUAAUUGUUUUUUUUUUCAUUCAUUUUUACAGAAAAUUAAUAUUGAAAGCUAUUGUAAAAAUUUUUAUUAUCAACCUCAUAGUUUAAUUUUUUUGGGGAAGAAUUGAAUUUUUUUUUUUAAUUUCCAAGAAUUUCAUUCUCUAGUUUUUCCAUUAAUAUUACUUAUCUUGAUACCCAUCUUAAUUAAAAUCUGUAGUUUUAUUCAGGAGUCAUGCUAUUCAUUCACUCACAGACCAAAGGCUUUCCGCAGCAAUAUUAUUAUUUAAAUUACAACAAAGGGGAAAUCAAAUACGUCAUACAGAAGCUUAAAGCUGAAUCUACAAAAUCUAGAGCUCUCAACUACAAAAAUUACACUUGAUGAUCCUCUACAAGAUGAAACUUGUUCAAUAUCUCAUCCAAAGCUUGUAAAGUAACCUUGUAACGAUCUUGAGAUUGCCUGCCUUCCUCGACGACCUGCACGAUGCGUUUGUACAAAUCAUCAUACCUGUGCACCGGAUUUUUAAUAUCAACGCCACUGCAGCUGUGAUCAAGAACAUAAGAGCGUUUAACAUCUUUUCUCCAUCGAGAAAGAAUGUAGUGAGGUGGGAUCUCCUGCAUGCCACUCUGGUUUAGAACACAAAGAAUGUGUCUGCAUAAAUAUCCUCUGAAAUUGAACAACCCACAAACACAAAGCACCUCCUGCAUAAAUAUCUUUCUCGUUGCUACCAAUCUCAAAUUCUUCCUUCACUAUCUAUGUUAUAGGUCCAUCAGCACUGACAUGUUUUGUGCUAUAGCAAGAGUACAUAGCCUCCACCUCCGUCUGAAACUUCCUUAACAUUUCAUUUGUGUACAGUUUUGAGAGUUGAAAUUCAUAGUAACAUCUUGGUUUCUGGAUACAACUUGAAUUUCUUGAAUCCAUAUCUGCCAAGGCUUCCAGUUGAUAAUUCGCCUGCAGUGCUUGAUCAUACUUGUCUAAGAAUUCUUUCAAAGGAGUACUCUUAUCAAGAUAUCCUUCAAAGUAUGAAGUAGAAACCUCAUUCUGCAGGAAUGAAAACACUCCUGAUAAAAAUGCUUCCUUCAAAUAAACAGGAGCCCACCUUUUACGAUCUUCAUAUAAAGUUUGAAUCCAUCCAUGAUCCUUUAUUCCAUGACGUUGAAUCGUGUCCUCCCAAGCUGUCUCAAAUUCCUCAGGCCUAAGAGAGUGAUAAAUUGCUCUAUGCAAUGCAGCUCUAACAGCUUCAUAUUCAAACAAUCCUUGGAGUUUCUCUGAAAUUUUUUGCAUGACGCAUGACAAUGAAAAGCAAUGAUAAGCUCUUGGGAAAGCAUUGCUGACGGCAGUUUUCAAGAUUCUACAUUGGUCAGUGAUGAUUGUUUGUGGACAGCGUCCUAACAUACAUGUAAGCCACGCCCUAAACAACCAUGUAUAUGAUUCUAUAGUCUCACUGGCGAGUAAACCACAGCCCAACAGCACUGAUUGUCCAUGAUGAUUCACCCCAAUGAACGAAACCAGUGGUACAUCAUAUCUUUCUGUCAAGCAUGUAGUAUCAAUUAAGACUACAUCACCAAAGUACCUAUAUGCAACUCUUGACCUGGUAUCAGUCCAGAAGAGGUUUCUCAGGCAUCCCUUUUCAUUUAGAUCCACCACAUUAAAAAAGUUUGGAUCUGUCAACUGCAAACGACAAAAGAAACUCUGGACAGCUUGUGCAUCUCCUGGUUUAAGCUUCAAUUGAUUUGAGCUAUUAACAUCAUUUCCAAAUACUCCAUUAACAUCUAUAUUACCAUUUCCCUCGGUAUCAAGGAUAAGAGUUCGAAACAGUCUAAUUUUUUGAACUUCUUCAGCACCAUCUAAGAGCAAUGUUCUUUUGGUUCCAAUACCCAUGUGCUUAUGAGACUUGUAAAACUUUCCGCUUCUUGGGCUUAACAAACGGUUAUGCUCAAGCUUGACUUCAAUGAUUCUCCACCUUUUGGUUUCCAUCAACCUAAACUUUAUCAUUGCUGGACAGCCAGUUCUUGUUUCUGGUCUUGGGCGGUUUGCCUCGCUUUUCUUCUUUAAGCCUGCACUACUACAGCUCAGCUUUCCUCUAUACUUUUCUCUACUCUUUCGGUACCAUGUAUUGCUAACUCUAACACCAAAACCCUGUUCCUUGGCAUAGCAAUUAUAAAAGUAAUAUACGUCAUCAUACGUCUCAAACUCCAUCCCAACAGCAGGAGGCAAUGGAUUUUGGAUUAUCCCAGUUUGUCCAACAUAUUCAGUCAUCGCACAAUCUCCUAUUCAAAAUCAUCAGCGUCAUCAUCACCUACGGGUUCAGUAUUCAGAGAAACUUCAUCCAUCUACAAUAGAUGUUUAAUGAAGUGAGCUUUAAGGAGAAAAGGCAAAAUCAGUUCAAGGAAUGAUAAUAAAACCGUACAGUUACUUUCACAAAGCUUCGUAUUUCAUCACUACUUUAACAACAUGCAACUGCCUGAGAACAUACAGACAUGUCAUAGAUGCUUGAAUUAAGUAUUGAUACAAAUUAGCACACAUCAUGUGGGACACAAUUUCAGUCACUAAACCCAAUACCUUUUUUUUACAUCAUACCAAGAAACAGAUUAAACCCAAUACCUUCUUUUACGCCAUACCAAAGAACAGAUUAAAUCAUCAAUGAAAAAUUAAUCACAUAAUAAUUUAACUAGACAAUUGAAGAGCUCAAAACAGCACAAUACUUGAAUCUGAUUAUGAUAAUUGUUGAGUCCUUGUAUCGACAGCUUUCCUUCAAUGAGAAGAUUAUGAACAUAAACUACACACAAAAAAAAAAAUUAUUUAAACUGACAGCCCAUGAUAUAAAUCAAACAAAAUUAACUCCUUUUACAAAUCACAUCUUGUAUUCAUUUACAUCGAAACAUAAAAAGGAAGCAGGAGCCAAAAAAAACAACAGCACAGAAACUUCUUUCCAUAAGGUUUACGAAAUAAGGAAUUUAUUAAGACACAAAAUUUGAGGUCACCUAUAAUAAUUUGGUUCUCAUUCUCUUUUUCUUCAUUUUUCACUUAUUGAUGGAGUUAGCAUACAAUCCUAAAUGAUAAAACCCCAUCUCCAUUUUUGAACUAGAGCUAAAGCAAAGCAUUUUAGGAUUCAUCAUUUUUUUUUCUAAAAGACUCAAUAGUACAAUGUUUUUCAAUAUUAAAUACACAACUCAAUCUUCUCCUAAUUUACUCUAAUAAUCUCUUAACUUAGGAAGAUUAAGCUCCACUUGUAAGCUAAAACAAUUUUCUUAAAUCAAGCCCCAAUGCUCUAUACUAUUCAACAAGGCCUCAUAAAUGAUAAAACUACCUCUACAAAGAUACCCAUUUUAGUUUCGCAAACUAAAAUCAAACUCCUGAAACGUAACGAGCAUUAAAACAAACAAGUCCGAACAAGAACUGAAAAAUCAUACAUAAACUCGUUUACACGCUUCGAAAAACACUUUGAAAUUCAAACGAAACAUACCUUAGGUUGAUAAAUUAGUAGCGCAAAAGAAAUUUUAGUGAGAUAUGGGAUCAGGGUUUUUGCCACGGUGAUGUUAAUUGCGACAUUGGGGUGACUCAGCAGCCUUCGAGGCUGAAACUUUGAUUGACCAAAAGCUUCCCGUUCGUUGAUUAUCUAAUUGCAGAAACGAAACUCGCAGUGUACAGAAGAAGUACGCUGAUUUGAUAAUUCUGUGAAAAUCAUUGUUUUUUUGAGAUUUUUAAUGUGUUCGGUAAAUAUCAAAAUCUCAAAAACUUGUCUUUCAUUUUGGGGGGAAAAACCCAUUGAGAUCCUUAUGUUUUUUCUUAUAUAAUCUGGCUUAAUAAUUUGCAAAGUCUAUUACUUUGCACCCAUGCAUGCUGCGUUUCAAUUUUACAAAAUUGUACGUGAGUGCAUCCAGCUAAAAUUUGUAAAAAGAAAAUAACAAUAACAUGUUAAAAAUGUGAUGAUUAUGAAGAAAUUUUAAUUUAGUUAAAUAGGUGACGAUGGAUAGGUAUAAAAUCUGAGAUCUUUUAUGAGAUUAAUAAGUAUGUUGAGUUUGGAUUAGUUCAAUUUUGACAUAAUACAGAAUAAACACAAUCUGCUAAUCUAAGUUAUCAUCUUUUCUCGUCAUCAGGUACCUGUUUGAAAAAUAAUUAUAUACAAUUUUAUUUGCGUUGUCUCUCCAAAAAUUUUGGACUCGAAUGUUAUUUUUAAUUGCUAAAAGUACGAAAAUGCCCCCUUUCUCUUCAGCUAAAGGAGUGCAAAGUCAUCUGUAUAAUUGAAUCUGCAUCAUCAGUUUCUAUUGCUGGCUGGUGUUACUGCAUGCUUACAGUUGCUUGACAAAGUGAGCCAGUUUUUUGUUUAUUAAUUUUUUUUCUUGUCGAGACAGUCACAAAGUAUUACUUGUUCCAUAUGAGAAUGAUGUGAAUCAAUUUUUCAAUUAUGCAUUCUGUGGUAAUUAUUGUGAAUUUAGUUUCAUUUGUCUUGUCUCCUGCAAAUUUUGAAGAAAAUGCAGACAUACAAACUUACAAUAUGGAAGAGUUCACUGGAAAAAACUUUGUGAAAGCUUCCAAGUGAAACAGGGAAUGGGCUUACUAGUAAAGGACAAAUUGGUGGCCAGCUAAUGCAUUCAUUCUAUGUCCAUUCAUCUUUUCGAAUUAUUGAAGACAAGUGGCUCACCACUUUUAGUAUUGGUAAAAUUCAGAUAAUCUCUAUUCCGAAAUAAUAAUAUUCAAAAUAUCUCUUAAAUCAUUAUAAACCUGAAAUCUAUUUUAAUUUUAUUUAAAAGAUAAAAGAAAAAUAGGUUAUGUUGGUGAUUUUUUAUUAUCUUUUUAAUAAAAAUGAAAUAAAUUGAUGUUUAUAAUUAUUUAAAGUAUUUUAAAGAUUGCUAUUUUAUGAGAGAAUAAUAUUUCACUUUUUUAGUGUGAAAGAUUGAAAAAGGACAAACCAAGUUUCCCUAAUUUUUAUUUUAUUUGAAAUUGGUCAUCUCACAUACUUCACCCUUCAACAUUAUAAUUUUUUUGGUUAUAAUUUUAUUAUUUUUUCUCUUUUACACAUGCAUGUGAAUUACUUUUCUUUAAGCUCCUGAAUAUUUAAGACAAAUCAUGGAAGAGAUGAGAGUAUAACAAGAUGAUCAAAAUAUGUAACAAAAAAAUUUUAGAAGUGAAAAAUAUGUUAGAGUCGAAGUAAAACUCUGAGGUGAUGUUUGAUUUGAAGAAAAUGGAGGAGAGGAAAAGAGUGGAAUGGAGAGGAAAAUAGAGAAAAGGAGAGGAGAGGAGAGUGAAAUUUUUUUCUAAUGUUUGGUUUGUCACAUAAUUAUACAAAGAAAAGAAAUCUCUAAUUUUUUAUUUAGACAAUUUUAACCUUAAUAAGUAUUAAGCUUUCAAUAUUUAUCAUGUGUAUAAUUUAAAAAAAGUAAAUGGUAGAAAGCGGUUUCUGAUUCCGGCCACAUCGCCGGCAAUGGAAGGUACUUAUCAGAACAUCAAGAGCCGACCAUCAUUCCCUAGCCAUCACUGCUGUCAGAACACUGCCAGAAAGCUGCCGAUUGAACCGCAAAAAGUCGUGGAAAUCGCUGCCUCAAAUCGGUGAGUUUCGCCUUUUUCUGGUCACGCCGUCACCUUGGCUUUGUCCAUCAAGGCUGCCACUUCCAUUUUCAACCAUCCAUAGCCACUAUUAACGGCCAAAUCGCCGCCGAUCAGCGGGAUAUGUGGAAGUUAAAAAGUUUCUAAAUUUUUUUGACUGGAUUUGAACAACAUACGACCAUUUUUUGAUCUCGAUAACGACGUAGUAAUGUUGAUCAUUGAUCGGCAAGUCGAAUGGUAGUGGCGGUGAGUAACAUGCGCCAAUGACAUCGGCGGCGGCACUAUCCGGCGACUGUUAAAAUUAAUAUUUUAUAUUUUUAGAUUAAAUAAAUUUAUUUUAUUAAACUUUUUAAAUCAUUAUUUAAAUUUAAUUAAUUUAAAAUUAUCUAUAAUGUUGAAUUGAUAAAAUAAAUUUAUAAAUAAUAAUUAUGUGAUUACAUUAAAUAAGUUAAAAAGUUGAAAGGUUAUUUUUGGAAGAUUUAGUUUCCAACACAAAGGGAAUUUGAAUUCUUCACUUCUUAGUGUGGAAUUCAAAUUCUAUAUUGUAAUGGAUAUUAAAUUCCAAUAGAAAUUAAAUUCUUAUAAAUUAUGUCAAACCAAACAACGGAAAUAAAAAAGGAAUUUAAAUUACUUUCCUUUCCUCCAUUGUCUCCUUCCAACCAAAUACAUCCUGAAAAUAGAGAUAUUGAUUAAUUUAGAAGAGAUGCAAGCAAAAGAUAUUCCAAAAAAAAAAAAAGCAAUAUGUCCCUUUGGAGGGCAAACUUGUCAGUUUUAAAAAAGUACAUGCUUUGGAUUGAUAGUUGUAGGAUAUUUGUUUUGUCACUAUGUAUUAGUUGGAGAAGUCAAGCCUUGUGAAGAAUGUUAUGAAAGAGCAAAAGAUAUUCCUGAUAGCUGAUAGAGCUAUAUUUGAUUAUGUAUCCAACGAAUGGAUGUGUUGUUGGAAGAUAUCUGAGUGCAUUAGUUCAUAUGUGUAUGUCAAUGUGCUUUUAAUGAUUUUUCCACUUGUUUGUUGUAAAAGAUUAUUGUAAAUUGAAAUGAACUUGAUGUUGUAAUAUUUUUUCCUUAGUGGAAUUUCACCUAGUAUGUAUUCAGUUGUGUUCUCUAUAAUUUUGCAUUCGAAUAGUUUCACCUAAAUAUAUUAGCAUGAGUAGUGGCCCUUGAAACUUUGGUCAAAAUUAUUGUUAUUAUUUCCGACUAGAUGUAAAUUUUUUAUUAAAUCUCGUUAACACAAUUCUUAAUUAAAAGUAUAGGUUAGUGUUGGUGCAAGAUUUGCCACACCAAAUUCUGCCUAGCUGUCAAAAGUGCAAAAUAAAUGAAGAGAAAGCACAAAUACACGACUUGAAUAAGGAUACAACGAAACUUAAAUUCAAGAGAAAAUGAUAGCUAUAUCUCAAGAUUUGAAAAAAUGAUCAUGUAGAUUUUUAAGAUUUCAAUAAGCGACUGAGAUUCAAAUAAUAUCCUUUAAUUCUAUUAACAAAAAACAAAGACUCAAAUAUUUUAUGAUAAAUAAAAAUAUAAUAUUAAAAUAUAUGUGAUAAUAUACACAUUUUAAAUACUUUCAAUCCAAAAAAAUAGUUAUGUUUUACAAUCUAUUAGACAUAUUUUAUUAAAUUAAUAUAAAUUUUCUAUAAAAUAAGAAUAUAAUAUUAAAAUAAAUUCACUAAACUUUAAAGAAUUUUGAAUGUAAAAUAAUUUUAAUAUAUUAAUACGUGAGUUUUUUUAUUAAUAUAAAAAUUAUUUAACUUUAAGAUUUUUUAAAAUCUUUACAAUAAGUAUAACUAUAUUAUUUACAUUUAAAAAUAUUUAAAUAUUAUUAACCUACAAUUAUAUUUGCAUUUGUUAGAAAUUUUUUAAGUAAAAUAUUUUGCACUUCUAUAUUAUUAGAAUUAUUGCACACAAAGAAAGAAACAUAUACCUUUAGAAAUUGUUUUCUUUUAAAAUAGAGAUGAUGAUUAGUAUAAGGAUGAAAAAAAGGAUAUUAACGAAAUCUCUAUACAAAUUGAUUUUAGUAGGAAAAGAGUGAGAUGAAUGAUUCUUUUACAAUUAGAAACAUAGAUGAUGAUUAUUAUAACGAAGAAAAAAAGAUAAAGAAUAUUAAUUAUUAAUGGAAUCUCUAUGCAAAUUGAUUUUAGUAGGAAAAAAAUGAGUUAAAUGAUUUAGAGUGCGUUUGGAAUUGAGAUUGGGCAGCCAUAGAUUUUAAGUUACAACACUGAAGUGUUUGGUAAAUACUAGCUGCUGCAGAUUGAAAGUUAUGUUGAUAUGAUUUUUCACAUGUAUCAUAGAAAAUAUAUUACAUCUUUAAUAAUUUUUUUAAAAUUUAUAUUUGCUAUAUAUUAUUAUUAUUUUUUUUAUAGUUAUAACUUUUUUUCCACAGCAGCUGUAGCUUAAAAGCCACAGCACCUCAAUUUCAAACAAGUCCUUAGACAUUCAUAGUGUGUUUAUUUUUUGGAUUGGUGAAUAAAAAUUAUUGACAACGCUAACUUCAUCUUCACCGUUCGCAAUCCAACAGCAGCAAUUGUCACCAAUAAUGAUAUCUCCAAUGAUGAUGACAAUUAUUAUUAUUAUUAUUAUUAUUAUUAUUAUUAUUAUUAUUAUUAUUAUUAUUAUUAUUAUUAAUAAUUAAUUAAUUAAUUAAUAUAUUAAUGUUAAGAUUAUUAUUGUUAAGAUUAACAAUAAUUAUUAGUAAUACAAUUUUUUGAAUAAAAAUAAUCACAAUAAUUAAAAUACAAAUUAAUAAUUAUGACAAUAGUUAAUUAAUGUCUUUUUAGUGAAUCAAAAUUAUUGACAACGCUAACUUCAUCUUCACCGUUCGCAAUCCAACAGCAGCAAUUGUCACCAAUAAUGAUAUCUCCAAUGAUGAUGACAAUUAUUAUUAUUAUUAUUAAUUAAUUAAUUAAUUAAUGUUAAGAUUAUUAUUGUUAAGAUUAACAAUAAUUAUUAGUAAUACAAUUUUUUGAAUAAAAAUAAUCACAAUAAUUAAAAUAAAAAUUAAUAAUUAUGACAAUAGUUAAUUAAUGUCUUUUUAGUCAUUUAUAGUAAACAAAUUAUUAUGAUUCCUAUUCUCCUUUCCCAUUUUAGCUCACUUUGAUUUCAGUCUAUUCCGAUUUCUAUCUAAUAAAUGCACCAUUAGUGCUAAAGUAAUAUUUCAUACAUAGAAAAGUAAAAACUACACCUAAGGUUAAGGGAAAGGACUUCAAAACUCUCUUUUGAUUAUAAUACUAGGAAAUAAAACCGCGCUUCGCGCGGCUUUAGAAAAUAAAUUUAGUAUUAUCAAUUUUCUUUCUUUACACUCGACAAAACUGAUAAAAAAUAUAAAUUAAUUUUUUUUAAAUGAGCCAGCGUUAUAAAACUAAUAUUAUUUAUGAAAGUUAACUAUUUUUUUGUUAACUUUAAAAAUAUAUAUUAACGUGUAUAGUUUAAGUGUACAGACUUUAUACCUUUUGUAGUUGAUAAGUUCCAAAUUAAAUUUUGUAAUUGAGGAUCCUUAGCAUUGAAGUAUAAAAGAAAUAAGUAAAAUACAUGUAAAGACUUUUGUAAUUUAUUUCGCAUCGUUUGUAGCUGCGUAGGUGAGCAGUUGUUUAUAUCAAGCUUGCAGCUAUGGCAAGUUCCAAUGGGGAUCAGCAACACCUAGUGCCAAAAUGUUCUUUAUCUGUAUAUAAACCAUGUCUCCAUGGAUUAGAGAGAAUGAAAGGAGAAACAGUUGAUGUAAAAAAGAAUGCUUCUUCACGUACUAUGUUCUUUGGCGAUUAAAUCCUCCAUAACAGCUUGGAAAACUCAGCCAAAUUACCAUUUUGUUGUCUCGAUAGUUCCUUUGAUUUAUCCAUUUGUCUACUGAAUAAUUAAAACACAUAAUAAAAAUCAUUAUUAUAGGGUGAAGUAAGAGCUUGCAAUGUAUAAAUUAAAUUUUAAAAUAUAAUCUAAAAAUGUGAUACCUUGAUUUUGUGAGCUAAUGUGUGAAUAUUUUGAAAUACUUCUUUGUAGACAAUGUUUUUUAUGAAGGUUCGGUCUUCUACCUCUUGAUCGGCAUUUAGUAUGGUCAAUCCUUCUCUUGAGGUAACUCGAGACACGGCGACAUAUAAUUGACCAUGUGUGAAUACUUGCUUAGGGAGAUACAAGCCAACAUGUUUAAGAGAUUGUCCUUGGCUUUUGUUGAUCGUCAUGGCAAAACAUGGUGCUAAAGGAAGUUGUCGUCUGUUAAGCUUGAAUGGCCAUCUUGAUUCAUUAGGAGACAUAAUAAUUCUUGGAAUUGUGACAUUUUGUCCAAUAUUUGUUCCAGAAAUGAUGUCACCUCUAAUGGACCAUUUACCAAGAUGAGUGACAAUUAAUCUUGUGCCGUUGCAUAGGCCUUCUAUUUGAUUUAGAUUUCUGAGAAGCAUUACGGGAGCACCUUCCUUAAGUCGUAUGUCAUGAUUAGGGAUGCCAUUGAAUUUCAAACUAUUCAAAAAUUCAGUUGGAUAUAGAACAUCUUCAUCAUUUGUGUUUGCGCUUGCUUUGCAUAUACUGUCUGAGCUAAAAUAGGUUCUCCCUUGACCAGGUAUUAUAUUCAUAAUCAUCUCGUUCAAUUCAUGCACCAUUUCAUUUUUUGGGGUUAAUAUUGCUCUUUCUUUCAAAUAUGUUGGAUCACUGUAGUUAUGCUGAAUUGAUGGGUAGAUAGUGUCGACUAUUGAUUUUAUCAGAUUUUCUGAUGGUUUCUUACAGAUAUCAGAAGGUAGUUUAACUAAAUCUCUAUCAAUGUCAUCAUAUAAUGAACCAUCUCCAAUCUGCAAUAACCAUUUGUCAAAAGAAGCUAUUUUAGCAGCCUAAGAGCCACUCACACUUCCAUUAUAGAGCCUCAUAUUUUUUUUGAGGUCAUAAAUUUUGAAAAAUGGCCACAAGUAGGAUGAGUUAAGUGAAGCAUCAACAAUGUCUGCUCUUGUCCUCUUUGGCACAACUGGCAAUAUUUGUCGGAAAUCGCCACCACAUACUAUUGUAAGUCCUCCAAAAGGUUUGAUAGAACUAUUUUCAUACAUUGUUCUUAGAAUAUCUCUCAAGGUCCUAUCCAAAGCUUCAAAGCAGAACUUAUGUGUCAUAGGCGCUUCAUCCCAAAUGAUCAAAGAAGUUUUCAUAAGAAGUCCAGCUAAUAAGGUGCCUUGUCGGAUUUCACAAGUGGACUCUGCUGUCACAUCCAAAGGAAUAUGAAAUCGCGAAUGAGCUGUCCUACCAUUAGGCAAUAACAAAGCUGCUAUACCUGAAGUUGCAACAGGCAAGACUAUUUUAGAAUGUGAUCUGAGCUUUGCAAUAAUUGUAUUCCACAAAAAUGUUUUACCAGUACCACUGUGUCCAUUGAUAAAAAAUAAACGCCCUUCUUCAUUGUCAACAGAAUGCAUUAUUGCUUCAUAGGCUGAUUUUUGGCAAGCAUUUAGAGCAGCAAACGAUUUCUCAUGCAACUUCUUUAAUUGAUCACGAUCAUAAUCAAGCUCUUCAUUGACCAAUCGGUUACCUGAAUCUCUUAUCAAAGAAGAAUUAGGAAGUGGCAUUCCAUCUAUGUCUCUCAAACUUUUUCCCAUUUUCAACAUGAUAGUUUAAAUCUCCAACAAUGUGUAUGCUUCAACUUGUUGCUCGGUUAACUGAAGAUCUUUCAAUCUGAAUUUUUUCCUUUGCAAUGAAGUUAUGUCUUCUGAUAAAGUAGUAUAAUUAGAUUUCCAAAGUUGGGGUGCAUCAGAAACCUGACAAUGAAUGAGUAUCGUGACAAAAAGAUGUCUUAAUUCAUUUCCAGUCGCCCAUAUUGCAGCUUCAGUCAAGCAGUCGAUCCAUUCUUUAUCAUCGUCUAAUAAUCCCAAAGCAUAGCACGCAGCUUUAAAAGUUGGAUAUGUCACUCCAUUUACUGUUCUAAUACUUUCAAAUGAAGUGCUUCCUUUUACAAAAUUGAGCAACAUUCUCAUAUAAAAUCGUUCUCCACUUGAAGGAUGUGCAAAGUAAAUUCUUCCGAUUGCUAAGCCAUUUUUUCUCCUAGUCCAAGUUUUGUCUUUUGAAUUCCAUACCCAACAUGUAGGGAAAUCAGAAUAAGUUAACUCUCGUGCAUCAUCAUAAUUCUUGUUUGCCUCCAACCAUUCUGUGAACUUUGUUUUUUCUAUUCCAGGUAUGGUAAGCACAUUUUCUAAGCACUUAGAUUCUUCGAAUAUUACUGUAUGCUCUCCCGGUAAAUGGAACGGCAAUCUUUCAACUGCUGGCUUUCUGUAAUGUAUGUCAAAUUGGAAGAUUCGCCAGCAAGCUUCGGUUGCUGAUAUAUAUCUGCAGUCCAAAUAUGUUUUGAUCUCGUCCAUUUCUUGGGUAGUGUCAAUAGAUUCCAUUGUUGCAGUUGUUCUAUCAGACCCUUUAUGGACAUACUUGAAAAGAUAUUUAACUGAUCUCGAGUAAUUACAAAUCUCAACAUUAAUAUGUGCAUCAAAUUUGACAAUUAAAUUCCUGUGAUAAGGGACCACAUAUCGAUUAUCCAAGAAGACACCUUUCUUUUCGACAUGAAUACCUGUAUUUCUCCUUUUAUAGAUUGGAAAACCAUUUGUAUCCACUGUUGUCUGAUCAUUAAAUUUUUUUGGAAAAUGUUUUGUGCACUUGUCUUGCAUCAUGCAUGGAGAGUGAGAAUUGUGUUUUCCACACGGUCCAUGAAUCAUAAAUUUGUUAACUGCAUUAUAACCAUCAGGAUCAACAUUUAAGUCAGGGAUUUCUGCACUUAUUAUUUUAUCAAUAUGGUCUGCAGAAGGAUUUUUCAUUGUUGGAUGCAAAAAAAGCAGUAUGUGUGCAUAGGGCAAGCCUCUUUUUUUAAACUCAAUUGUAUAUAGACCUGCCACAAAAUAGAGUAAAAUUUAAAAGUUAGAAAUAUUGAUUUUAAUUGUGAAAUUAUUGUUUUUCCCUACACUUUUCAAUAACAAAUGAGUUGAAUUUGUUAUGGAUACGAAUUUGAAGUGAACUUACAUGCAAUUAUUUUUCCAAACGGUUGAUCUUUUUUCAAAUCUUGCAUUAGUUGGAAUAAUUUUAUCUCGAAAACUCUGCAUAUGAUAUCGACUCGAUUGUCAUCAUUAUUUUGUCCAACUAAUCGGAGCAUGUUAUUUAUUUCUUGCCACUUUGGGUUGCAAGUGAAAGUAAGAAAUAAAUCAGGAUAUCCUGCCCAUUUACAAAUUGCCAUAGCAUCUUGAUAAUUUUGUAUUCUAUAUCGUGGUCCCCCCGUGUGUGAUGAAGGUAGAAUAAUCGAUUUUCCAACUUUCGAACAAUCAGAAUCACCUCGAUGAACAGCAUCCAUCAAACCAGAGAAAAGGUCUGAUCGAAGUUUUUGUUGAUUAUUCCGGAUCCAACGAAAUCUUUCUUCUUCAACUGCCAUGUAACAAUCAACUAUAUAUUGUUGGAAUAGUCUACCAGUUUGAAGUAGAGUGUGUCCCUCAUUCAAUCUUUGUUGCAACCUAAAGCAAUAAUAUUGCCUCAUUGUCAGCUUUUGCCUCUUAAAAGGGCUAUCAGUUAUGUCUCUUAAAGAUAUGUCAGGUCUAUAUCCAUCUUCGCCAUAAGGAUAUAUUAACGGGUAUGUCAUGGGCAUGAAGCUUGGAUGCAAAUCUGUGAUUCUCCGAAGUCCCUUUGUGCGAUGCUCUAUAAUAACAUCGCGUUGAAAGUUUGCUUCACUGAAAUCACCAACUAUUAAGCCUGCAACUUCUGAAACUGUUGGUAUAUUGUAUCGACGACCAUCUCUUGUUCUACUAUUAAGGAGUCGUAAACGGAAUGUAGAUUCUGGUUGUGUUUUGUAUCUAUCCCUCGCCAUUCUAAAAGAUUUGACCAAAUUAUUAUGUUGGUCCAACAUUUUAGAUAGUUCAUGAAGAAUUUCGUGAUCAAUUUCUGUCUUCAUUCCAUGUUUUAAUAGAGUGUUGAUUCUAUUGUCUAUCUCAUUUUCAGUAUCAUAGAUAUAGAGCUGAGCAAACUGUGGUUUUUUCCCAACUUCUGGCAACAAAGAACCAAUGUGAUGAUAAUUCUGACCGCUCAUCCUGAAAACAUAAGGACCUUUUGAUCGAUUGAUUGAUGCAUCAACUCGACCUCCCAUAGAUGUGAAAGCAAACAUGGAGUUAUAAGCCCUGAUAUUUUUUCGAAAUUUGGAACCCUUUUGUCCAGACUCUGCCCCGAGAAGAUAUUUGAGUAAAGGAGGUGUUUCUUUCAUGAAUGGAAUCUGCACACGACCUUCCAUACAACAAAAUGUGAAUUUGGGAUGUGAGACCUUUUUGGUUUUCUUGUUCCGUUCCUCGUACCAUAAAAUGGCACCACAAUAUUGACAUGUGUAUGUAGGGGGUCCAAAAUUCCAAGGCGUUGUGUAAUGAACUGUCAAAUUCAACCAAUAAUAAUAUUGUAACAAAGUAUCUUAUUUCGUCUAAGUGAAUAUGGUAAGAAAAAAUAUUACUAAAUAUAUUAAUAUUUUCAUUGUACAUGUAGUUUCAUGCAAAUAUGUACCAUUAUUUGAUGUUACACCAUCCAAUGGAAAGCUUGUGGACUGAUCUAUAUUCUCAUCAAAAGAGAGACACGCUCUUUUUAGUUGUCCAUGUUCAACUGUAUAUUUUUAAAGUUCCAAAAGCAAUGAAUAAGUUAUUAGUUUCAAGUAUUACAAGCAUGAUGAAUAACUAAUAAAGCUCGAUAAAUUUAAAUAUAUAUACGUACAUGUGUGAAGAAGGCGCUUUCCUCUGUUUGUUUGACUCUUUGGAUUUAUAUGUAAUGAUGUUUUAUUAUUAUCAUAUCCAGCUUUACCAGGAGAUUGAAGGAAAUUCCCAAUUGAAAUAUGUUAGAAAUAUAUAUAUUUGUUAAUAUAUAUUAACAUAAAUAAUUUAAAUUAUAUAGGGAUAAUUUUUGUAAUUUGUAUAGUAGGAAUAAAAAUCAUAUUUUCAAGAAUCACAUACCGUUUGAGUGAAGCAAUUUAUUGUCACUUCUAAUGACUUCCAACUUCAUAAAUUUUGUGUAAAAAUUCACAAUUUGUAGCAUCAAAAUGAUUCUCUUUUUUAAAUCAUGUUUGUAUCUAUUAUGAAUAAUCAUAAUUUUCCGCUUAAAUCUUGCAUGCUUGAAUAUGGCCUUCUGCACGACAACAUAUCCAUUGUUUAUUGUGUCACACUGGAAAUUUGAUGCAUAUUUCCUAAGUUUUAAUUUCAUAAUCCUUUCGUGCCGAGCUAAAGAUGAAAGUUGAUGCCGCAAGAGACAAACUUCUGGCGGAAUAUUCCUUGAGUCACCGAAAUCAUUAAUAGUUGCAGAAAUCAAUUCCAUUUACUCUGGUGAACAAUAAAGUGAAUUCAAUAUCACAAAAUAUUCUAAAAUUAACAAAACGUUUUAUUACAAAUCAUAACAAGAGAAACCGAAAAUAUAAAAUGUUUUUUUUCAAAAGAGAGAAUUUUUUUUUCAAUUAUUGAAAUAAGAAUUGCAAUGAAUUUUUCGAACGAAUAUAUACCAUAUGUUAGAAAGAACAAAAAAAAAAUCACUAAAAACAAAACAAAAUAAAAUGGGAUUUAAUUUAACCAAUUCAAUUUAAUUUUAAACUCAUGCCAGUGUCACACUGGCAUUAAUUUUUGUUGUGCUUAUAGCCACGAACAGAGGCUUUUAGAUUACUUCUUUAUUAGGUUAUUAUUCUUCGAAUUUGGUGGGUAAAUUGUGAGCUUUUUCUGUUGUGAUAUUAUCAAAUCAAUCCAUGCAAAAUAAUCAUUAAUGUAAUGUUUUUGUUAUUUUCAAACUGAUAAAUAAUUAUGAAUUGUUUCCAUAAUUGUGUAUUUAGAAACAACGUUAACACAUUUUUUCGGAACAAACUUCUAAGUUUGAUUGAUUUUACGUCUAAUUACGAUACCCUAAAUUAAUAUAGAAAGUCAACAAAAAUCCACUUUAACAGUUCUAAUGUAAAUUUAAAGGCAAUUAAUUUUGAGUAAAUAUGAACUAAAACAAAACUUGAACAAAAUCUGAAUUUAUAUAUAAUAUUAAGGUAGCCACAUUGCAUUUGAAAAUGUCAAUUAGUGGGAUCUAAAUAAAUAAUCACCUUGGAAUUUUUUAAUGGUUGUAGGAGUUAAUAUUACAUACACGGACUAUCAUCUUUGUUGUACAAAUUUCGAUCAAACAUCUCCCCCAACUUUUUUCAUAAAGUAAUCUUUGAUAUCACCGAGCUAUCCAUAAAAAUUGCCACAAGUGAAUAAUGUAAAGAGAAAAACUCAUUAUAAGGAUAUCAUAUUAUCAUUAAAUUCGAAAGUUUCGAAUUACGUUAUUAUACAAUUGGUUACUUUUUAAUUCUAAAUCACCAAUAUUAUUAUUCCCUAUCUCAAUAUGAAUAUUACCACUUGACUUUUUUAUUUGUGUUUAUGAAGAGGUGGGGUGUGAGGAAAAGGAAAAAAUGUUUUUCUUAAGAAUUAGAACAAAUAAUUAGGCAAUAAUUCAAGGAAUUGAGGUUGUUCAUUCUACAUUCCAUUUGGAUUUACAGUGAUUUUCAUAAAUUUUUUCUUUUAUUAAUUAUGCUAACUGCCAUGUACUGUUGUUUAUUCUACUGCGUUUGGGAGAAGAUGCUUGGGCUGCCUAGAACAUAUUUUCUAAUUAAUUUUUCUUGUGAAUACAUUGAAUAAUCUCUAAGGGCUAUAUCCUUUUUCAUUUUACUUUAACGGUUUUUCUUCAACAAAUAUUGGAUGUAUUUAGUGAAAAAGAAAAUUAAAAAUUAGGAAAGAAUUAAUAAAAUUAGUGAAGUCAAAUUGUCAAUCAAUUCUUAUGAUAAAACAAUAAUUAAAAAAUAUAGUCAUAGUUUUCUUGAUUAUAUUCGACUUAUUAAUCUGUUAAAACUUUUUAUAUCUUUUUUUCCAACUUCCCCAUUUGGUGAACUAUAAAAAUGAUAUGUUUUUUUUCCACUCUUUGUCUCUAUCUUUUUUCACUCACAAAGAGUUAAUAGUUAUUAAUCAAUUAAUUUUUUUUGUUUGCAUAAGAAUUAAUAAUGUUGCACACAUGUAUUGUGAAAUAAUUGUUUGUUCAUAAUUAUUUUUUGCAUUUUUUUAGAAGUCAAUAGUCAAAUUAAUGAUAUUGAAUUAAGACAUUUCGAAGUUUGCUAUUUUGUACUUCUAAUAGAAAUGCUUGCAAAUGGGAGGCAUUAAUUUUUCUGUUUACUUUAUCGAAUUUCAUAAAAUUCAAUUCAAACAAAAAAUUGAAGGUUAGAAAAGCAGUUGGAUAGUUUCAUAAAAUUAUUAUUUUAUCAUUUAAAAGAUAUGUACCACAUCAAUUAGGACUAAAUAUUAGAAUCAUUAGCAUUGUUCCAAUCACACAUGCAAAAUCUAUCACUCAAUAGUCAAGUACAUUGUACAAUGCAGUCGAGAACAACUUCAACAUUUAGUUAAACCUUUUCUAUCUGUUUAUUUCCACAAAACACCAAAUAUCCAGAUUGAUACUGGAUCCUCCGAGUCAAAUAUAGCUAGUUCACGUUCAGAAAAGACCCGCCUCUUUUAAUUGUACCUCCUGCAUGCGAAUUAUAUAACAAUUAAAUAAAACUACACCAGAGAUUAAUUAGUCAAUAAAUAUAAACACGAGCUAAAACAUGUGUUUACUAAUAAUUCUUAAACAGGUCUAAGCUUUCAAAGUUUGCAUUGAAAAAUUAAAGUGAAAAUCUUCAAUACCUCCAUGUGUAAAUCGCAUAAAUUAGACAACCAAAGAUUAUUCAAAGAUUUUUCUUUCUUACCUUAUGCUUUUUCGCAAACAAGUAGAUAACAACAAUUGUAAAGACAAGUGAGCAGUAAUCUGUUAAAACAAAGUAAUCCAGUGUUAAUGAAAAUAAGAACAACAUAUUAUAUUUAAAACUAAGUUUUCAUAAUAAUGAAAUCGAGUAAACUUAUUCGAUAAGGAUAAACAAAUAGAACGCAUUGACAAAUUGACAUCAAAUUAAAUUGAUCCAAAGAAAUUGAGAUGCUCAAAUUUGAUUACGUACACAUUAAUUUUCAAAUAAUUAAUCCACACAUUGUUUUAUUCUUCAAACAUCUUUAAACACAGGAGCCAACACUUUCACUCUUAUAUAUUACUGCCAUAGUAACUUGAACUUGGUGAUCAGCUUUUUAAUUGAUUUGCAGUAGCUCACAAUUAAUUAAGCUUGAUCAUCAGUAGCUAUUAUUGAUCAUAAAAAUAUUUGUUUAAUUUACAAUCUAAAGUUACGCUCCAUACUCUAUAUAUGUGAAUUAUAUAUUUGCAUCAUCAACAUUAACAUUAUAAAAUAAUCUGUGCAAUAGGAUGCUCUUGGAGUAUUUUAUUUUCAUCACAAAAUAUAUUAAAAUUAUAUUAGUCAGAGAAUAUAUCUAACACUUUCUAAACACUAAUAUAUAAUAGUUUCUACAAAAUUAUGAAAUAUUUGUACUAAAAUACCAAAAUAUAAAUAUAUAUAACCUAAUUGGAAUCAAUAAUCAAACUUCAAACAUGUCAUACUCUAAAGAAAUUAAAGCAUGAUAGUCUGUGUGUUUGACAUAUUCAACUAAAUGUUUGAUGAGAAUCUGUGAUUGUUAACAGCCAAUAAUGGUUUCUUUAGCAACUCAACUCAACUCAGCAAAACCGCAACCAAUUACAUUUACCAACUCAACUCUUCGCUUCCCCAAUUUCCAACAUUCUCUUCACAUUUACAAAUGGUAGGUGGUCCUAUAAAUCCCAUUCAAGAAUGAACAAUUUUUUUCAGUUCCUAGUAGGUGAAGUUUCUUCCACAUUUACAGAAAUUUCGACAGCAUCUCCCCAUAGUUCUCCAAGUACACGACCUAGAUUUAUGCAUUCAUCUAGUAUGUACCCAGAGAACAUGAGGAGCAGCUAUCGAAAUUUCCUUUUACGUGAAACAAAACUUCACCUACUUGGAACUAAAAAAAAUUAUGCAUUCCCAAACUGUCCAAGUUGGGACAAUUCAAGAAUUAUUAAUAGACAUAUCAUCCUCUUGUCAUCCUAAGAUGACACUGAUAAAACAUGUGUCUACUAAUAAUUCUUAAACGGGUCUUAGCUUUCAAAGCAUGCAUUGAAAAAAAAAACGUAAAUCAAUAUAUAUAUAUAUAUAUAUAUAUAGUUGAGUUUAUUAACAUUACCUAGGUUUGGCGGAGAAAAUAUGAAGAAGAAGAAGUAGUUUGGGCAAAAAUCAAAGGGUUUUGAUUUUCAUUAUUGAUCAAUUGAAAUAGUAGAGUAGUGGACCUUCUCAGCUAGUUCCAUGGAUGUUAAUAAAUCUAAAAUUUGUUAGCACUUAACAUUUGCUAAAGAAACCGUCUUAAGUUUCAAUUCUUUAAAUUAAUGUUAAUUAGAUUUGACAUUGAAGAUUAAUUAUUCACUAAGGCUUAUCAUAUUUUAAAAAAACGAAUAUAAAAGGUUGCAUAUUAAAUAUGGGAUUAUGCAAUUAAAAUUAAACCCUAGUAAUGGCAUUGGUGAGGGAAGAUGAAAGAAUUCCUUCCUAUAUUAAUUAGUUGAUAUAUUUUAAGCCACUAAAGUUUAAUUGUUGGCUUAAUAAAAUAAAUGAAUGUUUCAAGACUUAUAAUUAAUUAUUAUUAAUGGUUAUAUAUUGUUGAAUUUAAAUAGAAAUAGGAAAAGACAUGUAAUCUUUUGUAAUCUAAUAAUCAUUUUCUAUUUAUUUUCUAUUUUUAAUAUUUUGUAAUGUAAUUAUUUUUUAAUUUAAGCUAAUAUAUUAGAUAUUAGAGAAUAUAAAGAGAUGAGAAAUAAUGAUGUCACAAAUCUUAAAUACUUAAUAUUUAUAGAAUUUGAAGAAGCCAAAAAGCACUAAACAAAAGGUUGAAUAAUUAAAUAUGAAAUUAUGACAUUAAAAUUAGGCCCUAGUGGCAUUGUUGAGGGAAGAUGAAGGAACCUUCCUUUCUAUAUUAAUUAAUUGAUGCUUUUUAAAGCCAUUAAAGUUUAAUUAUUGGCAUAAUAAAAUAAAUGAAUGUUUCAAGACUUGUUGAAUUUAAAUAGGAAGAGGAAAAGACAUGUAAUCUUUUGUAACCUAAUAAUUAUAUUCUAUUUUUACUAUUUUAUAAUGUAAUUAUGUUUUAAUCUCAACUAAUAUACUAGAUAAUAAAGAAUAUAAGAAGAUGUAAAAUAGUGAUGCCACAUCACCUCUUGUAGUCAAGGCUUAUAAUUAAUUAAGAGACAUGGAUAGGGAUGGCAAUUUCCGGGUCCGGGUCCGGGUCCGGGUUUGGCUGUUCCGGAUCCGGACCCGGACAUCAAAUUCUCAUAACCGGACCCGCAUUAAACCCGGAUUUUUUAAAUCCGGAUCCGGUCCGGGUUCAACCCGGAAAAAUCCGGGUUUCCGGAUUCCGGGUUUGGAACCCGGAUUGCUUUAUUAUUAUUUUUUUUAGAGACCAUAUGGCUUACUUUAACAAGGCACAGGGGAUGGUGGUUUAAUGUUUUAAUGUUUUCCCCAACAACACAUUACAGAAUACUUCCUAGAAUUGGUUCAAUAAAAUUUGAUGGAUAUUGUUGUUGAGUUCGAAUUUUCCGUCUCUUUUGGUGGAGGUUUCACAUAUUUUCCUAUUACUUUUUGGCAUCUCUUUCUCUUUUGUCUGGUUUGUUUGUCUUUACUUUGCUGCUUCCUUUUCUCCUUUAGCUUAUUCCGAAGAUGCCUUUCUUUCUCAAAUACACCUUGCCAAACGACCUCACCUGUUGACGGCCAUAACCACCGUCUUCUAGGGUGAUCAGAAUCUGCCUCCUCGGCCAUGUCCUCAUCCAUGCUUUUUAAAGUGCUGUAUGAGAACCAUCUGACCCACAUUUGACCUCUCCGACUCUUAAAGUGCCACGCCGCGAAGGAUCUGAUCUGAUCUGAAGAAGAGAUUACAGGAGAGUUGCAGAGAGAGUGAGAGAUUAAGUGACGACGGAGGACUGAGGUGAGGAAUGAGUCACGGCUCACGGGUGAUUUUCCUUGAGAGAGGAACGGAUUACGGUUUACGAAUGAGACUUGAGAGAUUGAAAGGAGAAAUUAUAGAUUUACAGUAAUUUUUAGGUUGAAGGAGAAAUUUCGAGAGAGGAUCAGACGAACGAGACGAGAGAGAUCUAGAUUCUAGGGUUCACUUUUGUUUUUGUUUUUUUUUUAAUUUUUCUAUUUAUAUUUACGGAUUUACGGAUCAAAAUUAAUAUUAAAAUAAAUAAUAUCCGGGUCCGGGUUCCGGGUUUGCGGGUUCAUCUGAAACCGGAUCCGGACCGGAAAAAUGCGGGUUGUCAAAAACUGAUCCGGAUUCCGGAUAAAAACUAUGCCGGUGCGGGUUGAACCCGGACCGGAUUUUCCGGGUUCAAUCCGGGUCCGAUCCGGGUCCGGGUUUGGUUGCCAUCCCUAGACAUGGAUGAAACUAAUGUUAUUUAAGUAACACAUAGUUGAUUUAUAAGCUUAAUGUGUCAAAAUUGUUUAAACCUUUCCAAGAUUAACUAUUGUUUUCUUAUUAUUUCUUUUAUCUAGGUUUAAAUUUUAGGAGAAAUUUGUCAAUUUUCAAUUAUUGGGUGAUAUUGGUAUGCAAAUGAUGUGUUUUAUAGCAAUUUGAAUCUUUCUCAUCUUCAAGACUAUCAUUAGUCGAUAAUGUUGCUAUUACCUCAGGCUCUCGUGAGUCUAAACAUUUUCUAAUUAAUUGAAAAUGAUAUAAUGAUUAAUUAAUUGUUGAUAAUAAAACCAAUUUAAUACGACGUCUCCCCAUUUCUUUCUUUAUUUCUUUUAAACCUCAAUCAUUGUCAAAACCGUUAAUGGGUUGCAAUUAAACACUUAACAAAUCUUAAACUUGUUGUUAGCAAUUAACAUUUGCUAAAGGAAUCGUCUUAAGUUUCAAUUCUUUAAAUUAAUGUUAAUUAGAUUUAAGACGAAAAUUAAUUAUUCACUAAGACUUAUCUAUAAAUAAAAAGUAGAUACAAAUGUUGUAUAAUUAAAUAUGAGAUUAUGACACUAAAAUUAGGCCUUGGUAGUGGCAUUGUUGAGGGAAGAUAAAAGAACCUUCAUUCCUAUUUUAAUUAAAUUAUAUGUUAUGACGUGAAAAAAUAAACAAUCCAUUUUUGUAUUUUGUAGUUUGUGAAGAUUUGAAACAAUGUGCUUUCUUUUCAGAGUGAUAACAAUUGGAUCCAUUGCUUUUUCCUUUUAAUGUUUUAUAAACAUAUAUUGUCUAUUUGCAUCAAAUAAGUCCCAAUCUCUUUUACAAUCACUAAUAAAACACCUUUCAAUUAUUAAACUAUAAAUAUGUGUCAUUCAAAAUUAUGAUGGAAGAUAGAGAAUUUAGGGUGGGUUUCUUCACUGAAGAGUUAAAAAAAAUUGAAAUUUAAAAUUUUUCAAUAAAUACAAAUAUAAGAUGAAUAGUUUCAUUUGUUCAAUAGACUAAUCAUAUUAAAAUAAUGUUAGUAAGGAAAAUAAUUUAAAAAAUAUUCUUAAUUAAAAUAAUUUAAAAAAUGUAAAUUACCUCUCUCACCUCAUUUUUUAAGCAAAAAUAAAAAUAACUUGAAGUUUUAAAAAAUAAUUGAAGUAAUUUAAAAAUAAUCAAUUUGGAAUAAUUCAAAAUUUACCCAAGAGAUUAUUCACAAUAUCAAUCAAUGAAUUAGAAACAUUAAAUGGUAUAACAUAUAACUAUUAUUUUUAACUUAUUGAUCUCAAUCUUGAGCGUUCGGAUUAGAUCUUUGGGGUUUCAUUUUUUAGAUUUCAGUGAUUGAAAGUAUGAAACUCAAAGUAACAAAAAUUAAAUUUAUAUUUUAUCGCAAGUGAAGUGUAGGGAUUAAUCCAAUUAUUUGCGUCUAGCGUUUCUUUUUGUUGCUAUCACUCUUGUUGAUGAUGAUAAGCCUUUUUUUUUUUGCAUUGUCACUACCAAUUUAUUAUCUACAUUCAUCUAUAGAACGAAGCAAGAUGCCAAGAAAGAAAUAUAACACAAGAAAAAUAAGUUAUCCCAAUCGUUCAAAACAAAUACAUACAUAGCCAGAAAAAUAAGACAUAUCAUAUCACACUUAAAUAUUACCACUCUAAAAAGAAAAAAAGGUCAAAAGACUAACACACAUGUAAAAAGAUGACCAACAACAACACUAAACAUGUUUUGUGUAUUGAUUACUUCCACCAUCACUAACUUCAUCAUCAUCAAUAAUUUGGUUUUUUCUCUUUCUAUUCUUACUGGCAUUAGUAACAUGAAAAUCUCCCACAGAAUCUUCCAAAUUAUUUGAUAAGAUAUCAUGAGGAUCCUGUAAUUUUUUAAUCAAGGAAAUUAAAAUUAUGAGUAAACUGAACAUGCUAAUUUUAAUCAUAAAGGAAAACAACUGGGAAAUAAGAGUAAAUAAAAUUACCAUUUCUUGGGAAUGUUCUUCCUUUCUUUCAUAUAUUUCCACAUUUUCAUGAUCUGUAUUGUUUUUUUUCCUACAAAAAACAACAAUUAAAUAAUUUUUUUAACAUUACAUAUAUUGCCUACAAAUUGAACCUAGCACAGGUAGAUAAUACCUUCUUCAAUUCUUGUUCGAGCUCCAAUUUCUCAUCAGGGGUGAAAAGCUUUGACACAGUAAAAUUCUCAAGUCCCUCUUUCAAAUUGUAAUCAUUCAAUUUCAGUUUGUAAUCAUUCAAUUUCAGUUUGUAAUCAUUCAAUUUCAGUUUGUAAACAAAAUCUUUUCCACAAAGGCUUUGAAUUUCUGCAGGGACAUCCUUACUAUAUAAAGGUAGUCUAUUAAACAACUUGUGGGCUGAUGUAUCAAGUAACUUCUCAGCUACAUGAUUGAAUAAGACAAAAGUUGUCUCUGCCGUUUUAUCCAUGACUUUUAUAUGUAUUUUGUACCUACAUUAGAAUAAUGAAUUAGAAUGAAAAACUAACAACAUAAUGAGCAAUUUUUUUUAAAAAUAAUAUUAUUUUUCUUACAUCACAAGAGGAUAGUCACAUUCCUUUUUGCAAGUGCCACACAUAUAAAUACCAUUUGUAGGUAUGACCUUUUUUAUGCAUGUUUUGCACGAAACAUAGUACCAUCCAAAGGAGUUGUCUAUUUCACUAAUCUUGCCCCGCACAGUAACAAUAUAUUCCUACAAUUAAACAAUAAACAUUUAAAAAAAUAAUAAGGACAUUCCAAUAUUUAGGAACAAAUAACACAAAUGGAUGAGCAGGAAAAAAAUAGAAAAAUCACCUUCACUUGAGAACUCCAAUCAGCCUCCAAUAGUUCUUUAAUGCUCAUCCUGUUAAGGAACAUCUCUUCCUCAAAAGUAAUCUUAUUCACAUUCGAACUUUCAAUAACUUGCACAACGUUGGAGACGGUGGAAAAUCUUUCAAUUAAUGAUGCUACAUAAUCUAUUUGAAGAUUUAUAUAGAUUUUUCUUGCACUUGUGGUAGAGAAAUUAACCUCACCUGUUUAGAGCAAAUGUAACGUAAAACGAAACUUGAACAAAAUCUAAAUUUGUGUAUAAUAUUAAAAUAGCCACAUUGCAUUUGAAAAUGUUAAUUAGUGGGAUCUAAAUAAAAUAAUCACCUUGGAAUUUUUUAAUGGUUGUAGAAGUUACUAUCACAAUACAAGGACCCUCGUCUUUCUUGUACAAAUUUGAAUCAAACAUCUCCCCUAACUUUCCCCAUAAAGUAAUCUUCAUUGUUACUGAACUAUCCAUAAAAAUUAACAAAAAUUAAUAAUGUAAAGAGAACCAAUAACUAAAAAAUAACAUAAAUAACUAAAAAAAUAUAAAGUCAUAGUUUUCUUGAUUAUAUUCAACUUACUAAUCCAUUAGAAUUUUUAUAUCUCUUUUUUUCCAACCAGCUCCAACGAUCUCAAUAUCACCCACACCACAUAAACUUCCAAUAACAUCUGUAAUAUUAUGGAAAAAUAACAUAAACAUGUUAAAACAUAAGGAUUAAUAAUUUCUAAUAUACACUUAAAGAUUAACAAACAUUAAUAAUUAAAAAAAUACCUGAGAGGAUUGUGUUAUCAUUCACACGUAAAUCAAUCAAAUUCGAAGAUACGAAUUGAAAUCCAUUAAUCGGAAUCUUGACAGUUCCUUCUUCUAACCUCUUAAGAGAAGUUAUACCAAGAAAAUAAUCUUAUACUGAUUUGAAAGUGGUCUGUACUCGCCUGUAGUUGAAACAACUUUCAAAUUCUUGACAUUGUACAAAGAACCCUCACUCAACAUGUGCUUAAACCUUGUCACUAAGGUUUUCCUGAUUGUUGCAUGCAUUAGAUUUUCCUACGAAAAAAAAAAAACACAUACUACAUUCAGUGUGAAACAAUUGGGAAAAAAAAUUAGAGAAAACAAUGGGAGAAUAAAUUUUUUAUACAACCUUUUCAUCAAUAAAAAUCAUAUCAACACUAAUCAAUUCUCCAUUUUUUUUAGUAUUAGUAGACUCCCACAUCCUACAAAGCCUAACCCUUAUCAUCCAACUAUCUUUAUCAUUGUUCAACUCAUGAAGAAAAGAGUACUCCAUGAAGCACACAAUAUCAAAAAUUCAAAUAAAUCAAACAAUAAAAAUAUAAGUAUUUUUCUAAAGAGGGCGUUGAUUAAAUAAAUAAAAAAACCCUAAACAUAACAAAUCUUAAAUAUUUAGUGUUUAGAGAGCUUGAAGAAGCCAAAAGGCACUAAACAAAAGGUUGCAUAAUUAAAUAUGAGAUAAUGUCAUUAAAAUUAGGAUCUAGUGGCAUUGUUGAGGGAAGAUGAAAGAACCUCUCUUCCUAUGUUAAUUUAUUGAUUAUUUUAAGCCACUAAAGUUUAAUUGCUAGCAUAAUAAAAUUUGAAGGAGCCAAAAGACACUCAACAAAAGGUUCCAUAAUUAAAUAUAUGAUUAUGACAUUGAAAUUAGGCUCUAGUGGCAUUAUUGAGGGAAGAUGAAAGAACCUCUCUUCCUAUAUUAAUAAAUUCAUGUAUUUUAAGCCACUAAAGUUUAAUUGCUAGCAUAAUAAAAUAAAUGAAUGCUUCAAAAUACUUAUAAUUAAUUAUUAUUAAUGGUUACAUAUUGUUGGAUUUAAAUAGAAAGAGGAAGAAACAUGUACAAAGAAUAUCCACUAAUAUUUUAGAUAUUUUAGAUAAUAGAAAAUAUAAAACGAUGAGGUUGAGAGAAUGUGAAAGAACCUCUCUUCCUAUGUUAAUUAGUUGAUGUAUUUUAAGGCACUAAAGUUUAAUUGCUAGCAUAAUAAAAUUUAAAGAAGCCAAAAGGCACUCAACAAAAGGUUGCAUAAUUAAAUAUGAGAUUAUGGCAUUAAAAUUAGGCCCUAGUGGCAUUGUUGAGGGAAGAUGAAAGAACCUCUCUUCCUAUAUUAAUAAAUUCAUGUAUUUUAAGCCACUAAAGUUUAAUUGCUAGCAUAAUAAAAUAAAUGAAUGCUUCAAAAUACUUAUAAUUAAUUAUUAUUAAUGGUUACAUAUUGUUGGAUUUAAAUAAAAAGAGGAAGAAACAUGUACAAAGAAUAUCCACUAAUAUUUUAGAUAUUUUAGAUAAUAGAAAAUAUAAAACGAUGAGGUUGAGAGAAUGUGAAAGAACCUCUCUUCCUAUGUUAAUUAGUUGAUGUAUUUUAAGGCACUAAAGUUUAAUUGCUAGCAUAAUAAAAUUUAAAGAAGCCAAAAGGCACUCAACAAAAGGUUGCAUAAUUAAAUAUGAGAUUAUGGCAUUAAAAUUAGGCCCUAGUGGCAUUGUUGAGGGAAGAUGAAAGAACCUCUCUUCCUAUGUUAAUAAAUUCAUGUAUUUUAAGCCACUAAAGUUUAAUUGCUAGCAUAAUAAAACAAAUGAAUGUUUCAAAAGACUUAUAAUUAAUUAUUAUUAAUGGUUACAUAUUGUUGGAUUUAAAUAGAAAGAGGAAGAAAUAUGUACAAAGAAUAUUCAUCAAUAUUUUAGAUAUUUUAGAUAAUAGAGAAUAUAAAAAGAUGAGGUUGAGGGAAGAUGAAAUAACCUCUCUUCCUAUGUUAAUUAGGUGAUGUAUUUUAAGGCACUAAAGUUUAAUUGAUAGCAUAAUAAAUUUUGAAGAAGCCAAAAGACACUCAACAAAAUGUUGCAUAAUUAAAUAUGAGAUUAUGGCAUUAAAAUUAGGCUUUAGUGGCAUUGUUGAGGAAAAAUGAAAGAACCUCUCUUCCUAUGUUAAUUAAUUCAUGUAUUUUAUGCCACUAAAGUUUAAUUGCUAGCAUAAUAAAAGAAAUAAAUGUUUCAAAAGACUUAUAAUUAAUUAUUAUUAUUAAUUACAUAUUGUUAAAUUUAAAUAGAAAGAGAAAAAAAGUACAAAGAAUAUCCACAAUAUUUUAGAUAUUUUAGAUAAUAGAAAAUAUAAAAAGAUGAGGAAUGAUAUAUAUUAAUAAAGUUACUAUCUAUUAAAUGAGUUAAAUACAAUCAAAUUAAUUAUGAGAAGAUGAAAAGCCAAAUUUAAAAAAAAAAUAUCUAUUUAUUAGAUAAUAGAGAAUAUACAAAGAAGCAAAAUGGUGAUGCCACAUCAUCUCCUCAAGUCCUAGCUUUAUAUAGAUACUAGGAAAUAGAACCGCACUUUGUGCGGCUUUAAAAAAAGAAUUUAGUAUUAUUUUUUUUAUUACUUUACACUUGAUAAAACUGAUAAAAAAAUAUGAAUUGAUUUUCUUUUAAAGAUGACGCAGCCUUAUAAAACUAAUGUUAUUUAUGAAAGUUAAUUAUUUUUUUGUUAACUUUAAAAAUAUAUAUUAAUGUGUAUAGUUAAAUGUAAACAACCUUUUCAUCAAUAAAAAUUAUGUUCACACUAAUCAACUCUCAAUUCUUCUUGGUAUUAACAGACUCCUACAUUUUACAAAGUCUAACCCUUAUUAUCCAACUAUCUUUAUCAUUGUUUAACUCAUGAAGAAAAGAAUACUCUAUGAAGCACACAAUACAAAAAAAUUAAAUAAGUCAAAAAAUAAAAACACAAGAACAUUUCUAAAGAGGAUGUUGGUUAAAUUAAAAAAAAAUCCAAACAUAACAAAUCUUAAAUACUUAAUAUUUAUAUAGUUUGAAGAAGCCAAAAGACACUAAAUAAAGGUUGCAUAAUUAAAUAUGAAAUUAUGACAUUGAAAUUAGGUCCUAGUGGUAUUGGUGAGGGAAGAUGAAAGAACCUUCCUUCCUAUAUUAAUUAGUUGAUGUAUUUUAAACCACUAAAGUUUAGUUGUUGGCUUAAUAAAAUAAAUGAAUGUUUCAAAACUAUAAUUAAUUUAUUAUUAAUGGUUACAUAUUGUUGAAUUUAAAUAGAAAGAAGAAGAGACAUGUAAUCUUUUAUAAUCUACUAAUUAAUUUCUAUUUUUAAUAUUUUGUAAUAUAAUUAUUUUUUAAUCUCAACCAAUAUAUUAGAUUAUAGAGAAUAUAAAAAGAUGAGAAAUAAUAAUGGCACAAAUCUUAACUACUUAAUAUUUAUAGAGUUUGAAGAAACCAAAAGGCACUAAACAAAAUGUUACAUAUUAAAUAUGAGAUUAUAGCAUUAAAAUUAGACCCUAAUGGUAUUAUUGAGGGAAGAUGAAAGAACAUUCCUUCCUAUAUUAAUUAAUUGAUAUAUUUAAGCCACUAAAGUUUAAUUAUUGGCAUAAUAAAAUAAAUUAAUGUUUGAAAAUUUAUAAUUAAUUAUUAUUAAUGGUUACAUAUUAUUGAAUUUAAAUAGAAAGAGGAAGAGACAUAAUCUUUUAUAAUCUAAUAAUUAUUUUUUUAUUUUUAAUAUUUUGUAAUGUAAUUAUUUUUUUUAUAUCAACUAAUUUAUUAGAUAAUAGAGAAUACAAGAAGAUGAGAAAUAGUGAUGCCACAUCACCUCCUCUAGUCCCAACUUUAUAUAUAUAUAUAUCAACUAUAUAUAUAUAUAUAGAUAUAGAUUUUUAAUAUUUUGUAAUGUAAUUAGUUUUUAAUCUCAACCAAUAUAUUAGAUAAUAGAGAAUAUAAAAAGAUAAGAAAUAAUGAUGCCACAAAUCUUAAAUAUUUAAUGUUUAUGGAGUUUGAAGAAGCCAAAAUACACUAAACAAAAGAUUGAAUAAUUAAAUAUGGGAUUAUGACAUUAAAAUUAGGCUCUAAUAGCAUUGUUGAGGGAAGAUGAAGGAACAUUCCUUCAUAUAUUAAUAUUAAUUAAUUGAUGUAUUUUAAGCCACUAAAGUUUAAUUGUUGGCAUAAUAAAAUAAAUUAAUGUUUGAAGACUUAUAAUUAAUUAUUAUUAAUGGUUACAUAUUGUUGAAUUUAAAUAGAAAGAGGAAAAGACAUGUAAUCAUUUAUAAUCUAAUAAUUAUUUUCUAUUUUAAUAUUUUGUAAUGUAAUUAUUUUUUUAAUUUCAACCAAUUUAUUAGAUAAUAGAGAAUAUGAGAUGAAGAGAAAUGGUGAUGCCACAUCACCUCCUCAAGUCCUACCUUUAUAUAUAUACUAGAAAAUAGAACCGCGUUUCACGCGGCUUUGAAAAAGAAUUUAGCAUUAUCCUUUUUUCUUACUUUACACUUGAUAAAACUGAUAAAAAAUAUGAAUUGAUUUUUUUUUUUAAGAUGAGGCAGUCUUAUAAAAAAAUAAAAAAAGUUAUUAACCAGUAAUACAAAUAAAGAAGCAACGCAAGAUAAAGAAUAAAAUGAGAGAAUAUUGUAUAAUGAUUUUAUUCAUUACAAUUGUGUGUGUACAAAACAAAAAGAUGAGCUCUCCUUUGAUAGUUACAUAAUCACUCCAUGAAAUUAAUGAAAAAUUAUGGAUCAUAAUUCCUUGUGAGAUAGUGGGAGUUAUAGGGAAGCUAAAGGUUGCUAAUGAGAGAUAGUGGGGAGACUAAGAGAUAUAUGUUAUGAACAUCUACAUUUAUUUUAAUAAAUUCAUAACACUCCUCCUUGAAUGUUUAUUACAAAGAAUAUGUCUCAUUAAAAUCUUUACAUAAUUGUUAUUGUGUAAUAACAAUCAAAUUAAUUAUGAGAAGAUGAAAAAUCAAAUAUAAAAGAAAAUUUCUCUAUUUAUUAGAUAAUAGAGAAUAUACAAAGAUGAGAAAUGAUGAUACCACAUCACCUUCUCAAGUCCCAGCUUUAUAUAUAUAUAUAGAUAUAUAGAUAGAUAGAUAGAUAGAUUAAUUCAUGUAUUUUAUGCCACUAAAGUUUAAUUGCUAGCAUAAUAAAAUAAAUAAAUGUUUCAAAAGACUUAUAAUUAAUUAUUAUUAAUGAUUACAUAUUGUUGAAUUUAAAUAGAAAGAGAAAAAAAAGUACAAAGAAUAUCCACCAAUAGUUUAGAUAUUUUAUAUAAUAAAAAAUAUAAAAAGAUGAGGAAUGAUAUAUAUUAAUAAAGUUACUAUUUAUUAAAUGAGUUAAAUACAAUCAAAUUAAUUAUGAGAAGAUGAAAAGGCAAAUCUAAAAAACAAAAAUCUCUAUUUAUUAGAUAAUAGAGAAUAUAUAAAGAAGCAAAAUGGUGAUGCCACAUCACCUCCUCAAGUCCUAGCUUUAUAUAUAUAUAUAGAUAUAGAUAUAGAUAUAGAUAUUUUGUCCUAAUUAACUUAAAGAUUUUGAAUCUAAUAUUUUAUAAUAAAUAAAAAUAUAUUCCUAAAAUAAAUAUAAUAUCAAUAUUUAAAAUAUGUUUUAAUAUUUUACAAUCUAUCAUACACAUUUUAUUAUAGUAAAGUAGAUUUUAUAAUAAAUAUAUAAAAAAUUUAGAAUAUGUAGAAUAUUAUAUAAAAUAAUUUUAAUAUAAUGUGUGAGAUAUAUUUUAUUAAUUUAAAAUGUCAUUUUACCUAAAAAAUAUGAUAAAUUAAUAAUUACAUAUUUGAAGUUACUUCAAAUAUUAAAAAAAAUUAAUAUUAUUAAUCUUUUAGAUAGAUUAAAUUAUUUUUUAUAAGAGAGAUUAAAUUAUUUUAAAAUGCCUUAAUUGUUUUUACUUUUAACGUUACCGGCCUUUCUUUUAUUUUAUUGCAAAUUAAUACUAAUAAGAAAAAGCUAGAUCAUAUUCCACAAAAGCAAAUGUGACAAACACAACCAGCUGGAAUCUUUUAAUUACUAUUCAAUAAUUCGAGACGAUUAGGGUCUUUUAUUAAACUACAAUCCUCAAUAAUUGUUUUAAAUUGGUGGCACCUACAAUCCUCAAUAAUUGUACCGAUAUUCACAAGUUCGUGGCCCCUACAAUUCUGUUCGCAAGUGCUCAUUCACAGUCUUCCAGGCCCCUACAAUUCUGUUCCGAUAAUUUAACUGUGCAAGUGCUUAAUAAUUGUUUUGUUUUUUUCUGCAUUCCCUUUCAUGCUCUUAAUAAUUGAAGAGCAUACUUUUCAAAUGUGGAGCCGCAGCUAAUGUCGUUAAUUUAAUUUGGGAUUAAAUUAGGGGACCAUUAUAUUGCAGUGUGCACUAAUUUUUGUGUUUAUCUAAACUCCUUAAAUUUAAGACAUAUUACGGCAUAAAUAAGAAUAUAACAAUAACAAAAGAGUUAGAAAGUGUAGAGAAGAUCUUGCAGAAAUAUAAAUAAUAUCAAUUUUAAAAUAAUUUUUAAUAUUUUAUGAUCCAUUAAAUAUAUUUUAUUAUAUUAAAAUAAAUUUUAUAAUAAAUAAAAACAUCCUAUUAAAAUGAAUAUAUAGAAAAUUUAGAGUAUUUUAAGUAUUAUAUAAAAUAAAUUUAAUAAAAUAUGUGAGAUAUUCAUAGUUUAUUAAUUUAAAAUACCAUUUUAAAAUUAAAGAUUUAUUUAUGAUAAAUUAAUAAUUAUAUUUUUGAAAUUACUUCAAAUAUUAAAAAAUUAAUAUUACUAAUCUAUUAGAUAGAUUAAAUUAUAUAUAUUAUUUUCUAUUUAUUAAAAAAUUAAAAUUAUUUUUAAUUACUAUUCAAAAAAUAUAAUGAUAAAAAAAAUCUUAACAUCUUUAUUAAAAAUUUAAAAAUUUACGUGAUCAAUUCUCUAAAUAUUUAGGGUAUAUGUGAACCACGGUGGAGAAGCUUUAUUUAAUAUUAUUGAUUUAAAUAAUAUGUCAAUUAAAAAUGUGCGGAGAAGAAAUUUCGGUGGAUAUUUUAGUCUUUUCAGCAAUUAUCAUGAUCAGAUCUAGGGAUGGCAAUGGAGAGGGGAGGGGAGGGGACCGAUCUCCCCGUACCCAUCCCCGAUAUUUUGCGUAUGUCCCCGUCCCCUCCCCGUCCCCAUCAGAAUUACUUGAGAGAAUCACCAUCCCCUCCCCGAAUAAUAACAGGGGAUCCCCGAUGGUCCCCGAUCCCCGAAUAACUAAUACAUUUUUUUUCAAUUUUGAGUUAAUCAUAUUAAAAUAAAAAAUUCAAAUAAAAAUAAAGUUCGAAAUAUAUCUUACAUUAAUAUCUAUUACAAAAGUCACAUACAUUAAAUUAGUAAGUAACGCAACAUGCAAGGAAUACAAACUUCUUUUACAAACUAUCAUGAACAAAUUAAUAGUUUAAUACAAAAUUGUUACAAAUAAAAUCGAAUUUAGAUUCAAAAUUAACUUUUUCAAUGGUGGCGUGGGCACUUUAUAAAUGUGGAUUAUUCCCUUUACAACACAAUAGUUAAAUCGGAGCAAAUCAAAAGUAAAUAUUAGAUUGGAUUAGAUUAGAUUAGAUUAGAUUAGAUUAGAUAUUAAAAUUGUGAUUCGCUGUGGACAAUUAUAACAUCUAAAAAUAAAUAAAAAAUAGAUUUAAGUUUAAAAUAUUUAAAGAAUAUUAAAAUUAAAAAAAAAUGUUUGGCUAAUAGAAUCUACUUGGUCUUUUUAAUGUCGUAAAUAAAAAUUUAAGACUUUAAUUAGUUAAUUAGGCCUAAAAAUUUAAUAAUAUAAAUAUUUUGAUAUUUUUUAUUUUUACCAAUAUUUAUAAGUGGAUUCUUUUACUAAACUAUAAAUUAAAAGUGGAUUCUUUUGAAUACAAGUGGGACAGACGAUUAGGCUCUUUUUAUUAAACGCAAGUAAAAAGUAGUCGAAUAGUCUUUUUCAAAUUAUUGUUUUAUUAUUUUUCCUUCAAAAGUUAGCGUGGCUCAUGUUUGCAGGUGCGAAUGUGCGAUGCUCUUUUUUUAAAGGCAAUUACAGUGGGUCCCGAAUCAUUACUAAAAUUUCUCUUCCUCAGCCCACCGCAGCUUCAGUUAAUCAAACUCAAUCAAUUUUCUUUCUUAACAAAAUUCUAAAGAUGUGUAGCAUUUUUCAGAUCACAUGCGAUGGUGCUUUUUUCAAUCGUUGCUUGGAUUGCUUUCUUGGAAAAGCAGCAUACAUACGUAACCUCCAAGAUAAUCUUGAUGCCUUGGAGACUGAAUUGGGAAAUCUGAUCGCUAGAAAGAACGAUGUGAUGAGGAGGGUUGUCGAUGCUGAACGGCAACAAAUGAGAAGGCUGGACGGAGUGCAAGUGUGGGUUUCGAGGGUGGAUUCUGUUAAAACUGAAGCCGAUGAACUUAUCACAGACGGCUCUCGAGAAAUUGAAAAAUUAUGUGUUGGAGGCUACUGUUCCAAGAACUGCAGGUCAAGCUACAAAUUCGGGAAAAAAGUGGCUAAAAAGCUACGGGAUGCGCGGACUUUAAUCAGUGAAGGAGUUUUUGAGGUGGUGGCUGACAGAGCUCCAGAGUCUGUAGCAGAUGAAAGACCUACUGAGCGAACAGUAGUAGGCUUGCAAUCACAACUUGAACAAGUCUGGAGAUGUCUUGUAGAAGAAUCAGCGGGAAUCAUUGGCCUAUAUGGUAUGGGCGGUGUUGGUAAAACUACACUACUGACCCAUAUCAACAACAAAUUUCUCGAGAGUCCAACCAACUUUGAUUGUGUGAUUUGGGUUGUAGUUUCAAAAGACCUGCGACUCGAAAAAAUUCAAGAAGAUAUUGGGAAAAAGAUAGGUUUGGUUGGUGAUUCAUGGAAGAGUAAAAGUGUAGAGGAGAAAGCUGUCGACAUCUUCCGGAGUUUAAGAGAGAAGAGAUUUGUAUUGUUGUUAGAUGAUAUAUGGGAGCGGGUUGAUUUAACAAACGUGGGCGUUCCACUUCCCGGACCAAAAAAUACUACCUCAAAAGUCGUAUUCACAACCCGUUUCAUCGAUGUUUGUGGUAGCAUGGAAGUUGACAGGAAGUUUCAAGUAGCAUGCUUAUCAGAAAAGGAUGCUUGGGAACUGUUUCGAGAAAAAGUUGGGGAAGAAACUCUUGAGAGUCAUCAUGAUAUCGAUGAGCUAGCCCAAAUUGUGGUCAAAGAGUGUGGUGGUUUGCCACUCGCACUUAUUACUAUUGGUCGAGCUAUGGCCUACAGAAAGAAAGCGGAGCAGUGGAGACGUGCAAUUGAAGAGUUAAGGAGAUCAGCUUCAGAGUUUGCAGGUUUGGGAAAAGAGGUGUAUCCUCUUUUAAAAUUCAGCUACGAUAGUUUGCAGAAUGAUAGUUUGCAGAAUGAUACGGUUAGAUCUUGUUUCUUGUACUGUUGUUUAUAUCCUGAAGAUUAUGUCAUUCCUAAAUGGGACUUGAUUGAUUGUUGGAUUGGUGAGGGAUUUUUUGGGGAAUCUGACAGGUCUGGUGCAGAAAACCAAGGAUAUGACAUUUUGGACACUCUUGUUCGUGCAUGUUUAUUAGAAGAGGUGGAAGAUGAUAAAGUAAAAAUGCAUGACGUUAUUCGUGAUAUGGCUAUAUGGAUAACUUGUGAAAUUGAGAAGGAGAAUAGAAAAUUUUUGGUUUGUGCAGGUGCUGGAUUAAAAGAGGCACCGGGUGUUAAAGGAUGGGAAAAUGUGAGAAGAUUGUCAUUGAUGCAAAACCAAAUUGAAACUCUGUCAGAGGUUCCCACAUGCCCUCAUCUCCUCACUUUAUUUCUUGACUUUAAUUAUAAUUUGAGGAUGAUCGCGGAUGGCUUCUUCCAACUUAUGCCUUCUCUCAAAGUUUUGAAGAUGUCACUCUGCCGGAAUUUAACUUUGAAAUUACCUUUGGGGAUGUCAAAGUUAGGUUCACUGGAACUUCUCGAUAUUUCAUAUACCUACAUACAAGAGUUACCACAAGAGUUAAAGUUGUUGGUAAAUCUGAAAUGUUUGAAUUUGAGGUGUACACACAGGUUAAAUAAAAUUCCACGGCAACUAAUAUCAAAUUAUUCAAGGUUACGUGUGUUGAGAAUGUUCGCUAGUGGCUGGUUCAAUUUUCAUGAAGCAUCAGAAGAAAGCGUUUUAUUUGGUGGGGGUAAAGUUUUGAUACAGGAAUUGCUCGGUUUGAAAUAUUUAGAGGUAUUGGAGUUGACCUUGGGAAGUUAUCAUGCUCUCCAAAUUCUUUUGAGCUCAAAUAAGUUAAAAAGUUGUAUUCGAUCUCUUUACCUCCAUUUGACCGGAGAUACAGCGUCAAUUAUUGAUGCUACGGCUUUCGCAGAUCUAAACCACCUCAAUGAAUUAUGGAUUGAUAAUGGUAUUGAGUUGGAAGAAUUGAAGAUUGAUUAUACGGAGAUAGUACGAAAAAGGCGGGAACCUUUUGUUUUCCGCAGCCUUCACCGUGUUACCAUAUAUAGUUGCAGUAAAUUGAAAGAUGUGACAUUCCUCGUUUUCGCUCCAAACCUCAAGUCUCUUACGCUAUUCAAUUGCGGUGCUAUGGAAGAAAUAAUCAGCGUCGGAAAAAUUGCUGAGACUCCUGAGAUGAUGGGACAUAUAAGCCCUUUUGAAAAUCUCCAAAGGCUUAAUUUAAAAGAUUUGCCAAAUUUGAAGAGCAUCUACUGGAAGCCAUUGCCUUUUACUCGUCUGAAAGAAAUGGCGGUACUUGGGUGCGAUCAGCUUGAAAAGCUUCCGGUCGAUUCCAACAGUGCAAAAGAGCGUAAAUUUGUAAUUCGUGGAGAAGAAGACUGGUGGAACCGACUUCAAUGGGAGGAUGAAGCCACUCAAAUUGCUUUUCGUUCCUGUUUCCAACCUUAUUCCUGAGCGGUGGUCGCAAAAUUUGAUUUCUGGUGAGUGCGUUUUUCUUUGAACUCUUGUACAUAUUCUUGUCGUUUGCUUCACGCAAAACACUAGGUCUUUUCUUCAGUCCGUUACCUACACGCAAAACACUGGUUCUUUUCUCUGUUUUUAUUUCAGUUAGUUUCUCUCUCUCUCUCUCUCUCUGUGUCUUCUGUAAAUCACAAUUAAAUGUUGAAUUAAUGGAAUUAAUGCUUCAUAAAUUUGCCGGCACUGCCGUUACUUUAUUUUAGGGGGGUCGAAUUGGUGCUCUGGUUUUUUACUUUUUGCUGUCAAAUUUUGGCCUUUUUUUUUUUUUUAACAAGUUGAUACUUUAUUUAUAUCUUCUUAGCGAUUUAAUUUCCUGUCAAAAGAGGAACGAGAAGAACAUAUGACUUAAACCAAUGCUCGCAUAAACUUGCUGUAAAAAGAUGUAAUCUCACUGAAAUGCACACGUCUAGAAUGAAUAGAAUUAAAACAGGGAAAAUAUUAAGUAUAUUAGCCCUCUUUACCGAAAAUCAAAUGACAAUAAAUUUUUGGAAGUUUUGAUUUUCUACGGUCAAUUCGACCUUUUGCAAUUUCUUCUGUUCUAACAAAAACCAAAUUCUUUGUUCAAGUAUUUUCGUUUGGGUAUCAAGGAUCUCUAAUCAAUAGCUGGAAGCAAUUCAGAGGGCGCCGAGACCCGAUCCGACCUAGGCCCAAGUUUGGUCUUAAAGCCUGGGCUUGAGCCUGACAAUUAAAUUAAAACAUUAAUUGAUUUAUUGAUUGAAUUGUCGUGCAAUUGAUUUAUGGGGGAUGAAAAUUCAACAUACUUGAAAAUACACUAAUCUUAGCAUCAUCGGUUAAUAACUUUUAGAUUUAUGGGUAAUCAAUAGUUAAGAUCAGUUGUCAUUUAUUUUUUGAAAUGUCCAUAUUCAGUGUACAUUUGAAAAAGACCCAAUAAUUUCUCAUAAAUUUCAAUUAAAAAUAUUCAAUUUGUUAUUUCAGUUCUUUUAUUUUUUAUUUUUUCCAACAUGAAAGCGACUUAAUGUUACUAAAUUGAAGCCGCUGCCCCGCCUGUGGUUCCAAACUUUUAUCUUCCUCCUCCUUUAAAUUAAUGCGAGCAGCCUCCGUCCUUGACUAGUUGACUUCUUUUCUUCUUUUUUAAUUAAUUAAUUAAUUAAUUCAGCCGCCCACCUUUCUUUUCCCAAUGUCUUCUACUUUCGAUUUCCUUUUAUUUUCUCUUUAUUUUUAAAAUAUGCUUAUAGUAAUAAUAAAAAAUAAAAAUAAAAAUAAAAAUAAAAAUGAACAUAUUAAAAUAUAAUUUAUCAGAAAACCAAGAUAAAGAAAUAUUAUAAGCACAUCAAUCAAAAAGUGAAAAAAAAAACAAUUUUAAUUUACAUUAAAUAUAAACUUUCAGUGUUAAUCAACUUUUCUAAAUAACUGAAAUUAUUUAAAAUAAAAAUAAAUUAUUCUUCCCAAAAAAACAAAAAUUACACCCACUCUUGGCUGUAUGUCAAGAUUCGCUUUAAGGACUGAAGUUGGUAACUUUUGCAAGCAGUCUUAAAUUGAAUGGCAGCAACCCACGCUUUCAGAUUUAUGGUUAAUCAAUAGCUGAGAGUUGUUAUCGCUAAUGCCGUGUAUUUUUUUUAAUGUUUUUUCUCUCUCCUACAGCAUCUUCUAGGAAAGUGCAUCCGUUGCUAAAAUUUAGUAUUGUAAAUAAUAAACCAAGAAUAAAUAUUAAAUUUAAGAAACUGUAUUGCAUUUAAUAUUUAAGGGAGAAAAAUAAUUGUAGUGUCUUUAUUAAUCAGUAAAAAGAAAAGAUUAGAAUCAUAAUAAAUUGUAUUGUUAUUGAUGUAUUUAUUUUAUUUUAUACUCAAAAUAAAUUAUUUUAAAUUAUUAAAAUAUUAUUAUUGUUAUUCUAAUAAUAAUUAUUAUUUAAUAUUUAUUAAAAUAUUUGUCAUAUUACUAAAAAAGCAAUAAUAAUAAUGAUAAUAUUGGAAUUGUUGUUUUUUAUCUUAUUAUUAAUCAAAACACUUCUGGUUAGCCCAUUCAUACGUGAAGACCAAAACCAAAUCUCUUCUUCUCCUUCUUUUCUUAAAAUACGGGAUGUGUGUGCUCGGACUGCUCUCUCAUUCUUAAAACAAGACUUUUUGAAUUAUCCAAUUAAGUUAAAUUCUGUGGCAUCUGGUAUUUUCAUUUCUUGUUUAUUUCGCAAGUUAUUAUUGCCUAAUGCUAUGUCAACUCUAACAUUAGCAUAUAUAUUUUUUUUUUGGUCGUCUUUUAACACCAAACAUUAGUGUAGGUUAAGUAACAUAAUCAGUACUGGGACAAUUUGAAAUCCCUUUGUGUUUUAUUCACAGUAUCUAUGAGGGUUUAUCCUUUUGCUAGAACAAACUCUAGCAAAUUGUCAAAUGUACUUAUCCUUUCGCUUGAUGACUCAUUUUAAAAUUGUCUUUCAAUGUACACACACAGAGAUAACCACCGACAUCAAGCACCAAGUUUGGAAUUUAAUUGAUAAGCAUACAUUUGAUAAAUUAAUGAAAAGUUUGGGAGAAUAGUUUUGAUCACCCUCGAUUAGGAUGGUAUCACGAAAAAGAUCAAAAAGAAAACAUCGUCUCUUCUUCAACAAAAAUAAAUAUUUUCCGUUAGAAUUUAAAUAAAAUAAUUAUUUUUUUAUUUUUUGAAUUAAAAUUUAAUUAAAUACACAAAUAAAUUAUAUAUUUUUAAAAAAAAAUUUACACCCAGUCACAAGGCUGGCUAUUAAACUUAAAGGGAAGCUUCGGAGACUAAAGUUGGUAACAUCUCCAAGUGGUCUUAAGUUGACCGGAACUACCCCGACUUUAUGUUUGGUAGCCUAGACCUGAUCGGACCUAGGCCCAAGUUUGGUCUUAAAGUCCACAAUUAAAUUGAUUUGUUAAUUUAAUUGUUGUGUAAUUGAUUUAUGGGGAAUGAAUCAGCAUCCCUAAAAUUACACUAAUCUUGACAUAAUGACAUCAUCGGUUAAAAACGUUCAGAUUUAUGGCUAAUCAAUGGUUUGAGAUUUGUUAUCAUUAAUGCUAAAUAUUUUUUAACAUUUUUUCUAUCUCUCUCUCCUGAAGGAAUUUUCUAAGAAAAUGCAUCCACAACACAAAUUUUAAGGAUCACACUAUGUUACGUUAAACGUAACGUACACACACUCACAGCAACAGUAACAGGUCACGUCUUGUUACUGUUGCUGUGAGUGUGUGUAUAUUACGUUUAACAUAACAUAGCAUAGGCCAAAUUUUAAAUUGUAAACAAUAAACAAAAUAUAAACGUUAAAUUUAAGGAACUGCGUUGCAUUUCAGCUGAAGCUAACUUUAAUAUUUUACGAAAAAAAAUAAUUAAAUCUUUAAUGUGAUUUAUUUAUUAAUAUAUAUGACUAAUUUUUUAAAAUAAGAUGCAGGAUGAAACUUAAAAAUAUAAAUUAUAGAAUUAAUUUCUCUCUUCAAUAAAUCUAAAGUUUAUUUUUUUUAUUACAUGCUUCUAUUUUAUUUUUAUUCCAUGUUAAUGAUUGGAGAUUUAAAUCCAUUUCGGAUUUAUAAAUAUGUUUAGAUAUCUAAAUCCACGUGUGAUUCCAAACUAUAACCUUUUUUUUUUUCUAAUUAAUGCAAACAGCCGCCUCUUUGGACUGCUUUUCUUCUUUGAUUAUUAAUUAAUUAAUUCAGCUGCCCACCUUUCUUUUCCUAAUGUUUUCUACUCUCAAAUUUUUUUAAGGACAAGGCUACGUUGCAGACGCUGUACCUAACAGCUGCACCUUAGCCAGCUUCACAAAGGGUGCAUUUGGUAAGCAAUUUUUCUUUCCUGUGCAUAUGUGUCCUUCCACCAUUGGGUGUACGUAACAGAUAAUGUACCGUAACAAGCUCCUAUUUUUAAAUAUGUUUAUAAUGAUAAAAUAUAAAAAUUAAGAUUAAAAUGUAAUGUAAUAUAAAAUUAAAGGUGGAAGAGUAUUAAAAUAAUGUAUAAGAUAUGAAUAAACAAGUCAAUAAGAAAACAAACAAACGGCAAGAGAAAAGGAAUGGUCAUGCAGAUUUUAAGGUGGCAGUGACAAUGAGAUCUCAUUUUAACCGAUAAAGUCUUUUGAAUUUGUCAACUCAAAAAAAUAGAUUCAAAUGUUUUGUAAUAAAUGAAAAUAUAAUAUUAAAAUAAAUGUGAUAAUAUAUAUUUUAAAUAAUUUCAAUACAAAAAACAUUUGAAUGUUUUAUAAUUUAUUAGACAUAUUUUAUUAUAUUAAUAUAAAUUUUCUAAGAAAUAUGGACAUAAUAUUAAAAUAAAUUUAUGAAAAAUUUAAAUUAUUUUGAAUGUAAAAACAUUUGAAUGUUUUAUAAUUUAUUAGACAUAUUUUAUUAUAUUAAUAUAAAUUUUUCUAAAAAAUAUGGACAUAAUAUUAAAAUAAAUUUAUGAAAAAUUUAAGUUAUUUUGAAUGUAAAAACAUUUUAAUGUUUUAUAAUUUAUUAGAAAUAUUUUAUUAUAUUAAUAUAAAUUUUCUAAGAAAUAUGGACAUAAUAUUAAAAUAAAUUUAUGAAAAAUUAAAUUAUUUUGAAUGUAAAAUAAUUUUAAUAUUAUUAAUCCAUUAAGUAUUAAUUAUAAAAAUUAUUUAACCCAAAGAUUAUUUAUAUCCUUACAAUAAAUAUAAAUAUAUUAUUUGCAUUUAAAAAUUUAAAAAUAUUUAAAUAAUAUUAAUCUACAAUUAUAUUUUCAUUUAUUAUAAAUAUUUAAAGUCAAAUCUUUUGCACUUGUAUUUUAUUACAAUUAUGGCGCACAAAGAAAGAGCCAUAUAUGCUUUAUAGCGUUAGAAAUUGGUUUCUUUUAAAGCUGGAAACAGAGAGGAUGAUUAUUAUAAGGAGAAAAGAAAAAGGGAUAAAGAAUAUUAAUGAUUAACAAAAUCUCUCUGCAAAUUGAUUGCAGUAGAAAAAAAGUGAGCUGAGCAAUCUAAUUUAGUGGUAGAGUGAUAUUUCAUUUGUAGCAAAUUACAUCUCAAGGUUAAAGGAAAGACUUAAGAUCUCAGCUUUUGAUCAUAAUACUUUUUUUAAAGAAAAAAAUUAAUUUUAAUAUUUUAUAAUAAAUAAAAAUAUAAUCUUAAAAUAAAUACAAACACACUAUUAAUAGUACAUAUUUUAAAAUAAUCUCAUUAUUUAAAAUUGUUUUAAUAUUUUGUAAUUUGCCAGACAAAUUUUAUUAUUUUCAAGUAAAUUUUAUAAUAAAUACAAACACACUAUUAAGAUAAAUAUAUGAAAAAUUUAAAGUAAUUUGAAUCUUAUACAAAAUAAUUUUAAUAUUGUUAAUAGUGAGAUAAUUCUAUUAAUUUAAAAUGCUACUUAACCUUAAGAUUUAUUUAAGAUAAAUUAAUAAUUACAUUUUUAAAUUAUUUCAAAUAUUAAAAAUAUUUUAAUAUUAUUUAUCUAUUAGAUAGACUAAAUUAUUUAAAUUAUUUUGUAUAAAUUAAUUCUAUUUAAAGGAUAUUAUGAUAAAAAGAUCUUAGUGUUUUUAUUAAAAAUUUAAAAUUUAUAUGACUAUUUCUUUAAAUAUUUAGGGUAUAUAUGAACCACCGAGGAGAAAAGCUUUAUUUAAUAUUUUUGAAUAGUUUUUGAUCAGUACAAUUGCGUCCUUAUUCAGAAUUAUUGUUCUCUUCCGCAACAGUUUUUGUUUAUCAAAGUCAUCAAUUAAAAUUUUAGAAUUCUUAUCAUCAGAAGUAGUCGUUUUAGAAGUUGGGUCUUGGAUCAAAUUUCUACGAGUGCAUGAAUUAACAAUAAAAAAAAUUUCAUUACACACGGUUUAAGCUACAAAACUACUAUUUGCACAGUUGACUAUAAAACUUACCUCCAAUUACACUAAACCUCUCUAUUUGGUAACGUUGAGACUAAAUUAAUUUUAUUAGCAUGAAAAGAUAAUAGAAAUAUUAUCAUAAAUAUAAUUGUUGUUAAUCAAUUAGUACAUGUGAUAUAAAGGUUAAAUGUGCACUAUAUUUAAUAAAUAAUUAAUGGAACAUGUUAAACAAAAUGUUAAUGUAUAUUUAUAUAGUGUUAGGAAUAUGCAAAGUCAAGUCCUCAAUUUGCAUUAUCCUGUAUAGAAUAUUACUCUAAAAAUGUUUUACUAUAAUUGGCUUAGAACAUUUGUAAAGAAAAUAAUAAUCGUAAUAAUAAAUAACAUACACCGUCACAUAGCAUCUAGACAAUGAUAGAAAAUUAUUAAAGGGAGUGCAAACAAUUAAUUAGAAAUUUUUAUGAUAACUUUUAAUAUUCAUGAUAAUAACAAAUAAAUACAUGUACCACUUUUUAAAAAUAUUAAAUUUGACGUGCUCCAUUAAUAAAUUAUUAUUGUAAUUCAGACUCUAUCUAUAUAUCCUUGCAUUAAGAAUAAUUAAGUCAUAAUAAAAAUUUUCGUAACUACAUCUCAUUUCUUCCUCAUAAUAAUAAUUAGAUUGGUUCGAAUAUUAUAACUAUAUAGAUUUAGGGCGUGUUUGGUGCAUGGGAUUAUGUGGUAUUACACUACUAUUCACAUUAGCUUAUUUCCAAGAAGAUGUUUGGCAAACUUUGACACCUCAUUAUGCUGCAUUAUAAUGCAGCAUAAUGAGGCAUGGGGCCGCAUUACGCAAACCCGAGGGAACCUCGGGUUUGCGUAAUGCAGAAGCUUUUUGCCUCAAUUGAGGCAACAGUUAAUGCCUCAAUUGAGGCAAAUUUAUUUUAUUAAAAUAUUAUAAAAAUAAAUUAUUUUAUUAUUAAAUACUAAUAUAAUGAAUAAAAUAUAAAAAUAAAUUAUAUGAUAAUAUUAUUUUAUUUAUUAAUGAUUCAUAUAAAAAUAAUAUAUUAAUAUUAUAAUAUUAUUUACAUUAAUAUUAAUUUUAAAAUUAAUAUUAUUUAAAUUUAUAAUUAUUUAUGUUAAAUUAUAAAUUUAUUAAUAUAUUAAAAUGUAAAAAUAAUAAUAUAUUGUAAAUUAAAAUAUAAUUGAAUAUUAUUGAAUAAUAAUUUAUUAAUUUAUAUUAACAAUUAUAAUAUUAAUUAUAAUCUAAAUUUAUUAUUUACAUAUAAUAUUAAAUUUUAUAAAUUUAUUUUAUCAUAAUUAUAAUACAAAUUUUAGAAAUUUAAUCAUUAAUUUUUAAUAUUUACUAAAAAAAUUGUUAAAUUUCUACAAUUAAGAUUUCUAUAUUUAUUAUUUUUCUAAGUAUUAAUAAAUAUUAAUUUUUAAUUAUUUAAUUUAAUUAAUUAUAAAAAUUAAUACAAUACAAUGUAACACCAAAUAUAGUUUAAUUAAAAAUUAAUACAGUACAGUGUAGCACCAAACAUUGUACAGCAUUAUUAUAAUACAAUACUAACGCAAUACAGCAUAAUACAAUACACCAGCAUUAAAAUAAUGCAAUACAACAUAAUACAAUACAAUGUACCAAACGCACCCUUAGUGUAUAGCCACAUCCAAUUUAAAUAUUGACCCAAUUGGGAUGGUCCCCAAAAAAAAAAUUCGUUAAAGGAUAAUUCUAAUUAUUUUUACUUCUCAAACGUUAGUGGGACGUUUCUAUUAGCGCACUCGUAAGCCAAGUUGUCAAAUAUUUAUAUUAAACUACAAUUGCUGACAAGAAAAAUCAAGAUCGUGUUGCGCAAGUGGGUCCCGAAUAGGACGUGCCUAAAUCUCUCGUAAGCCAAGUUGUCAAAUGUUUAUAUUAAACUAACAAUUGCUGACUAGAAAAAUCAAGAUCGUAUUACAAGUGGGUCCCGAAUUGGACGUGCCUAAAUCUUUUUAUAAUUUUCCCAGUGUAGCGGACAGAGGUCAUUACUAAAUUUCUCUUCCACACGCCACAGCAGCUUCGGUUAAUCAAACUCAAUCAAUUUUCUUGGCUUCUCCGCUUAUCAAUAUUACAAGGUAUGGGUAGCAUUUUUCAAAUCACAUGCGAUGGUACUAUUUUCAAUCGUUGCUUAGAUUGCUUUCUUGGAAAAGCAGCAUACAUAAGUAACCUCCAAGAUAAUCUCGUUGCCUUGGAGACUGAACUAAGGAAACUAAUCGCAGCAAAGAACGAUGUGAUGACGGCGGUUGUCAAUGCUGAACGGCAACAAAUGAGAAGGCUGGACCAAGUGCAAGUGUGGGUUUCGAGGGCGGAAGCUGUUAAAACUGAAGCUGAUGAACUUAUCAGAGGCGGCUCUCAAGAAAUUGAAAAAUUAUGUCUUAGAGGGUUCUGUUCCAGGAACUGCACGUCAAGCUACAAGUUCGGAAAACAAGUGGCUAAAAAGCUACGAGCUGUGGAGACUUUAAUCGCCGAAGGAGUUUUUGAGGCGGUGGCUGCCGAGGUGGUGCCUGAGAGAGCUCCAGAGCCUGUAGCAGAUGAAAGACCUACCGAGCGAACAGUAGUAGGCUUGCAAUCACAACUUGAACAAGUCUGGAGAUGUCUUGCAGAAGAAUCAGCGGGAAUCAUUGGCCUAUAUGGUAUGGGCGGUGUUGGUAAAACUACACUAUUGACCCAUAUCAACAAUAAAUUUCUCGAGAGUCCAACCAACUUUGAUUGUGUGAUUUGGGUAGUAGUUUCAAAAGACCUGCGACUUGAAAAAGUUCAAGAAAAUAUUGGGAAAAAGAUAGGUUUGGUUGAUGAUUCAUGGAAGAGUAAAAGUGUAGAGGAGAAAGCUCUCGACAUCUUCCGGAGUUUAAGAGAGAAGAGAAUUGUAUUGCUGUUAGAUGAUAUAUGGGAGCGGGUUGAUUUAACAAAAGUGGGCGUUCCACUUCCAGGACCACAAAAUACUACCUCAAAAGUCGUAUUCACAACCCGUUUCAUCGAUGUUUGUGGUAGCAUGGAAGCUGACAGGAAGUUCCAAGUAGCAUGCUUAUCAGAAAAGGAUGCUUGGGAACUGUUUCGAGAAAAAGUUGGGGAAGAAACUCUUCAGAGUCAUCAUGAUAUCGUUGAGCUAGCCCAAAUUGUGGUCAAAGAGUGUGGUGGUUUGCCACUCGCACUUAUUACUAUUGGUCGAGCUAUGGCCUACAGAAAGAAAGCGGAGCAGUGGAGACGUGCAAUUGAAGAGUUAAGGAGAUCAGCCUCAGAGUUUGCAGGUUUGGGAAAAGAGGUGUAUACUCUUUUGAAAUUCAGCUAUGAUAGUUUGCAGAAUGAUACGGUUAGAUCUUGUUUCUUGUAUUGUUGUUUAUAUCCUGAAGAUUAUGGCAUUCUUAAAUGGGACUUGAUUGAUUGUUGGAUUGGCGAGGGAUUUUUUGGGGAAUCUGACAGGUCUGGUGCAGAAAACCAAGGAUAUGACAUUUUGGACACUCUUGUUCGUGCAUGUUUAUUAGAAGAGGUGGAAGAUGAUAAAGUAAAAAUGCAUGACGUUGUUCGUGAUAUGGCUGUAUGGAUAACCAGUGAAAUUGAGAAAGGGAAGAGAAACUUUUUGGUUCGUGCAGGUGCUGGAUUAAAAGAGGCACCGGAUGUUAAAGGAUGGGAAAAUGUGAGAAGAUUGUCAUUGAUGCAAAACCAAAUUGAAACUCUGUCCGAGGUUCCUACAUGCCCUCAUCUCCUCACUUUAUUUCUUGACUUUAAUGAGAAGUUGAAGAUGAUCACGGAUGGCUUCUUCCAAUUUAUGCCUUCUCUCAAAGUUUUGAAGAUUUCACACUGUGGUAGGAAUUGGAAAGAUUUGAAAUUACCUGUUGGGAUGUCAAAGUUGGGUUCACUAGAACUUCUUGAUAUUUCACAUACGCUGAUAACAGAGUUACCAGAAGAGUUAAAGUUGUUGGUAAAUCUGAAAUGUUUGAAUUUGAGGUCGACAGAAUUGUUAAUUAGAAUUCCACGGCAACUGGUAUCAAAUUCUUCAAGGUUACGUGUGUUGAGAAUGUUCGCUACUGGCUGGUUAAAUUUUCAUGAAGCACCAGAAGACAGCGUUUUAUUUGGUGGGGGUGAAGUUUUGAUACAGGAAUUGCUCGGUUUGAAAUAUUUAGAGGUAUUGGAGUUGACCUUGCGAAGUUAUCAUGCUCUCCAAAUUCUUUUGAGCUCAAAUAAGUUAAAAAGUUGUAUUCCAUCUCUUUUCCUCCAGUUGGCCGGAGAUACAACGUCGAUUAUUGAUGCUGCGGCUUUCGCAGAUCUAAACCACCUCAACGAUUUAUUUAUUUAUAAAGGCAUUCAGUUGGAAGAAUUGAAGAUUGAUUAUACAGAGAUAGUACAAAAAAGGCGGGAACCUUUUGUUUUCCGCAGCCUUCACCGUGUUUCUAUUGGGGGGUGCGAUAAAUUGAAAGAUGUGACAUUCCUCGUUUUUGCUCCAAACCUCAAGUCUCUUUGGCUAUUCGAUUGCGGUGCUAUGGAAGAAAUAAUCAGCGUCGGAAAAUUUGCUGAGACUCCUGAGAUGAUGGGACAUAUAAGCCCUUUUGAAAAUCUCCAAAGGCUUGAAUUAUGGGAUUUGCCAGCUUUGAAGAGCUUCUACUGGAAGCCAUUGCCUUUCACUCAUCUGAAAGAAAUGGUGGUACAUGGGUGUCAUCAGCUUAGAAAGCUUCCACUCGAUUCCAACAGAGCAAAAGAGCGUAAAUUUGUUAUUCGUGGAAAAGCAGACUGGUGGAACCGACUUCAAUGGGAGGAUGAAGCCACUCAAAUUGCUUUUCGUUCCUGUUUCCAACCUCGUUCCUGAGCGGUGGUCGCAAAAUUUGAUUUCUGGUGAGUGCAUUCGUCUUUUAAAAGAAGAAUUUAAAAGAAAUUUAUUCUUGUCGUUUUCUUCUCUGUUUUUAUUUCAGUUUCUUUCUCUCUCUCUCUCAAGGAUCUCUAAUCAAUAGCUGGAAGCAAUUGAGAGGCGCCGAGACCCGAUCGGAUCUAGGCCCAAGUUUGGUCUUAAAGCCUGGGCUUGAGCCUGACAAUUAAAUUAAAACAUUAAUUGAUUUAUUGAUUGAAUUGUUGUGUAAUUGAUUUAUGGGGGAUGAAACAUCAACAUACUUGAAAAUACACUAAUCUUAGCAUCAUCGGUUAAUAACUGUUAGAUUUAUGGGUAAUCGUAAUCAAUAGUUAAGAUUAGUUGUCAUUAAUACUAAAUAUUUUUUACUAUUUUUGUCUCUACUAGAGGAUCUUCUAGAAAAAUGCAUCCACAACAAAAUUUAAUAUUUUACAUAAUAAACAAAAUAUAAAUGUUAAAUUUAAGAAACUGCAUUGCAUUUCAGCUGAAGCUGACUUUAAUAUUUAGGGUAGAAAAACAAUUAAAUCCUUAAUGUGUUUAAUUUCUAUCACUUGUGUCAUUAAAAUUUUCUAGCCACCUUAACCAAUUACAUCUCAACCCACUUUUUUUGGAUGAUUUUAUUUUUACACAAUUAUUUUCAACAUAUCAUGAUGUAUUCGUCAAAAGCUGGAAAUGACUGUUGCCCGUCAAAAUUCACAUUUUUUCCUUAACGAUAAAGUUUUAAUAUAAUUUUGAAGUUAUAACGUCAUAAAUAUAUUGCAUAAUAAUAAGAAAAAGGACCUAAAUGGUAAAAGUGAUAAAUAAUAAGAUCGAAGUAUCAUUUUCCAAUGUUAAAUGAGGCAAUGCCAUUCUCCGGUUCUCUUCUUUAAAUGCGUGAUGUGUGUGCUCUGUUUUCUCUAUUAUUCUUUUUCUCUUUUAGAUUUUGAGAACGUAAAGGGUGCAGGAGUCUUUAUCUUGUUAAAACAAGUCUUUUCGAAGUAUUCAACUAAAUUAAAUCAUGGCCUAAUGCUGUGUCAAUUCCAUCAUCAGCAUUUUUUUUUUCCUUUUUAACACCAACAUCAGUGUAUGUUUGGAUAAUUUGAAAUCUGUUUGUGUUUUAUCUCAAAGUAGAGCUUCAAUCAAUUUGUACCUCACAAAUUCACAAUAUCUAUUAAGGAUAAUAAGACCGAACUCUGGCAUAUUGUCAAAUGUGCUUAUCCAAUUCCAAAUUAAAAUGUUGACAGUGUUUCAUCAACCAAGAACUUGUCUUCGAUAGUUAAUCGGAUUAAAGGGAAUAAUUAAUGAGAGCAAUUAAUUAAUAUUAGCCGGCAUCGUCUGUUUCAUAGGUACUCGUGGUUCACUAACAUAAGCGUUGAAUUUGUAUAGUAGCUUGUUCCUUUCCUUCGGUUUUACUUAAUGAAAACCUUGGCUAGAUCGUACACCAAUGUAAAAUCGAAAACCCUUAUGCCACGAAGAGUUCUUAGUGCAAUUGAGAUCAAUGAUAAUCAGCUGAUAGGGAAAACAUUGUCUGAUUGUCAUAAACAAACUUCUUGAAAAUGCCAUCAGUAACAUGGAAGAUUUGGAGGUUAUUCAAAUGCUGACUUCAGGAAUGCAGAUUAAUAUAUUAUGGAGACAGAUUGAGUGCAAUGGCUAAUUGUAACAGGGAAUUUUUAUUGUACAAACAGACCAGCCAGCAAAGAAUAUUCCAAAUCUAGGACUAAACAAGUCAAUAAUAAAAUAAACAAACGGCAAGAGAGAGUGAUUAUAUCUACAACACCAUCGGCUACUACAAAUUCAACUUUUCAACAGUUGUUACUCACCAUGAACAGAAAAAAGAAAAUUACAACAAAAAAUUGGUUGCUAAAAGACGUCUAUUCAUGGUAAUGCCUCUCAAAUGGGUUCAAAACAUGGAAGAAAAGCAUUUAGUGUGGCUUCAUCGUCCCAUUUCAGCUCACUCCACCAGUGUUGCAGGGGCUUAGUCAAAGUGGCUUUCAAGAAGUUUUAUUACCACCUCAGUUCAAAUCCUAAGAGAGGUAGGAGGAUAAAAGAAUUAAUUUGGACUUUACCUAGCCCUCUACCUUUGUUAAAUUUAUGUUAAAAAAAAAAAUAGAUUUGAGAUUGGUAAUAUCCUUAUUUUUUGUUUUCAAAGGAAACUGAUUUAGGACCAAUGAGACUUUGAUCCAAUGGGAGAAGCCUUUCACUUAUAAUGUUAAGUAUAAGGGUUCGAUCCUCCAUAAGAGCUUUAUGAAGGUUAAUUUCAGUACUUCCUUAGUUAUCAGUUAAUUGAGUGGAGACAGUCUCUCCCUUACGAAAUGUGAGUGGAGUAGGCACCCCUCGAAUAUUAGAGAAGGUUUAAAGUAUCUGAGCAAGUGCUUUAGUGGGUUAAUAUAUGGCGGUAGUUCCAGUUGUUUAGUAUGAUUGUAGUACGAUUGUAUAUAUUAAUUGUAAUAUCUAAUGUAAUAUCAAUAACAAUCUGUGCAUAACAGAAUUCAAAAAAAGAAAAGAAAAAAGAAAACUGAUUUAGGUGGUUUCUUGGUUAAGACUUUUUCUUUAGCAUACUUAGUUCCACGUGCUAUUUAGAUAUUUUUCGACAUACUUAUUACUUAGUUCCACAUGCUAUUUAGAUAUAUUUCGACCAAAUGAACAAGCGCAAGCCAUUGACACUUAGCUUAAUUUCAGGGUCAAGCUAUAUUUGAAACUCAAAUAUUAACCUAUUAAUAUUUUCAAUUCAUUCAAUUAUAAAUUAGAGAUGAUAGAAAUUCUCAUAGGAACAGGGGCCCUAGGGGAUUUUAGAGGAUUUUUCCCAUUCGGGAAGGGUAGGAGACAAUUUUAUAUCAAGUUUCUUAUUCCCAGAGACUAUAAUAUUUUUUUACCUAAUUUCUUAUUCAGGGAAGAUAUGGAGAUGAUGUGGACUUUCCAUCCCCUCCCAAUUCUCCAUUUUUAUUUUUAAUUUUUAUAUUAUUUUUCUAGAAUUAUUAGUGAAAAUAAUAAAAUUUAAAUUGUAAAAAUUUUAUUAAUGAAUAAAUAAAAAUAAAAAUUUUAGACACCUUUUUCCCAAACUUGUAGCUUGACUUGCAGUUCUUGGAGCAGUAGCCUCCAAGACAGUUUUUCAAUUUCUCGAGAGCCGUCCCUUGUCAAUUCACCAACUUCAGCUUCCACAGCCGCCACCCUUGAGGUGAUGUUUGGUUGGGAGGAGAGAAUGGGGGAGAGGAAAGUAAUUUAAAUUCUACUUUUAUUUUUAUUGUUUGGUUGCACGAAAUAUAUAAGAAUUUAAUUUCCAUUAGAAUUUAAUAUCCUUUAUAAUCUAGAAUUUGAAUUCCACACCAAAGAGUGAAGAAUUCAAAUUCCUCUUAGGUUGAAAACCCAAGUUUCCAAAUUUGUCCUUCAACAUUUUAACUUGUUUAAUGCUAUUAAUAAUUAUUAUUUAUAAUUUUAUUUUAUCAAUUUAAUAUUAUAAAUAAUUUAAUAUUAAUUAAAUUUAAUGAAUGAUUUAAGACAUUUAAUAAAAUAAAUAAACUUAUUUAUUUAUUUAAUAUGCAAAUAUAUAAAUAUAAAUUAACUAUCGCCGGAACUUCGCUGGACCGUCGCCGGAAGCUGUCGAAAUUUCACCGAAAAGUCACCAACCACUGUUGAUCGGCGUUGGCUUAUGUUGACCGCUACUGUUGACCGGCUUUUAUUUAUAUUAAAUUAUAUUAAAUAGUUUAGUAUAUUAAAUUAUUUUAUAUUUUAUAUUAAAUAUAAAUCAUGAAUUGUUUCAUAACUUUUUGAAAUUAAAAAAAAUUGGUAUUAAUAUUAAAUUAUAUUUUAUUACUAAUAUAGAUAAUUUAGUAUUUAAGGUAAAGGAUAAAUUUGUCCAAAGAAAAAAAUUAUAAUUUCUUUCCUUAUCAAAUUUGAUGUCAAACCAAACAUUGAAAUUUAAUUUUAUUAAUCUCUUCCACUCAUUUCUCCUCCAUUCCACUUUUUUCUUCUCCUCUCCUUUUUUAAAACCAAACACCACCUGAAAGCCAACCUUGCACUUUGUUCAGCCGUCUCAGUUGUUGCUGCUCAGGAUUGGCGACCCUCAUCAUCACAUCGUUCUUUGGUUCAAUUAAUUUCUGCAAUUCGGUCUGGAUGGCAACCAGGUUAUCUUCAAGCUGGCUUAAAUAUCAUGCUUUUCUGCGGGUACAAUUUAUGAAGCCAGUGAAAAUUACGCAUACAAUAGGAGUGCAACACAGUGUGUAUUCGGUUGUGGUGUCUAUGAUUUUGCAGUCGCAGAAGCUUAUUCACCUUAUGAAGACUGAUCAGGUGGGCACCGUCGCUCUCCUUACAUUCUUAUGGAGAGCGAUAGUCCAUGUAGUCAGAUCUCACUGAGAGAACUAGCCGAGUGGGCAAUCGCUCCGCCUGAUCAAAAUUUGUCAUCUUAUAAUAAUAUCUUGAGUAGGUCUUGAAUUUUUUUUCCAAUUUUAAUCUUUAAAAGGUAGAAGAGGUGAAAAAAACCUAAAUAGUAUUUGUGUCCUCCUAAAUAACAUUUCUUGAACAUCAAUGGAUCUUAAAACUUAAUUAAGAAAAUAUUAUAGAUUUAUAAAUUAGUGGCCCUUAAAAUUUAUUUGCAAGUAACAAUUAGAGAAAAGUCGUCAGGCCCAAAAGACUUAGAGCAUCACCAAAAGACUCUUCAAAUAAGAUUUUAUUAAUUAUUUGAAGAGCCAUCUCAAUAUUUAAGACUCCAAAAGACACUCCAAUUAAGAUUCUUCAAAUAAGAAAUAAUUCUCUCUCUUCAAAUUUGGAGAGUUGAUUUCUCCCUCUUCAAUUUAUACUUUAUUACUUUCCAUUGGAGAAAAAGAGAGAAGUGCUUUAAUUGCUAUUGACUUUUUCUUUAAAAAAAUAAUUAUUUGAUUAAAAUAAUAUUAAGUUAUUUCUAUUUGAAGAGUCUUUUGGAGAAUAUUAUUUUUUUUUACUCUUCUAUUUGCCACAUAGAUAAGCAAAUAGAUAUUUGAAGAGUAAAAUUUAUAGAGUCUUUUGGAGAUGCUCUUACUAAAAGUCGGCAACUCGUCAUGACCAAAAUUCUUCCGAGUGUGAAAUACGGCAUGCGCAGAUGCAUUAAAAACAAAAGCCAGCUAAGAUAUUCUUUGUAUACUUGCAUUCCCUAUCAUCUUAUUAAUAAUUUCAGACACGUCGUUCGUUCCCUGUGACUUUUCAUAUGCAACAGCACAGUCAGUGUUACAAUUUACAUUUCGAAUUGGGUGUCAUCUAUAUACUCUACCUAGAUCUAACAUGAUAUUGCAGUAUUGCACUGAUUUUUUUGUCGCAGCGUUUCUCUAUGAAUUCCUUAAACUUUAAACACAUCAUGGAAUAAUUAUUUUCUUAAAGACCAAAUUAACAUAAUUCUUAAAUCAUUUAUAAAACAACAUUUAUCAUAUAACAGAUCGUACACGAAUCAAUUUUCCUUGAACAGUAGCAAACAAACAAGAAUCUCAACCACAUCACGAGAUCGCCCACGUCAAACCAAGUAUUCUUAAUGAGUGGACCAGCUAAUAUAUUCAAAAUUGGAAUUAAUUGAGGAUAAUGAUUAGUGCUAAUACAUUUGCAAAGAAAAAUCAUGCCUAUUGAAAAACUCAUCUUAUUAGCAGCAGCGUUAUAAGUAGCAUCCAAUCAUAGUUUCACGCAAGAUUUUGAGAUUAUUCAAAUGCUGAUCCCGGGAAUGGAGAUUAAUAGAUAAUGGAGACAGGUUGACUGCAAUGGCUAAUUGUAAGAGGGAUUUUUAGCCGUAAAAACAGAUCAACUAGCAAAGCAAAUUCCAAAUCUUGGAAUGCAGUAGCAAAAAAACGAAACAAACAAAUGGCAAGAGGAAGUGACUAUACAACAAUAACAUCGACUUGCAAUUCAACAUUUAUACAGUUUUACACACCAAGAAAAGAAAAAAUUACAAUAGAAAUUUGGCCACUAAAAGAUGCUCGUUCAUGCUUAUGCCUGUCAUAUGGAUUUGAAACAUGGAGUAAAAGCAUUUAGAGUGGCCUCAUCCUUCCACUGCAGCUCAUUCCACCAGUAUUGCUCUCCCCUAAUAACAAGUUUUCGUUCCUUGGCGCUGUUGUAAUCGAGUGGAAGCUUCUUGAGAUUCGGGCAGCCAGAUACAAACAAUUCCAAGAGAUUUGGAAAGGGCAAUGCAUUCAAACAGAUCUUCUUCAGAUUUCUUACAACUUGCAACCGAAGAUAUUGGAGUUUCGAAAAAGUUUUUUGCACUGGAACUUCUGGAACUUCUUCCAAUUUCCAAACACUGAUUAUUUCUUCCAUCUCAUAACAACGUUCUACAUGGACCAUCUUGAGAUUUGGGGCAAAAACAAGCCAUGUCAUCUCCCUCAAUUUACUGCAAUAGUCUAUGGUAACACUUUGAAGGCUGUUGAAACCAUAAAGUUCUCUUGUUGUUUGAAUUUCUGCAUAGUCAACCUUUAGCUCUUCCAAACUUGUACAAUACACAAAAUCUAGUUUGUCAAGAUACUUGAGAUCUGCUAUGGACAAAAUAUUCCAUGACCUUGAAUCCUCACAGCGGCGAAGCUCUAAAGCAUAUUUACAACUCUUGUACUGUUGGCAGCUCAAAAGUCUUCGUAGAGCAUAAAAACUUCUUAACGUGACGCUUAAUACAUUUAAAUGUUCCAAAGUAAUCAACUCCUCUACCAAAAUUUCACUACCACCAAAUAGAACGCUAUCUUCUGGUACUGUAUUAGCAGAGCCACAAUCUAGCAUCCUCAACACCUUUAACCCAGAAAAAUUACAAAGCAGUUGCCGUGGAAUCGUAUGGAGAUAACGCAUGUACUCCAAGUUCAAACACUUUAGAUUUUUCAAGGCUUUUAAUUCAUGUGGCAACUCUUUGAUGAAAGUUUCUGAAAGAUUAAGAUAUUGUAGUGAAACCAAUUUUGAAAUUCCUGAAGGCAAUUGACUCAAGGAGCGAUUCUUUGAUAGGUUUAAAACUUUAAGAGAAGGCAUAAAAUCGAAGAAAUCACUAGGGAUAGUAUCUAACAUAUUAAUGCCGAGGAACAAAGUUAUAAGAUGAGGGCAUAUUGGAGUUAUUGGUAAAAUCACAAUUUUAUUUCUCAUCAACGAUAUCCUUCUCUUAUCUUCCCAUUGUUUAACUUCGGGUGGUUCAGUUAAUUCAAUACCGGCAGAAACCAAAAAGUUUUCAUUCUCCACUUCACAGGCUAUCCACAAGGUCAUAUCACGAAUCACAUCAUGCAGUUUUACAUAAUCUGAUCCUGCUUCUUCCAAUAGGCAUGCAUGAACAAGAACACCAAUAAUGUAGUAUCCUUGGUUAUGUACUCCAUUAAUUCCUUCAUAUUCCUUCAGAAAACCCUCACCAAUCCAACACCCUAUCAAUUCAAUUUUGCUAAUUUGAUAAUCCUCAGGAAAUAAACUACAGUAUAACAGACAAGAUCUAAGGACGUCACUAGACAAACUAUCAUAACUGAAUUUUAAAAGACGAAACACCUCUUUCUCCAUACCUGGAAAUUCAUAAGCUGAUCUCCUUAACAUCUGAAUUGCAUAGCUCCAUUCUUCGGGUGUCUUCUUGCUGCUCAUGGCACGACCGGUGGUAAUAAGUGCAAGUGGCAAACCACUACACUCCUUUGCCACAGUUUGGGCUAACUCCGGAAUAUCGGGAUGACUUUCAAGAGUCUCUUCUCCGACCUUCUUUAGGAACAAUUCCCAAGCAUCUUGAUCUGCCAAACACUCCACCUUGAACUUUUUUUGAGCUUCCAUGAGGCCACAGACGUCCACAAGACGAGUUGUAAAGACUAUCUUUGAUGCAUUUCUUGAACUCGCAGGAAAAGGGACACCCACUUUGGCUAAAUCAAUUCUUUCCCAUAUAUCAUCUAACAAUAGCAGAAAUUUCAUUUUGCUCAAUAAAUUGAAUAUGCCUGAUGCUUUCUCUUCAAAGCUUCUAUUCUGAAGCCAUCCUAUUCUUUCUCCGAUUUUCUGUUGUAUUCUCUCAAGUUGCAUGUCUUUUGACACCACCACCCAAAUCACAAUAUCAAAAUAAUUUGGUGUAUUAAGGAACCUGUUGUUGAUUUGGGUUAAUAGUGUAGUCUUGCCGACUCCCCCCAUGCCAUAAAGUCCGAUGAUUCCAAAUUGUCCUUCUACAAGACAUCUCCAAACUUUAUCAAAUGUUGAUUCUAGGCCGAUUAUUGUUGGCUGAAGAGGCCUUUCAUCCACUGCUGGUUGUGGUACCUUUUCAGCUACCACUGCAAAAGCUCCAUCAUCUAUUAAAGUAGCCACAAGCUGCAGCUUUUUAGACACCUUUUUCCCAAACUUGUAGCUUGACUUGCAGUUCUUGGAGCAGUAGCCUCCAAGACAUAGUUUUUCAAUUUCUUGAGAGCUGUCCCUUGUCAAUUCACCUACUUCAGCUUCCACAGCCUCCACCCUUGAAAGCCAACCUUGCACUCUGUUCAGCCGUCUUAGUUGUUGUUGCUCAGCAUUAGCGACCCUCAUCAUCGCAUCGUUCUUUGUUUCGAUUAGUUUCUGCAAUUCGGUCUGGACGGCAACCAGGUUAUUUUCAAGCUGGCUUAGAUAUGCUGCUUUUCUGCGGGUACAAUUUAUGAAGCCAGCGGAAAGGGCAUCACAUAUAAGUUGGAUUCCCAAAAUAUUACCCAUAGUUUGUAUGAGAUUCAGAGUACAAUAGAAGGAAUGCAACACAGUAUGUAUUCGGUUGUGGUGUUUAUGAUUUUACAGUCGCAGAAGCUUAUUCACCUUGUGAGGGCUGGUCAGGUGGGCACCAUCACUCUCCUUACGCUUUAUAGAGAGCGAUAGUCCAUGUGGUCAGAUCUCAUUCAGAUAACUAGCCAAGUGGGCAAUCGCUCCACCUUAUCAAAAUUCUUCAUCUUAUAAUAAUAUCAUGAGUAGGCCUUGAAUUUUUCUUUUAAUUUUAACAUUUAAAAGGUGGUGGUGAAAAAGUCUAAAUAGUAUUUUUGUCCUCGUACUUUAAUAACAUUUCUUGAAAGUCACUCGAUCUCAAAAUUUAAUUAAGAAGAUAUUAUAGAUUUAUAAGCCCUUAAAAUUUAUUUGCAAGUAAGCCCAUAAGACUUACUAAAAGUCGUCAACUCGUCAUGACCAAAAUUGAAAAUUCUUCCGCGUGUGAAAUACGGCAUGCACAGACGUAUUAAAAGCAAAGGCCAGCUAUGAUAUUCUUCGUAUACUUGCAUUCCCUAUCAUCUUAUUAAUAAUUUCAGACACGUAGUUCGUUGCUUGUGAUUUUUCAUAUGCAAAAGCACAGUCAGUGUUACAAUUUACAAUUACAAUUGGGUGCCAUCUAUAUACUCCUUCCUUGUUUUCAAAAUAUGUUGUAGGAUGGGUAAUUGUAACAAAAGUGAUUUUUAAAAAGAUUUAUUAUAAUAUUAAAAUUAACUUUUAAUUUUUUUAAAUUAUUUUUGAGCUUUCUGAAAAAAAAAUCCUAAACCGGUCUCAGAAGUAUAAUUAGAACCACGAAUUUAUAAAAUGAUCAAAGGAAUCCAUCGCCUAAUAUUAUAGUACGCAAUGGAUUGCUAUAAACUAAAUUGCUAUGAUCUCACUUCAUAAUAAUUUAUUUUCAAUCUCCAUCAUGGUAGAAAAAUUUCAUCAAUCAACAUACCCUACCACCACCCAAUAGUCGACCAUUUAUCAUCUUCUAUCCGUAAAAAAACGAAAAAAAAAAAAGAGAAAAGGAAAAAUUUAGUCCACAAAAGAAAAUAUCGCAAGACCAAACAGAGAGAGAAAAUAGAAAAAGCAAAGAGCUGUACUGAAUACCGGCGGUGAUGGCUCGGUACUUGACCAUUUAGGUUUGAUUCUGCAUUAACAUAAUAUUUUUUCUGCACUGCAUUCACAUCACAACCAUUGAAUAGUCGUGAUCUAUUUUUCUAAAGCGAAUAAUAUUAUCUUCUCGUGUCGGUGGCUUGAUCAUAUAACAAAAUAGACUAAUAAUGUUUCAAUAGACAUUUUGGUAAAUGGAAGAAGUUAUGAUCUGUCCAUUUUUAUGUUACUUUAUUUUAAUUUGUUAAUUACUAUUAAUAUCUUUGAGUGGGGCAGAAUCUUGACCUAAGAUAUAGGGAUGGCAAUGGGGCAUAUAUGGGUUGGAUUUACUCUGCUCCAUAUCCAAAUCCAUAAUAAAAAUUAAGAUCCGUAUCUGCUCCAGAUCCGUCAUGAAUCCAUAUUUUUCGGUCCAUAUUCAGAUCCAAAAAAGAAAUAAAUAUCUAUAUCUACUCCAAAUCUGAAAAAAAUUAAAAUCCAAAUCUGCUCUAAAUCUGUCAUGAAUUCUAAAAUUCAGUAAUAAAAAAUUAAUAAUUUUUUAGAUUGAAAAUUGAAGGCUAAAAUGUAUUGAUAACAAAUAAAUUAUAUAAUUUUUCUCAAAAAUAUAAUAAAUAUUGUAUCUUAUACUUUUUCACCAAAACAACAAAUAAGAAAGAUAAUAAAAUAUCAUUUAGAAGUAAUUGCAGGAGUAAGAUCAAUCUAAUAUUAUAUUGUCUCCUUCAUCAUUCUAAUAUCCACGAUACACCUACCCUCAUUCCUACAACAUUAGAUAAUGACAUAUAAAUUAAAUAUGAUUUAUAUUCAGUCCUUUAUUAUUUUUAUUAUGACCAUAUUUGACUAAAUAUAUGAAUAACUAUAUUUCUUAAAAAUUAUUUGGCCAAUAUAAUAAAAUAAAUUGCCAAGUUAUAUUACUUGGCUUACAAUUUAAAUAUUGCAUGUACAUGCUUUGGGGUUGGCUGGCCUUUAAAUUUACAAAACUAACUUUUAAGUUUUAAGAGUUUAAAUGCAUGGUAAAUACUACUAAUAUGCUAUGAAUAAAAUUUAUUAUCAUUAUAAUUCCACAAUUGUUAAGAAACUUUUAAAAUAAAAUAAAAUUAAAAGAUGAGUGGAUAUGGAUAUGGAUUUAGAUAUUAAGAUAGAUCCAAAUCUGCUCCAGAUCCGUCUUAGAUCCGCACAUCGAUAUCCAAAUCCGAUCCAAAUCUAUUUUAAACCGAUCCAAAUCCGAUCCGAUUGGAUUUGGAUCACGUGGAUCUUGGAUCAGAUCCAAUCCAUUGCCAUCCCUACUAAGAUAUGACUAGGCUCCACAUGUUAUAUAUUAAUUUGAUUAAGCCCAGCUAAUUGUUAAUUAUUAAUUUGAUUGCGGCUUUUUAUUUUACCCACAUUUUUUACGCGUGAAAUCUUUCUUAGUGAAAAACUACACGUAUUUGCAAAUAUUCGGAAUGGACAUUUUCGAAAAAACAAGUAAAAGAAAAUGACUAAAAAGUAAAAGAAAAUAGACACCCAAUUGUAAUUACGAGUACAAUAGAAGGAAUGCAACACAAUACCGAUUUUGCAGUCGCUGAAGCUUAUUCACCCUAUGAGGGCUGAUCAGGUGGGGGCCGUCGCUCUCCUUACACUCUUAUAGAGAGUUAUAGUCCAUGAUCUCAUUGAGAGAACCAGCCAAGUGGGCAAUCGCUCCACCUGAUCAAAAUUCUUCAUCUUAUAAUAAUACCUUGAGUAGGCCUUCAAUUUUUUUUUUCAAUUUUAAUCUUUAAAAGGUAGAAGAGGUGAAAAAGUUAAAUAAUAUUUUUGUCCUCCUAUAUAACAUUUUUUGAAAAUCACUCGUUCUUAAAACUUAAUUAAGAAAAUAUUAUAGAUUUUUAAGUUAGUGGCCCUUAAAAUUUAUUUGCAAGUAACAAUUAGAGAAAAGUCGUCAUGCCCAAAUGACUUACUAAAAGUCUGCAACUCGUCAUGACCAAACAUCUUCCGAGUGUCAAAUACGGCAUGCGCAGAUGCACUAAAAACAAAGGCCAGCUAUGAUAAUCUUUGUAGUAUUAAUAAUUUCAGACGCGUCGUUCGUUGCCUGUGACUUUUCAUAUGCAAAAGCGGAGUCAGUGUUACUUGCAUUCACUGUCACCUUAUUAAUAAUUUCAGACACAUCGUUGGUUGCCUGUGAUUUUCAUAUUCAAAAGCACAGUCAGAAUUACAAUUUACAUUUGGAAUUGAGUGCCAUCUAUUUAUUCCAGCUAAAUCUAAAAUGAUGUUGCAGUAUUGCACUGAUUUUUUAGUCACAGCGUUUCUCUAUGAAUUCCUUAAACUUUAGACCCAUCAUAGAAUAAUUAUUUUCUUAAAGACCAAAUUAACAUAAUUCUUAAAUCAUUUAUAAAACAACAUUUAUCAGAUAACAGAUUGUACAUGAAUAAAUUUACCUUGAACCGUAGCAAACAAACAAGAAUCUCAACAACAUCAAUAUCAUAAUCCCUUCUGACCUUAACAGUAAUUUUAUUCGUCCUUAAUUCAUAGGUAUAAGUAUCCCAAUAUAUACUUGAUGUCAACCUUUACAAUUCUUUACAGAAUUGCAGCAGACCAAAUUUGUAUGCAAAACUGAAAUCAUACAGUAAUUGAAUACAGUGAAAAUAGACAUGAUGGGAAUUAGUAUAUAUAAAUAUCUUAAUAAUUUAAAAGUUUCUUAAACUGAUUUUACAUAUCUGAAAAAUUAUAGAAAUCGGAACUGCUGCAGAAAUCAUAAUUUUCCAGCGAAUGUGUUACAACUUCAGAAACUCAUAAGAAAUUAAAUUCUUGGGAUCACAAAAUAAUUCAUCAAUUUAAGAGAUUCAGCAGUACUUUUAUUACAUCAAUUCUUCAAACAAUCACCAAUCUAACAUUCAUCAAAAUUAAGUCAUAAAAGUCAUGUGGUUUAUAAAAAGAAUUACCUGAAAAAGAUUAGCCUUCCCCUUUCAAAAGCAACGAGAAACUCCAAAAACUCUUCUUCCAUUGCCUAUUCAAACAUGAAAAAAAAAAAUUAGUAUCUCUUCUUUAAACGCGCGAUGAGUGUGCUCUGUUUUCUCUGUUCUUUUUCUUUUUUAGAUUUCGAAAACGUAAAGAGUGUUGGAGUCUUUAUUUUCUAAAAACAAGACUUUUCCAUGUAUUCAGUUAAAUUAAAUUAUGUCCUAAUGCUAUGUCAGUUCCAUCAUUAGCAUUUUUUUUUUCCUUUUAACACCAACAUUAGCGUAUGUUAAGUAUCAUAAUCCAUAGUUGGACAAUUUGAAAUCUCUUCGUGUAGUUGACUGGCAACAACUAUAUUGGCAUUUAGACAUAAUGUACUGCAACCAUAUUGACAUGUUCAAAUGUUCUCACUAUUGUAUUGGUGUGUCGAUAUUAUCUCUAUCAGUCCUAUAGAUCCAAAAAUAAUCUAAAUUUACAAUUUAACUUAAAAUAAAAUAAUUGGUAGAAAACAAUUAUGGUUCAUUUACUUAUCAGUAAUUAAAAUAGACUGAAAUUAGAAUGAGUUGUAUUGACGUUGAUGUGUUUCUGUUGUCCUCGAAUCGGAAUGAAUUAUUUUAACUUACUAAAAUACCCUUUGUUUGUUAUUCUAAUUAUUAUUAUUUAAUAUUUAUUAUAAUAUUUGUCAUAUUAUUAAAAAGAAAUAAUAAUGAUGAUAAUAUUAUCAUUAUUGUUUGUUAUAUUAUUAUUAUUCAAAAAAAUUGUUGUUAAUAACUAUAAUAACUUUAUUUCAAUAAUAAAAAUGAUAAAAUUAAUAAUAACAAACAUGACAACAACAAUAAUUAUUUAUUAUGCCAAAAAAUAACAAUAAUGAUAAGAAUAAUAAUCAUCAUCAUUUUUUUCCCAAAGAAGCAUUAUCAUCAUCAUUUCAAAAAAAAAAAUCAUCAUCAUCAGCAUUUUUGUAGUGGCUGCCUAUCGGCUGCUGCUUUCAUGUGAGAUUGACUUGCGACGCUUCAACUACUAUUAUUUCUGGCAAUGUCAGGUGUUGUUGUUUCAAUCUGGGGAGAAGCUGUUUCGGUGAGCUAACAAUGGGAGGUGUUGCUGCUCGAUGCGAGGUCCAUGGCCAGCUGUCUUGUUUUACACCCAGCUCUUGUAGGAAAUUAUUCAUCCACAAUAUUUCUUUGUAACCUUCAAUAAUUGUAAUAUCAUUUGCUUCCGUGGUAGAAAAGACAACUCAUUACUAAAGUCUAGAUUGCGAUGAGACUGCCUUCCCUACAAAAGUGAGCAAAUAUCCUCAUAGGAAUCUUUCAGAAUCAACAUCUCUUGCCAUAUCUGUUAAGAAUAACAUAUGCUGAGUCAGCUACUGAGUCAUCAAGCCACGCUGGAAGUCAGUUUUGCAGUUAGUUAGAGAGCUUAUCAGCUUCUCUCCAAAAGUUUGUUAUGUGUAUUAGAAUAUGUGCUCACGAGUUUUGUGAGUUUGUAACCUUGAAAAGAUUCUCACACUACUAUAAAUUGUAUUGUGACUCAAUUAAUAAAAGUUGUUGAAGCUUUGCAUUUUCUCUCAGUCAAAAUUUUCUCUCUAUUUUUCUAAGUAACCAAACAAAAUCUACAGAGCAUUUUGUAUUUUAACUUGGUAUCAGAGCUUGAAUCCAAUGGCCUUAAUCGGUUCCAAUCAACAGUCGAGCAACACUUCCAUAACUUCUUUCACCUUCACAAAUCCAAUUAAGCUUGAUCGUGCAAACUAUACGAUCUGGAAACAGCAAGUACUUUCUUCAAUUCGUGGCAAUGGUCUUGAAGGCUAUAUUGAUGGAUCAAGGAUCUGUCCUAGUCAAUUUCUUUCUCCAGAGGCUAGAUCUGAAGGUUCUUCUUCUUCUAACAUCGAAGGUCAAGAGAAUCCAGAGUAUGCAGCCUGGAGACGUCAAGAUCAGCUCCUGCUCAGCUGGAUUCUGUCGUCCAUGAAUGUAGAUAUUCUCAGUCUUGUGGUAAGCUCUAAGACUUCUUUUGAGUUGUGGAAAAAUCUAGAAAAACAAUUUGGAUAUGAAUUUAUGGCUAAGAAGGUUCAUCUGAAAAUGCUUUUGAGUAACCUGCGAAAAGGAUCUCUAACCAUGUCUGAGUAUUUUACAAAGCUUAAGUCAGUUACAGAUGGUCUUGCUUUAGUUGGUAGCCCUGUGCAUGAUUUGGAUUUAAUCACUCAUCUUAUUACUGGUCUAGAUCAGUCAUAUUAUCCUGUAGUAGUCUAUAUUGAGGCAAACAUGUUGAAAAUGGAUCUUAGUGAGGCUUAUGCUAUGCUUCUCACACAUGAGGCUAGACUUGAGAAUAAUAAGCUUCAUGAUAGUAAAGAAACCAAGAACAAUUAUGCAACAAAUGUAGCUCAGGUUGGAAAUUUUUCAAAGAAAGGUAAUAACAAUAAUCAAAACAACUGGAAGGAUGGAGGAAACAAUUGGAAUAAUAACUCUGGUGGAAGAGGUGGUUACCAAGGGUUCAAUCCAGGAAGAGGAAACUGGAAUAAUAAUAAUUUCAGAGGUGUUGCUGGUGGAUUUAACAGUGGAUUUCCUGGUCUCGUGGCUUCAAUAACAAUUAUGGCAGAGGUGGUUUCAACUCAGGCCAAAAUUUGGUGGUUGUUGAAGCCAACAAAAAUAAAUUCCUACUCUAAAUAAAUUGUGUAUAGUGAUUGAGCAGGGUCGUGUCCACAGAGAUCGGUAAUUAUUUAAAUCCUUUUGAAACGUAAAACGCAAAAUGGGGGAAUUGUUGACAAUAAUAAAAAUCAAAUUAAAGUAACAAGAAUGCAAAUUAAAGUUGUAAUUCAAAUUGGAGAAAGCUCUGGUUGAAGGAAUUAACUCAGCUUGAUUCGACUACUGAUCAUUGAUUCAAAUAUAGAUUAUUAUUACUCAUGAAUAGACCGGUUAUAGCUACUGAGACCCUCUAAUAGCCAAUCUCUCCUUAACUAGUCGAUAACCAAGGUACGACCGUUGGUUAUUUCCCUAAUCAAUAGACAACCCUAGAUACGAUCAUAGAAUUUAAUCAAUUGACAGCCUGAAAAACCAGAGAGACCCAAAUCCUAAUCAACACAUAUGAUGAUUCAUUUAAAUUAGAUUGUUUAUUCUCACAACACAACUCUCUGCUAUGUUAUUUGUCACAAGCAUUAAAUUCUUCAUACGAUGAAUCCUUUAAUUGACAAUAGAUUAAGUUGAUAAUUAAAUAGUGGCCAAUUACCUAAUUAACAAACAUAAUCAUGAAACUAAUUCAGAGAAUAAACAAAUACCCAAAAAGCAAUAAAACAAUUAAAGCACAAGAAAGAUCUCAUAGUAGUGAUGAAUCAAAGCUUCAUUAACCUUCAACCAGAAAAAUAAGUUUAGUUCUUCAUAGAGAGAAGAGAAAAAUUAAAUCUAGGGUUUCUUUCUUUUUUUUUUUUCCAAUCCAAAAAAUCCCCCUUUUUCACAAUAGAUUCCUCCCUUAAAUACUCUCUCUCUCUUCUCCUCUAGAAUUUUAUUUAAAAUAAAAUACUAAUAUCUGAAAUAUUAAAUUCGUAAUUACAAAAAUAACCAAAAAUACAAAACACGUUAAACUAAAAACUGCAGGUCCGCAGUUGACAGCACGCGCCCACGCCUUAUCAAUAAAGUUCUUCUGACGCUCAUAAUUUCUCCAAGAGAACAAUCAUCCUUAAACAUCAUCUUAUAGCUCAAUUUUAUCACCAACCAAUAGAAUUGCACCUACAAAAGUAAAUCACUAUUAUUAAGUGCAAAACAUCGAUAUUAAAAGAAGUAAACAAUGCAAAACUAGUGCAUAAAUUGCACUCUAACAGAGGUGCUGGAAAGAAUUUUGCUCAGGGAACUGGUGCUGCUUGUCAGAUAUGCUUCAGGUUUAAUCACACAGCAGCUGAUUGCAGAAACAGGUUCAACAGAAAUUUUAUCCCAAAUUUUCCAGCUCCAGCUCCAAAUUACUUCUCUAAUCAGCACCAAGGACCAAGAGCAGCCUUCAUAACAACAUCUGAAGGAGCUGCUGAUCAGGGAUGGUUUCUGGAUAGUGGUGCAACUCACCACUUAACCAACACAGUUCAGAAUCUGAGUGAUGGUAAGAUCUAUUUUGACUCAAACUUACUUACUGUUGGUAAUGGCCAAGGUUUUAGAAUUACUCACAUAGGUUAUACACAACUUCACACUUCUUUUGGCACCUGCUUACAACUACAGAAUAUUUUGUGUGUUCCUCAAAUUACCAAGAACCUCAUUAGUAUUUCCAAACUCCUCACUGAUAAUGAUAUAAUCAUUGAAUUUUUCUCUGAUGUUUGCUUUCUAAAGGACAAGGUGAAGGGCACUCUGUUGGCUUAGGGGAUUGCUAGAGAUGGCCUAUACAAGCUACUGUCAAAAAAGGAAUCUCUCUCUUCUUCCACUUCUGUUCUGCCAGUGUCUCAUCCUAGUUCUAUGAUGUCAACUCUUUCCUGCAAUAAUGUAAUUACUUCUGUUCAAAGUUCAAAUAAUGACUUCUGUUUUAAGUUUACAUUUCCUGUAAGCUUUCAAACUUCAAUUUCUGUGUCAGCAAAUAUAUUGCACAAUAGACUUGGUCAUCCAAGUAAGCAUGUCAUACAAACUAUUCUCAGAAACAAUUGUUUAAUGUCAGCCAAUGUUAAUAAAUCAAAUUUUCUUUUCUGUGAUGCCUGUCAACUUGGAAAGUUACAUCAAUUACACUUUCCCGCUACUAAAAUCAAAACAAAAUAUCCCUUAGAAUUAAUACACACAUACUUAUGGGGACCAGCUCCAGUUUUAUCACUAGAUGGUUAUAGAUACUAUAUUUCCUUUGUUGAUGACUUCACCCGAUAUUGUUGGAUCUUUCCCUUAGUUUUAAAAUCUGAUGCCCUUACUACUUUCAAAAACUUCAAGAGCUUAGUUGAGAAACAAUUCAAUCUGCCCAUCAGAAUUUUACAGUCUGAUAUGGGAGGUGAAUUCAAAGCUUUUCAGUCAUUUCUUCAACAAUAAGGUAUCCAAGCUAGAUUUAGUUGUCCCUAUACUCACCAUCAAAAUGGUGUUGUUGAGAGAAAACAUAGACACUUAGUAGAAACUGGAUUAACACUCCUUGCUCAAGCAAAAAUGCCUAUUUCUUUCUGGUGGGAGGCUUUCCAUACAACCUCUUAUCUCAUUAAUAGAAUGCCUACCACUACACUGAACAACUUAUCUCCCUAUCAAAAGCUUCAUAAUCAGCCACCAAACUAUCAACUUCUCAGAGUUUUUGGUUGUGCUUGCUAUCCUUUUCCCAGGCCUUAUAAUGACCACAAGCUUGAUUUUCAUUCCCAAAAAUGCUUGUUUUUAGGUUACAGCCCUCUUCACAAAGGAUAUAAGUGUCUAACAAAGUCAAGCAAAGUAUAUGUUGCUGUUCAUAUUAUUUUUAAUGAGUCUGAUUUUCCCUAUUCAGAGUUGUUCGCUUCAUCUGAAUCUUCUUCCAAUUCUCUGUCAUCAUACUCUCCAUCUAUUUGUAUCCUCAAUGACAGUGGCUUGCAUCAGUCAUCAGCUAUAUCUCCUGCUUUAGCAGAGUUACCAACUCACAUUCACCUCAACAUCCUCACCAAGCCCCACACUCUCCUUGUCCCUCUCCAGUCUCAAAUUCCUACGGCUCAUCAUCACCACAUUCUUCAUCACAUAAUGCUUUAGCCAAUCCCUCUGAUGAAUUACAACCAUCAUCUCAACCUGUCAUUUCAACUCAUCAGAUGGUUACUCGAGCCAAAUCUAGUAUUUUUAAACCAAAGACCUACCUUACAGCUACCGAAGACCUUGAACCAGUGAGUGUUAAAGCAGCCCUGAUUGAUACAAAGUGGAAAAUGGCUAUGCAAGAAGAGUAUAAUGCUUUGCAGAAGAAUGACACCUGGACAUUAGUUCCAGCUGAAACCGCUACAAAACUCGUUGGAAAUAAGUGGGUUUUUAGAGUUAAAUAUAACCCAGAUGGUAGCAUUUCCAAGUAUAAGGCUCGGUUGGUUGCAAAAGGUUUUCAUCAAACUUAUGGAGUAGAUUUCUUUGAAACCUUUAGUCUAGUUGUUAAACCCUACACUGUUCGUAUUGUUCUCAGCUUAGCAGUCAUGCAUUGUUGGCCAGUUCGGCAAUUGGAUGUUAACAAUGCCUUUCUUAAUGGCAUGCUUACUGAAAAUGUGUUUAUGCCUCAGCCAGAAGGCUUUAUCAGCUCUCAGUUUCUCAAUCAUGUCUGCAAAUUACAAAAAGCCAUUUAUGGUCUUAAGCAGGCUCCAAGGGCUUUGUAUGAUAGAUUGAAAGGGUCUUUAGUUCGGUGGGGUUUCAGAUCUUCAAAGUCAGAUACUUCACUGUUUUUCAAGCAUAUUGGCAAUAAUGUUCUCAUCAUCCUUGUUUAUGUAGAUGAUAUCCUGAUAACAGGCUCUAGUGCUGUUUAUAUUUCAGAGGUUAUCAGUCUACUUAGCUCAGAAUUUGCACUUAAAGAUUUAGGAGAUUUUAACUACUUUCUUGGGGUAGAAGUGACUCCAUCUGCUGAAGGAUUACAUCUAUCUCAAACUAAGUAUGUUGGUGACAUCUUAAGAAAAGCUCAUAUGCUUGAGAGUAAAGGCUGCAAUACACCUAUCAGUAUUGUUGAUAAGUUGCAGAAGGACAAAGGUUGCUCAUUUACAAAUCCCUCACUUUACAAAAGCAUCAUUGGUUCUCUGCAGUAUCUGACACUGACCAGACCAGAUAUCGCAUUCACUGUAAACAAAUUGAGUCAGUUUUUAGCUGCUCCAACUAUCUUGCAUUGGCAGGCUUGCAAGAGGGUAUUACGAUAUCUACAAAGCACAACACAUUUUGGACUGCAGUUCUUCAAGUCAGGUCCUCCAAGUCUCAUAGCAUAUUCUGAUGCAGAUUGGGGGUCUGAUCCAGAUGAUAGAAGAUCUGUUGGAGGGUAUUGUGUUUAUCUUGGAUCCAAUCUUGUGUCUUGGUCAUCUAAGAAACAGAACAUUGUUUCCAGGUCAUCUGCUGAAUCUGAGUAUAGAGCUUUGGCCUUAGCUACAUCUGAGGUUUUGUGGAUUACAUAUCUGUUGAAAGAGCUCAAAGUAUCACUUCCCAAACCUCUUGUUCUUUACUGUGACAACAACAGUGCAGAAGCUUUGGCUAGCAAUCCUAAGUAUCAUUCCAGAACUAAACAUAUAGAACUGGAUUUACAUUUUGUCAGAGAACACAUUGCCAACAAGGAUCUCUUCAUUGAACAUGUGUCUAGUUCUGAUAAGUUAGCUGAUGUGCUUACCAAACCUCUGAGUUUUGAUAAUUUUGCCUAUAUGCGAACUAAGCUCAAUGUCUGCCCACGACCUUGAGCUUACGGGGGCAUGUUAAGAAUAACAUAUGCUGAGUCAGCUGCUGAGUCAUCAAGCCACGCUGGAAGUCAGUUUUGCAGUUAGUUAGAGAGCUUAUCAGCUUCUCUCCAAAAGUUUGUUAUGUGUAUUAGAAUCUGUGCUCAUGAGUUUUGUGAGUUUGUAACCUUGAAAAGAUUCUCACACUACUAUAAAUUGUAUUGUGACUCAAUUAAUAAAAGUUGUUGAAGCGUUGCAUUUUCUCUCAGUCAAAAUUUUCUCUCUGUUUUUCUAAGUAACCAAACAAAAUCUACAGAGCAUUUUGUAUUUUAACUAUAUCUACACACUUAUAACACAAGUUUGUCACCACUAAAAUAUAAACAUGUUCUGUAAAUGCCUCUAAGAUAUCUGAGAAUUCAUUUCACUACUGUCCAGUGCUCUUUGUCCAGAUUGGAGAGAAACCGACUGACUACACUAACUGCGUAAACAAUACCUGGUCUUGUACAAAUCACGGCGUACACCAAACUGCCAACUGCUGAAGCAUAAGGAACUCCUCUCACGGAGAAAUGGGUUUUGCUCUUGAGAUCUUUGGGAACAUGAAGAAUAAAGAUGUAAUUUCUUGGACUGACAUUGUUUCGGGGUAUAUAAAUAGAGGACAAGUGGAUAUAGCUCGACAGUAUUUUGCUCAGAUACCAGAACGAGAUUAUGUCUUAUAGACUGCCAUGAUUGAUGGGUACCUUCGAGUGAAUAGGUUCAGAGAGGCUUUGACACUUUUCCGGGAGAUGCAAACUUCAAAUAUAAGGCCAGACGAGUUUACCAUUGUUAGGAUUCUUACAGUUUGUGCGAAUCUGGGGGCACUAGAACCGGGAGAAUGGAUAAAGACUUACAUUGACAAAAACAAGGUCAAGAAUGAUAUAUUUGUGGGGAAUGCUUUGAUAGACAUGUACUGUAAAUGCGGAGAUGUUGAGAAAGCUCAAAGGGUACUCAGGAAGAUGCUUCGAAAGGACAAAUUCACAUGGACGGCCAUGAUUGUUGGCCUUGCCAUCAGUGACCCAUUUCCUACGAUCAGACCGGAUAAGGUAACUUAUGUUGGUGUUCUGUCUGCCUGUACUCACAAUGGUAACGAAACUUUUGUGAUAAAUAGUUGCGACUUAAGGUGAGAAUUGGAGGAAACGAAAUAGACUGAAGUUGUUCAAUCAUCGGUGGUUGCUAUUUGAUUUUAAGUUGUUCAAUCAUCGGUCAUCUCUAUUUGGUUUUCUCCAAUAUCUCAUCUCCAGUUUUGACUCAGAUUCUGUCUUACCACUAGUAAUUAAAAGUGAGGAGGCAGCAGUCAAUGCUAUUUCGGCUUGGCCCAAAAUUUCACCAGUUUGUUAGUGUUCUGCAGCUCUUGCUGCUUUCCUAGAGAUUCUGCAUCUUUUGCAAUUUGAUUGAUUAAAAAAAAAAAAAUUAGUGGCCAUUUAGAAUGAAGGAGAGAUUUGUGUGAAUGGUAUAGGUGAAAAAUUGGAUGAAAAUAAACAGGCAACCGUCCGUAUAAAACAACAAUAACAAUAUACAAAAAGAUAAGUAGACACUUCUGUAAUUCACGAAAGGAAAUUUAUGGUUGUUUCUGAAAAACAUACAUAUUAAUUUCACUUAUACUCUAAGGUGGGAUAGAUGUCAACUAGCUAUGCUAAUGAUACCUUGCCAUCAUGACUGGACUUGUGAGGAAUUUGGAAACAUGUAUGAUGAUUGUUACUUACACAAUUGUAGAAAGAAAUGCUGAGGUGGCUUGAACCAGAUGGUGAAAUCGUCUAACACACUUAAUUGUUAGAUGUGUUUUGGAUAUUCACAGUUAGGUUGAAAUUUGUAGUUUUCACUUGAAAGAAUUCAGUUAAAAAUUGAUUGGUAGAAUUGUAAAAUAGUCUAAAUUUUUAGUUCAAACCCAUUGCAUAUUUAAGAACAUCUUAAAUGAAUUGCUUAUUGCUAUCAUCAUCAUUAUUGUCCAUAUAAUAAUAAUAAUAAUAAUAAUAAUAAUAAUAAUAAUAAUAAUAAUCAAUAGAAAUGUUAUCUUAUCCACUAUUUUAUAUAUGUUUCCACUAAAAUCUAUUUAAUUAUUCUUUAUUUUUUUUCAACUGUUGCAUGUUAGAUUUAUUCGAUUUCCUAAGUUAUAUCAAUAGAAAUGUUAUCUUAUCCAUAAAAAGUUAGAUCUAACAAUUAUGAAAAUUACUAUAGUGCUGCUUUGAAUAAUUUUUUAAAAAUACCACAAGUAAAUAAUAAUUAGUUUAAAUAGUGGAGACUAAAAAGCAUUCACCCUUAUUUUUUAUCUGUUAUUAGUUUUUUUUAAUCUGUUAUACAUUUGAAACAUUCCAUUAAUUGCCAAUUAUGUAAGCGAGAUAGUAAUUAAUUUUUUUUAUUUAAAAAAAGUGAAAAUUAAUCCUAUGCAAUGUGAAUAAAUUUCUUUCCUUUUUCCUUCACUCUUUUUAUUUGAUAAUUAAGUUUCAAUCUAUGUACGCAAAAUUUCUGCAACAGCUGCAAAACAUAAAAAUAUAUGAUUGUUAAGGGAAACACGCAGAAGUUCAUCACUUCAAUGUUCAGUAUUUCCAAUUUUGGCAUUAAGCUCUUACGAAUAUAUUCCACUUAGAAAGCAAAAUAUUAGAAUUGUGAUUUUAAUUCAUUCAUCAUAUCUCAUUUCAAUCCCAAAAUAUUCAAGUGGAUCCAAGUUACCAUAAGGCUUCAGAGGCUCGAGCCUUAGCCAGAGAUGGUUAAUUGAUAGACUAGGUAAGAGAAACCAAGGUUGAAGUAUGUAGAAAUGUUAUUUCAUUUAUUUUUAUUUAUGAUUUUUUGUAAAAUGUAAGAAAUAUGUAGAAAUGUUGCCAGCAAUGAUUUUGGAACUUUGCAUAAAAUUUUUAUCAUUAUUGUUUUUGGUAUUAAGAAAUCCGAGGCGGUGAUUAGACGUAUGUUGCAACAAUUAAGAAAUUUCUUAUUGGAGAUAAUUUGGUAGGUUGCAACAAUUAGAGAAUCAUUUUCCUGUCAGUUAAUCAAUCAAUAAUAAAUUUCAAAUUGCAGAAAAUAAAAUAAUACUGUCGCACUUAGAAUCAUCUUUUCUAUCUCUUUCAAUUGUGACAAUCAUUUGUAACAAAUAAAUCAAUUUGAUGCACAUCAUUUCCCCAAUUCAAAGUUCAAGUCACUGCUCAAUUGCAGAGUAGUUAGUAGACAUGCAUGCAUGUUUAAUUAAGUACUGCAUUGUAGUAUCGAAAAUCAUAACAUCUCACCAAGCCCGGAAGCAUAGCUCUUUAUCUUGUAAAUGUUGAAAUCUUAUGCAAACUAUGGGAACCAUGAGCUCACUCUCAGUGUCACUUGAUUCCAUUUUCUGUUCUUGCCUUGAUUUCGAUGUUGGGAAUGUGACGUCUGAGUCUAAGGUUGAAGAUAAUCUCGAUGCCUUGCGGACUGCAAUGGAAAUAAAAUAUUUGUGUGUUGAGAAAUGAUGAAAUGAUGCAAUGGAAAUAAAAUCUCAAUCUCUUGAGAAAUGAUGUGAUAAGAAGAGUUACUGUUGCUGAAGGACAACAUCAAAUGCAACGAAUGGAUCGAGUGCAGGGCUGGCUUUCAAGGGUAAAAUCUGUGGAAAAUAAAGCUGAUGAUUUGAUGAGACACAGCUCUCAAGAGAUUGAGAAGUUAUGCCUUGGAGGCUUCUGUUCCAGGAACUGCAAAUGAAGCUACAGCCGUGGGAUAGAAUUUGCAACAAUGCUACGAUUGUGGAGAGUUUAAUGGGUGAAGGAUCAUUUGAAUAGGUGGCUGAGAGGGUGCCAGAAGAUGCAGCAGAGGAGAUAAAUUGUGAGCCAACAAUAGUGGGCAUGUUGUCGACUUUUGAGAAAGCCUGGAGAUGCCUUGAAGAAGAAUCAGUUGGAAUUAUUGGCCUAUAUGUCAAUGGGGGAGUUGGAAAAUAUUUACUCAAAUCAACAACAAGUUCCUUGAUAGUCCAAAUAAUUUUGAUGUUGCGAUCUGGGUAAUGGUCUGCCAAGAUUUGCAACCCCAGAAGUUUCGGGAAAAGAUUGGGAAAAAGAAAGUCUUGUUCGAUGAGUACCGGAUUGAACUAUAUUAGAUUAUAUUUAAAUAAUAUUAAAUAGUAUUUAAGUUGGUAUUCUAAUAUAAAUAUCAAUUAUCCAUGAAAUUUUAUAAUCAUAAUUAAAAUAAAUUUAAAAAGCAAUUACUAGGAAAAUUAAAUAUAUUGCAAAAAGUUAUUGGGUAGUCAUAAUAUAAUAGGCAAAUAAAAUUAAAUAAAACAAAUUACAUAUUUAAUUAUAUUUAUCAAAUAUUUAAAAAUAUUAUAUAAAAUAUUAUAUAAAAUCAAUUAAUUAAUGAUAUUAUUAAUUUUCAUGAUUAUUUUUAAUAUUAUAUUACUGAUUAUUAAAUUUAAUACAAUCAAAUAAUGCAAUAAAUAAUUAAACAUUCAAUUUUAUUGAUUAAUUAUUAAAUAUACAAGUAAUGAAAAUUUUAUCUCAAGAGUUGGUAGAAGCGAAAGUACUAAUUUAAUUAGAUCAUAGAUAAUAAAUAAAAAUAAAUUUUAAGUAAAUCAUAAUAAAAAAUUAAUUAAUUAAUUCAAUCAAUCAAUAUUAGGUGUAAAUAAAAAAAUGAUAUAAAUAAAAAUCUCAUAAAUGUACAACUUUUAUCUUUAAUCUUAUCCUAAAAGAACAAAAAGCAGAAUAUAUAUUGAAGUGUUUUUCACACCUUUUCAUUAACUGGAAUGCAUGUAUUUAUAUACAUCAUUUGUAACUAAUAAAGAGAAAAUAAAGGAAACUAUACAUGAGAGUAUCAAGGAGAAUAAUGGAAGAGAUUGUUGUCCGUAACUUGUGGAGAGUAUCAUGGAGCUUGAGAUUAUCUGAUAUGCCCCCGCAAGAGGGUGUUGCCAUUGGCGACACCCAUCUUGAACCUUAAUUCAGAAAAUGGUCGCUUAGAGAGGGGCUUGGUUAGGCUAUCAGCAAGUUGAUCUGCUGUAGAUACAUAAGAUACGCGCAAUAGCCCUUUGUUGACCCAAUCACGAACAAAAUGAUAAGCAAGAUCAAUGUGUUUUACCCUUGAAUGAAAGACUGGAUUGCGACACAAAUAGGUAGUUCCAAUAUUAUCACAAUAGAUGGUAGGAGUUUGACUCAAUUGAAGGCCAAGUUCUUGAAGUAGAUUCUGAACCCAUCGAACUUCAGAGGCUGCAUUUGCGACAGCCAAGUACUCAGCUUCUGUUGUGGAACGAGCUAUUGAUUUUUGUUUGUUCGAGCGCCAUGAGAUAGGAUUGCCGCCUAGAUAAAGCAUAUAGGCUGAUGUAGAAGUAAUGAAAAUUUAAUCUCAAGAGUUGGUAGAAGCGAAAGUACUAAUUUAAUUAGAUCAUAGAUAAUAAAUAAAAAUAAAUUUUAAGUAAAUCAUAAUAAAAAAAUUAAUUAAUUGAUUCAUCAAUCAAUAUUAGGUGUAAAUAAAAAAAAUGAUACAAAUAAAAAUCUCAUAAAUGGACAACUUUUAUUUUUAAUCUUAUCCCAACUAAACACAUGUGUAAAUUAGGAUUAUUAAUUCCAUAAUUUUCGGAUUAAAUUCAAAUUUAUUCCCCCUUAAUCCAAUUCAACUAAACUUGUCAAACAUGGGAUAAAAAUUUAAUUAUAAAAUUAGUCCAAUUCCAUACUUAAUCCUAGCAUCCAAAUAUAGCUCAAGUUCUUUGCUUAAAGAAGCUACCAAAUUUGAAGAGCGUUUACGGGAAGGCCUUGCGUUUCCCAGAUGUAUGCAGAAUUUUUGUAUCUAAAUGCCCAGAACUUAAGAAGCUGACGCUGGAUUUUGAAAGGGCGGGCCAAGGUAAAAUUCUUAUCAAAUGAAAGGAAAAUCGAUGGAAACAACUUCAAUGGGAGGAUCAAGCAACUCAGGAUGCAUUGCUUCUGUUUUUCAAAUCAACUGACAAGUGAUUGAAGGGGGCAUCAUCAGCCUGGAUGGGGAGAUCCUGGAGCAGAUCAGCAGGGUUUGAAUCUGCAUCAUCAACAUCAUCAGGAUCUCUAUUUCUAUUGCUGGUCGUAAUGCCUGCCGACUGUUGCUUGAAAAAGUGAUUAAGUGAGCCAGUUUUUUGUUUAUUAAAUUUUGUUUUGUAGAGACAGUCACAAAGUAUUUUUCUUAGUUGUUCUAUAUGAGAGUGAUGUGAACCAAUUUUUCAAUUAUAUAUUCUGUGGGAAAUUGCAAGUAUUUUUAAAAUAUGAUCGUUAUUAAAGGAAACAAAGGAAUCAACACAGCAUACUGAACCUCAGCAGUAUGAAGCUAAUGAUUAAACUCCUCACACAAUUCAUAACAUGCAAAACCAUUCACAAAAUCAUCCACAGCAACCAUAAUUGGCGUCCAAUAGAAAUUUACAAGAAUUACUUUUCUGUUCAUGCAAUCGGCGUCUGAACGCGGCUGAUCGGUCACCGGUGUUGGCGUUUACUGUGAUUAGACAAAUUGUAGCACUUCAAAAAUAACUUCUAUAGGGGUAAUUUCGAUUUCACAUAAUUAAUUUUAUUUACAAUAUUUUAUUCCUGCAAGGUCAACUGAGAUUCUUUCCACCGGGCACACCCUUCAUGUUCUUUUAUUUUCUGUCUUUUAUUAGCCGUUGGAUUUUACUACUCUUAUAUCCAACGGCUUGCCACAACAAGACAAAUGAGGUGGUACCUUUCAACCGCUGAAAGGUAGUUUUGGCCCCAAGUGAAAGAGGGAAAUAGGGAAUUGAUGCUAUAUUUUAUAUUUUCUAUUUUACUACUCUUGUAUCCACCGGCCUUUCUUAUAUUUUAUUGCAAAUUGAUGCUAACAAGAAAAAGCUAGAUCAUAUUCCACAGAAAAGUGAGAAAACAACCAGAUGGAUUCUUUUAUUAAACUACAAAUUAAAAUGGUAUCACAAAUUCUCAUCAAUUUAUUUAAAUAUAUUCUUUUAACCCUCUUUUUAAUUUCACAAAUUCUCAUCAAUUUAUUUAAAUAUAUUCUUUUAACCGGAAACAAUUGAUAUCACUUAUUAAGAAUAACAAAAUUUACUAUUUAAAAAUGAAGAUCAAUAAAUUUUUAUCAAUCAUGAAAGUUAAUGAGUGUCAAGAAAUUAAUUUUUGCUAAACAUACAAGCUAAUAACUAUUAAAAAAAUCUUAUAUUAUAGAGAUCAUAUAUAUUAAGAAAGACCAAAAAAAAAAUUAAAAAAAUAGUUAAAUUCAGUGUAUAGUUUAUAGGAUGUGAGAGUGGUAAAAGAAUAUAUAAUUGUAAAAUAGAGAAAAAGAAAAAGAGAUUAGUAGAGAAUAAUUUUGAGAUUUUUUAAUUUUUAAUUUUUAAUAAUAAAUUUAUUUUAAAAAAUAGGUGUGGAGAAAAAUUUGAUGGGUUCAAGCAAUUCCACCUAAUUUUAUAUUAUCAAUACGCAAAUGAAAGUACAAAAAUACCUCUAAUAGAGUGAAAUAAAGAGUUCUCUAAUCUCUAGGGUUUCUCAUUCCAAUUUUGAAAUUUCCCUACUUUAUUUUGAAUUAACCCUCUUUGUUACCAUUGAAUUGUAACAUUCAAAAUUUGAAUAUGUUUUUACAAAUAGAAGAUUAUUGGGACAAAAACAAUAAGAAAUAGAAAACCUAGUUGAAAAAGGAUAUUACAAAAAAAGAAAUUGCCAUUACCAUUCAAACAUUUACACAGUAAAGGCAUUAACAGCAUAAGGCGGCAAUAAAACUUACUCAUAAUUAGGGGUGGCAAAAAAGUCCGAGCCGGCUUAGGCCCGGCCAAGCCCAGUCUAGAUCCGUGGACUUAAAGUCCGACCCGUAAGGAUGUGGGCUUAGAUAUAGACCUAAAAAUUACAAAACCCACAUAUAUUAGACCUAAACAAGAACUUAGCAAAAAAACCCAAACUUUCUAAAUUUAUGAAUAAAAAAUAAAUUUAAUUUAAAUAAAAAAAAUUAAAAUAUUAAAUUAAUUGAAUUUUUUAUAUUAAUAUUUAUUAUUUUAUUAAAUUAUAUUGUUAAUAUUUAAUGUAUUUGACUAUUAUUCUAUUUAUAUAUUAUAUUAUUAUUUUUAAUUUAAAUAUUUUUCUUAAUUUAAAAAAUUUUUAUAAUUAAUUUAAAAAGUUCAGGCCCAGCCCGAGUUCGGUCCAUCCAAAUUUAACGGAUUUUUGAAGAACCUGAACUUCGUUUGAAUGAUAUGGGUCCGGCCCAAGCCCGCAAAUUGCCAUCCCGUGAUAAUAACAAACAGAUAUGGCCCAGCCCGAGUUCGGUCCAUCCAAAUUUAACGGAUUUUUGAAGAACCUGAACUUCGUUUGAAUGAUAUGGGUCCGGCCCAAGCCCGCAAAUUGCCAUCCCGUGAUAAUAACAAACAGAUAUAGAUAGAUCGAUGGAUGGCAUUUUUUAAAUGUACCUUAAAAACCAAAACAAAAGCAAAAAUAUUAAAAUAUUACACCAACUGCUAACUAAUUAAUCUAAUAAAACGCCUCGCUUAAUCAUUUCCAGUCCACUAAACACGCUGAACGGAUUCCAGCCUCUGAAGUCUCAUCUCAUUGUUAAAUUCAUUGAUGAAAGCUUCAACUCGCCGAUUCAACUCAUCUUGACUCAUCGAUUCCUCCCUCCUCAGCGACGUUCUGUCACUGAACGUCUCAGAUUUCCUCAGCUCACGUUUCGCCCAAGCCGUCGGAUCAUUCUCAUCAUUAUCACUACCACAGGCGAUGGUGAUGAUGUGGAAGGUGGAAGAAGCGGCGAUGGUGAUGAUGAUGAUGAUGAUGAUGAUGAUGAUGAAGUUGACUAUGAUGUAAUUGUACGGCGGCGACAGCCAGAACCUCAAAGAAAUGAAGAGGCUAGGGAUUGUCGAUACCGUGAAACAAAUGUACGGGAUUAUUGCUACCUUAAACAGCAUGAAAGUUGAAACAAACCCGGCUGACAAAAAUAACAACUUUGCUACCCGCGUUACUGUCUCUAAUCUGCUUGAUUUUGGGUCGAAAUUUUGAAAAAGAUCCCCCAUUUUUCAAUUUUCACACACAAUAAAGAAGGAAAAAGAAAGGUAGCUAGAUUUUUUUUUUGUUUUUCAACAAGGGAAGAAAUAAGAAAAGAACAUUAAAAGGAUUUUUCAGGCUUUGAUGGUCAUUAAAAUGAGACCCAGGAAACCAUUGAAGCUAAAAAAAAAACGAGAAGCCAUGUAUUUAUAUAUGCUGCUUUGCUUUACAAAAUCUGACUGGCAUCAGGGUGAAAAAAAAGUGCCAUUUGUUGGUACAGAGAGACAGAGGAGAGUAGAGAGGCAGAUGCAGGGGCAGGGGCGAAGUCAAGGGACCAUUGAAUGGGCAAGCGAGGUUUCAAUUUAUGUAACGAGGGACGAUUAAAGUUCUUGCAACUUUCCUGCCGUCUGAUGAAAUCUUGACCGUUCGAUGGUACAAUAAUGGUUAUAAUGAUCUUGAAAGUGUUGGAGAGAUAAGUUUGUACAGAUUAUGUACGCUAAAUAAAAUCACAUUUAAAAUGGUUUUUGAUUUUAUUCUAUUACAGAUUACUUUUAUUAAAUAAAUGAAGGUACAUUGAGUGAGUGAGUGAGUGACUUCACGAUUUUGCACUAACGCCGCUGUGUUAUCCUCCGCGGCACUUGUCCUCAUCAUUUGUAAUUGAAAAGCUGAUUUAAGAUUUUAGAAUAGUGCCUUUUGGAAAAAAAAUAUAUAUAUAUAUCAACGGCCGAUUGAGAUUUCUUUUUUGAAGAUUUAAAAUUAAUUUUUUAAAAAAUUAAAAAUUAAUUUUAAUAUUUUAUAAGUUUUAAAAAAAUUAUUUUUAAUAAAAUCACUUCAUAGUAGAUUCCGGAAAGUAGAUAUCUAUGCUUUUUAAAUUUUAAUUUUAAGAAUUAAUUUUUUACUUAAUAUAAUCCUUGCAUAUAUUAUAAAAUUUUAAAAUCAUCUUCAUUAAUUACAAAAUAAGAUCAUUAAUUUUAAGGAGAUUAUAAUCAUUAUCAAUUAUAGGGAGAUUAAAUGCUUAAAGUGACAAGUGCAAAACUAUUUAAAAAUAGUCAGUAAAAGUAUAGGUGGGCAAUUAGUUCAAUUCUAUUUGAAUCAACUAAAUUAAAUUAUAUCGUGUUUCAUAAAUUUUUAAAGCAACUGAUUUUUUGUUUGGUUUAGAUAAAAAUUAAACUAAACCGAAAAAUCAAACGGUUCAAAGAAAAAAAAGUUAAAAACAAAUUUUAUAAACUGAUCGGUUUCCGUUAGAUUCAAUUCCAAAUCUAAACAAACCAAUCCAAAGUGAAAAUAAACAUUUUUGUUGAAUGCACUUUUAAUUUGUUUGGAUACGUCUCGACCCUCCAGUCUCUUGAUUAAAGUUCAUUUAUUAGGGUCCGCUUGUAAUACAGCGUCUGUAUCUCAUACAGUCAAAUUUAAUAUUUUAUUAAGAAAAAGGGCAACCGUUAGAUAGAAGUAGAUACAUCCAAUGGUUAAUAUCUGUGAUUACUCAUUUUGGUGACCGGAUAUGCCAAUUAUUAUUUCAUCAAUUAACUUACCUAAAAAAUCAUAGCCGUUGGAUUGAGAUGCCUCUCUCUCCCUCAAAAUAACAGCCUUCGUAUUCUCUCUGCUAUUGUUUUGUCCUACAUCUAGAAUUUUGGAUGAAUGAACUUGGUAUUCAAGAACAUUCACCACCCAUCACAGCAAAGAGCAAAGAUAUAGUCGAAGGAGUGCCAUUUAUUCAGGCUUACUUGAUCUGUCAGUCUCGCUUCAAUUCGUCACUCAUUUUCUUGCGCUCAGCUUCAAUCUAUCACUCUCAGCUUCAGUUCGUCACUCAUAGCUUCAAUUUUUUCACUGUCGUGAAUCAUCUCUCUUGCUGUAUCUCUCUCUUAUGUCUUCCAAUAAUUUCGGUGAGCUCUCUCUCUAAUUUAAUAUAUGAUUAAAAAUCUUAUCAUCUUAUCAUGUCAUUUAAAUAUGCUUGAAGUUUCAAUUUAGUUUAUGAAUAUUACUUGAAAUUUUAGAUUCAAUAAUUUUAGUUUUUUUUUUCUCUAUCAUCAAUCAUAUAUUUUUUCUUGCUCUUUAACUUCUUAUCUUCAACUAAAUGUGACCUUACAUUUAUUUAGUGUAUGAUCAAUUUUUAAAUGCACAAUAAGCAUUGCAAAGUUGGCGUUAUGCAAAGGCUAUCACAAUGUGAGCGUUCAAUUGGACAGAGUGUCAUGAUCAUACAUCCUUGAACCCAAUAUUUAUUCCAAUAACAAAUGUAGAUACGUAAACUACUUUUUUUUUUUAAAUAAAAAUAAAAAACUUCAAUGAAUCAAUCAAUUAUUUUCUGAAAUGUUAUGCGAAUUGUGAUUGUGAGAUUAAAAAAAAAUAUCCAUGCAAAUCAAAUUGUAACCGCCCUCUCAAGAUAAACCAAGUAACACAAAGCAUCAUUAACUCUUUCUUGUUUCAGCCACAGUACUAUUUUUUGCUUGAUGAGAAUAUAUUUAAAUAGUAUUUAAGUUGGUAUUUUAAUAUAAAUAUCAAUUAUCCAUGAAAUUUUAUAAUCAUAAUUAAAAUAAAUUUAAAAAGCAAUUACUAGGAAAAUUAAAUAUAUUGCAAAAAGUCAUUGGGUAGUCAUAAUAUAAUAAGCAAAACAAAUUAAAUAUUUAAUUAUUUUUAUCAAAUAUUUAAAAAUAUUAUAUAAAAUCAAUUAAUUAAUGGUAUUAUUAAUUUUCAUGAUUAUUUUUAAUAUUAUAUUAGUGAUUAUUAAAUUUAAUACAAUCAAAUAAUGGAAUAAAUAAUUAAAUGUUUAAUUUUAUUGAUUAAUUAUUAAAUAUACAAGUAAUGAAAAUUUAAUCUCAAGAGUUGGUAGAAGCGAAAGUACUAAUUUAAUUAGAUUAUAGAUAAUAAAUAUAAAUAAAUUUUAGGUAAAUCAUAAUAAAAAAAUUAAUUAAUUGAUUCAAUCAAUCAAUAUUAGGUGUAAAUAAAAAAAUACAAAUAAAAAUCUCAUAAAUGUACAAUUUUUAUUUUUAAUUUUAUUCAAACUAAAUACAUGUGCAAAUUAAGAUUAUUACAUCCUUGAACCCAAUAUUUAUUCCAAUAACAAAUGUAGAUACGUAAACUACUGGGAAGCAGCACACGUGUCCUGAAGAGAGAAAAAAAUCGAGCAAAUGCAGACAAUGGGAGUUGGCUAAAAGUUGGAUCUGCAAUUUACAAAAUCUGUAACUUAUUAGCCAGCUCCCAAAUUGUGUAGUCUUUUUUCAAAUUGUACAGACAUUUAUAAAUUGGUGGCCCCUUGAAAAUUUAAUGCCAAGCAGAUAAAAGUCAUCAAGCACAGUCCUCAAUAGUUGUUUCGUGUAUAUUUAUAAAUUGGUGGCCCCUACAUCUUUAAUAAUUGGGAUUGAAUUACGGUAUAAUUGUAGAAUCAUGUCUCAAUUACAUUCAAUUGUUAGAUAUAUUUACGUUGGUAAAAUUUACUGAUAUCUAAUAAUUAAACGUAACUAUAACACAAUAUUAUAAUUACACCACAAAUUUUCUCUAAUAAUUAUUCCGAUACUUAUAAAUUGGUGGCCCCUUAGUAAUUUAACAGCAGCCUGCAAGUGUCAACUAAUGAAAAGUCAUCAUUCACAAUCUUCCAAGUGAAACAGGAAAUAUACAAAAAUUAAAACAUGUCAUUCUUUUUUUUUCAUUCCCUGUCAUGUAACUUACACCCAAAUACAUAAAUAAUAUAAAAUGAAUGGAGAGAUGCCAGGAGCAGAUCAGCAGGGUUUGAAUAUGACCUUUGGCGCUUGCUUUUUUUUUUUUUUGUGAUUUUUUUUUCAUUUUUUCCUUCCUGUCAUUUUAUCAUUUCUUUGGCUUUGUCUCUAUUGCGGGUGUUACUGCAUGCUUACUGUUUCUUGACAAAGUUUGCUAGCUUUUCCUUUUGUUUAUUAAAUAUUUUUAUCGUCACAAAGUAUUACUCGUUCUAUUUGACAGUGAUGUAAAUUAAUUUUUCAAUUUUAUAUUUUAUCGUCGAUGUGAAUUCAAUUUCAUUUGUCAUCAUGCACAAUCCUCAAUAAUUGUUUCGAUAUUUAUAAAUUGGUGGCCCCUACGUCCUCAAUAAUUGUUCCGAUACUUAUAAAUUGGUGGCCCCUUAAUAAUUGGUGUUUGAGGAAUUAAAUAGAGCGAUCAUGAUCUUUUCCAAAUGAAAGUGAGCAAAUGGUUGAGCAGGUCACCUUGAUCAGGUGGUAUGAGUUUGAUCAAAUCACCUCGACCAGGUACAAUGAGGUUGAGCAGAUCAUCUUGAUCAGGUGGUGUGAGCUUGAGCAGAUGACCAUGUGGUAUGAGCUUGAGCAAAUCACAUCGACUAGGUGCUAUGAGGUGGAGCAGAUCACCUCGACUAGGUACUAUGAGGUGGAGCAGAUCACCUCGACCAGGUGCUAUGAGCUCGAGCAGAUCACUUCGACCAUGUGCUAUGAGCUUGACCAGAUCACCUCGACCAGGUGGUCUAAACUUGAGCAGAUCACCUCGGCCAAGUGAUGACUAGGAAUAAAGACUCAGUUAAAAUAAACCACCACAAAGCUCCUCCGAAAAAUCAGGGCACGAAUCUGAUUAAUCAAUGGUUAUUGUCACGAUCUAAGGUCGUGGGUGUGGGGUGUUUUAUAAAAAUCCCGAGAAAAUCACACCAAGGGAAGGCUCUUUUUCUCUGGAUCUGACGGAGAAAUCCUUUCUGGAUACUCUAUUUUACUUUUCUGCAAAUUAUUCAAAAAGCUUUUGGUUUUAAAAUAAUGUUUAUUUAGCCAUAUGAAAAAUGACAUAUUUGGUUUUUCCUGUAAACCCCAUAACUGACUUGAGCGUUGGAGGGUUUACGCCAGAAAAACUUCCGGCACCUCUGACCAUUCUCUGUAAUUUCAGGUACUUAUUGAUCGUCAGCUUGAAGAUUAUAUGCUCAUGAAUGUUCUGCUCAUAGUCAGAGAAUAUUCUGACUAUAUUAGCCAUGACAUUUUAGUAAUUUCAGGUACUAAAAAAAAAUUAAAAUUGUUGGCGUGAAAAGCACAAAUCCUAUUUUUUGACAAUUUUAUCUUUGUCAAUUUCAAAGAUUUACAAUAUCAUAGGUAAAGAUUAUAACUAUUUCAUCUUCAAGUUUUUAAUUUUAUAUUUUUUGUAGGAACUUUAAGAAAAUAUCAAUAAUUUAAAGAGAAUUUUUGAAAUUUUUAAUUUUAUCUUUCUUGUAGGAAUUUUAAGAAAAUAUCAAUAAUUUAAAGAAGGUAAAAUAACCAAUAAUUUUAUUUUUUUUUUAGUUAUUUCCGUUUAAAAACUGUUCUUUUAUUAGCCGUUGGAUUUUACUACUCUUAUAUCCAACGGCUUGCCACAACAAGACAAAUGAGGUGGCACCUUCCAACAGCUGAAAGGUCGUUUUGGCCCCAAGUGAAACAGGGGAUGCACUUACUAUUAAGGACAGUUGGUGGCCAGCUAAUGCACUCAUUUUAUGUCCUUUUAUCUUUUUGAAUUCCUGAAGACAAGUGCAUUCAUUUUGUGUCCUUUCAUCUUUUUGAAUUACUGAAGACAAGUGGCCAGCUAAUGCAUUCAUUUUUUGUCCUUUCGUCUUUUUGAAUUAUUGAAGACAAGUGGCUCAUCGCUUUUACUGUAGGUAAGAUCUUGAUAAUCUCGAUUAUCAAAAUAAUAAUAUUCAAAAUAUUUCUUAAUUUUAUUUAAAAGAUAAAAGAAAAAUAAGUUAUGCUGGUAAAUUUUUUUAUUUUUUUAAUAAAAAUAAAAUAAAUUGAUGUUUAUAAUUGUUUCAAAUACUUUAAAGAUUGUAAUUUUAUGAGAGAGUAAUAUUUCACAUUUUUAAUGUGAAAAGUUGAAAAGGGACAAAGCAAGUUUCUCUGUUUUUCUUUUUCUUUUUUUAAAUUUGGUCAUCUCAAAUACUUCACCCUUCAACACUACAAUAUUUUGGUUAUAUAUAUAUAUAUAUAUAUAUAUAUAUAUAUUUUACACAUGCAUAUGAAUUACUUUUCUUUUAAGCUCCUGAAUAUUUAAGACAAAUCAUGAAAGAGAUGAGAAUAUAAUAAGAUGAUCAAAAUAUGUAACAAAAUUUUUUUAGAAGUGAAACAUCGUUAGAGUUGAAGUAAAACUCUGAAAAUAGAGAUACUGAUUAAUUUAGAAGAGAUGCAAGCAAAAGAUAUGCCAAAAAAAAAAAAAAGCAAUAUGUCACUUUGGAGGGCAAACUUGUCAGUUUCACAAAAAUACAUGCUUUGUAUUGAUAGUUGUCACUAUGUAUUAGGGUGCGUUUGAAAUUAUAGUGCUGUACCUUUUAAACUACAGUUGUUGUAGAAAAAAAUAAAAAAUAAAAACUACACCUAAGAUUAAGGAAAAGUACUUCAAAACUCUCUUUUGAUCAUAAAACCUUUUGUCUUAAUUAACUUAAAGAUUUUGAAUCUAAUAUUUUAUAACAAAUAAAAAUAUAUUACCAAAAUAAAUAUAAUAAUAUCUAUUUUAAAAUAAUAUCAAUAUUUAAAAUAUGUUUUAAUAUUUGACGAUCUAUUAGACACAUUUUAUUAUGUUAAAGUAAAUUUUAUAAUAAAUACAAACAUACUAAUAAAAUGAAUAUAUACAACAUUUAGAGUAUUUUGAAUAUUAUAUAAAAUAAAUUUAAUACAAUGCAUGAGAUAUAUUUUAUUAAUUUAAAAUGCUAUUUAACCUAAAGAUUUAUUUAUGAAAAAUUAAUGAUUAUAUUUUUGAAAUUAUUUAAAAUAUUAAAAAAAUUAAUAUUAUUAAUCUAUCAGGUAGAUUAAAUUAUUUAUAUUAUUUUGCAUUUAUUAAAAAAUUUUAAAAUCAAUCUUUUUAAUUACUAUUCUAAGGAUAUAAUAAUAGAGGCAACUCCGUUGCGUCAUGGUUUUGGUACCCCGUCGUUUGUCUUUUAGCACAGUCAUCGUUGGAUUUUAUCUCACGGCUGCAGAAGAGACACAGAGACGCUAGGGAGCAACCUGACAAAAAGGUCAUGGGCCGGUAAGCUGCAGGGAAAAUAUUUAAAAUACAAAAUCUUCCCUUAAAUUUUUUUUAAUAUUUAACAUGUUAUAGUUUCUAAUCUCAUGAAUAGUAGAGGAUAAAGUUUUAUCUUAAAAAAAGUAAUCCCAAGGGUCUCCUUGGGAUGAAAUUUUGCCUCUAUUAGAAUUAAGUGGUGGGCUCAUUAUUGUUACUUUUAUUUUUUUUAUACCAAACAUGAUAUAGGAUUAUUUUAUACUAAAAUUAUCCAAUCCUAUGAUAUAUAACUAAAACUAAACAGGCACUUAGGGUAUAUAUGAGCCACGGUGGAGAAGCUUUAUUUAAUAUUAUUGAUUUAAAUAAUAUCUCAUUAAAAAUGUACUGAGAAGAAAUUUCGGUGGGUAUUUUAGUCAAUCACAUGAUCAGCCUUUGGACUUGAAACGUCGGUCAGAAUGAUUUAUUCUAACAAGAAAAAACUAGGUAAUAUUCCACAAAAGUAAAAGUGACAAAACAACCAGCUGGAUUCUUUUAGGAAAUUACAAAGAGUAAUGAUACAGUCAUAAAUUUUUAUAUAAAUUUAUUUUAUAUAAAUUGAUGUGGUAUUAAUUCAUUAGUUGAAUGAAAAUAUAAAUUAAUAAAAAUAAAUUAUAUGGACCAAGUAAUAUUUAAUUCAAUCAAUCUUAUUAUGUCACAUCAAUUUAUAUAAAAUAAAUUUAUAUUUGUAUUAUUACUCAACUAUAAAUUAAAAUAAAUUUUUUCGAUAAACUACAAAUUAAAGUGGAUUCUUUUGAAUGCAAGUGGGACAGACGAUAAGGCUAAAAAUUAGUCAAGAAUCGAAUAGUCUUUUUCAAAUUCUUGUUUUAUUAUUUUUCAAAACCAGUUUUUGGUAAUUACAAUCGGGUCAUUAAUCAUUAUUCAGAGUUAUUGUUUCCUUCAGAAGUUAGUGGCUCAUGUUUGCAAGUGUGAAUAUGCGAUGCUCUUUUUCGAAAGCGCAAUGACAGUGGGUCCCGAAUCGGACGUCCCUAAAUCUUUUUAAAAUUUUUGCCGUAUAACGAACAGAGGUCAUUACUAAAAUUUCUCUUCCACAGCCUACAGCAGCUUCAGUUUAUCAAACUCAAUCAAUUUUCUUUCUUAACAAAAUUCCAAAGAUGUGUAGCAUUUUUCAGAUCACAUGCGAUGGUGCUCUUUUCAAUCGUUGCUUGGAUUGCUUUCUUGGAAAAGCAGCAUACAUACGUAACCUCCAAGAUAAUCUUGUAGCCUUGGAGACUGAACUGGGAAGACUAAUCGCAGCAAAGAACGAUGUGAUGAUGAGGGUUGUCAAUGCUGAACGGCAACAAAUGAGAAGGCUGGACGGAGUGCAAGUGUGGGUUUCGAGGGUGGACGCUGUUAAAACUGGAGCCGAUGAACUUAUCACAGACGGCUCUGAAGAAAUUGGCAAAUUAUGUGUUGGAGGCUACUGUUCCAAGAACUGCAGGUCAAGCUACAAAUUCGGAAAACAAGUGGGUAAAAAGCUACAAGAUGUGAAGACUUUAAUCGCCGAGGGAGUUUUUGAGGCGGUGGCCACUGAGGUGGUGCCCGAGAGAGCUCCGGAACCUGUAGCAGAUAAAAGACCCACUGAGCCAACAAUAGUAGGCCUGCAAUCACAGCUUGAACCAGUUUGGAGAUGUCUUGUAGAAGAAUCAGUGGGAAUCAUUGGCCUAUAUGGUAUGGGCGGUUUUGGUAAAACCACACUAUUGACCCAUAUCAACAAUAAAUUUCUUGAGAGUCCCACAAACUUUGAUUGUGUGAUUUGGGUCGUAGUUUCAAAAGACCUGCGACUUGAAAAAAUUCAAGAAGAUAUUGGGAAGAAGAUAGGUCUAUCUGAUGAUUCAUGGAAGAAUAAAAGUUUUGAAGAGAAAGCUGUGGACAUCCUGCUGAGAUUAGGAGAGAAGAGAUUUGUAUUGUUGUUAGAUGAUUUAUGGGAGCGGGUUGAUUUAACAAAAGUGGGCGUUCCACUUCCCAGCGCACAAAAUACUACCUCAAAAGUCGUAUUCACAACCCGUUCCAUUGGUGUUUGUGGCAGCAUGAGAGCUAGGCCGGUUAAAGUGGCAUGCCUAUCAGAAAAGCAAGCUUGGGAACUGUUCCGCGAAAAUGUUGGGGAAGAAACUCUUGAGAGUGAUCAUGAGAUCGUUGAGCUAGCCCAAACUGUGGCCAAAGAGUGUGGUGGUUUGCCACUCGCACUUAUUACUAUUGGUCGAGCUAUGGCCUACAGAAAGAAAGCGGAGCAGUGGAGACGUGCAAUUGAAGAGUUAAGAAGAUCAGCUUCAGAGUUUGCAGGUUUGGGAAAAGAGGUGUAUCCUCUUUUAAAGUUUAGCUAUGAUAGUUUGCAGAAUGAGACAAUUAGAUCUUGUUUCUUGUAUUGUUGUUUAUAUCCUGAAGAUUAUGGCAUUCUUAAAUGGGACUUGAUUGAUUGUUGGAUUGGUGAGGGAUUUUUUGGGGAAUCUGACAGGUUUGGUGCAGAAAACCAAGGAUAUGACAUUUUGGACACUCUUGUUCGUGCAUGUUUAUUAGAAGAGGUGGAAGAUGAUGAAGUAAAAAUGCAUGACGUUGUUCGUGAUAUGGCUAUAUGGAUAACUUGUGAAAUUGAGAAGGAGAAGAGAAACUUUUUGGUUUGUGCAGGUGCGGGACUAAAGGAG